GUGCUGAGUGCUACUGUUGCGAGAAUAAGAAUGCCGACUGUUACAAGACGAAGAGUGAGUGCCUGCAGAAGUGCCAUUCCUACAACGGUUAAUGCCCACCUUCAUCGCGGUCUCUGGGAUAGAAUUCCAUAUGCUCGGAAAAUUUGUCCGUAGGUAAUAAAAGGCACCUUAUAUGGUUUGGGCAAUUAGGUCCCAAUUAAACAUUAGAUAGCCGGCAUGUUUCCGUGGAGAUCCAACAAGGAAAAAUUUGAUGAAAGAAAUCCGAGUAACUAGUUGUCUUGCAUAUUUACAAAGUUCAAAUCCUUUGGUUGUUGUGCUUUGACUCGAUUGUCUAUUAUGCCAUUUCAUUUACUUGCACAUUGCCCACUUGUUCAUUUAACACACAUCACCCACUUGGUGAUUUGCCAGUUGUGGGCUGACAGCCAUAUAGAUUUAUUUUUUUGAGAUCUCGUCAUAUAGAAUUGUAAUAGCACUGACAUGGAAAAGGUUAAAAACUGAAAAACUGAAAAAAGUAAAUCAAACAAACAAAUGGUGUGCAAACUAAAUCAGACGGCACAAGACAAGUGAGAUUUAGUCAGGACUCUUUCAGAUGAAGAUAAGCAAAUUGCAAGAAAACAACAUGCAGAAACAAUUUUAUAUCAUAGCAUAACAUGCAAAAAAGCACAUAUAUAGUACAACGACAACCCACGUGUCUAUAUGCUAUCUAUAUGUAUAUCUAUCUAUCUAUAUCUAUCUAUCUAUCUAUCUAUCUAUCCUUACUAAUAAAAGACGGAUCAUUUAUGCCCAUCCGUCUCAUGUUUUGCAACAAAAUACCCUACUUUUUUCUUUAAUUAACCCGCGGUCAAGGUUUAGGUGAGGUUCGUCCGUUGUUUUUUUUGCAAAGAACGAGGAAACGGUUGCGUUUUGUGAGAUUCAAACUCAUGAUGUCCCCUCCAUGCCCAAAAGCCACAGCCAACUGAGUUAGCAUGCACUUGUGCUACCAAAUAGGUCCAUUAUUUCAUUAAAUUGUCCAUCCUUGAUUCUUUGCAUGAGAAUACACAAAUUUAUAUGUGAUUGCAAAUUGCCUGGAAAUCAACAAGCCAACUCGAUAACCAAGAAAUAGAGGGAGAGGAGGAAUUCACUCAAUAAAUAGUGUUAACUAGCAGGGUUUCCCGCGCAUUUGUGCGGCUAGCUGACCCUUUCCGAUGCCAACUAUAUGGCCUUUCACUAAACUAUAUUUUGAUUAAAUUUACACCUUGUAUAUGUCAUCAUAGAAAAAAUGAAAAUCGUAAUGAAACAUGCAAGUGCAUCAGGUUGUUCAUUUUAAUAUAGAAGUGCAUUAGGUUUUUAAAUAAAUUCCUUGGCAUGUCAGGUUGCAACACAGAUAAAAAACCAUGUAUGGGAUUUCAUGCCAAUCUUGGUGUUUUUCCUGUGUGAUCACUCCUCCUUUGUAUCAUUUAAUAGGUUUUCAAGAAAUUCCCUACCAAGACUUAAAUCUAAACAUGAAAUUCUGGUAUGUAAAGGUCCCUUCUUCUAGUCAUACCAAUCAACGGACGCAUUCUUAACUACCUUUUCUUGAUUAAUGCCGCCUACCCACUUAUGUAUCAAGAGAUUCACAUCUUCUAUCGUGCUUAUUUUUUCUAUUGAUAAUAUUUUACAAAAUAUUAUCUUUGACUCACUCCCUUUUAAUUUCUGAAGACUUUGAAAGUGAAGAAAUUGGUGUGACCUUGAAGACUUGGUAUUCAUUCGAGGAACAUGAAGCGUGAAGACUUUUGUUUUAGUAGUUUCAUUUUCUCUUUCUUGAGUCAUAGGAAACACUGUACUGUUAAAGGGGGUCGAGUAAAUACUAAGGAAAAAUUUCCAAGUGAUGCUCAACUUAAAAUCCUACACCUACCAAUCCCUUCGAGUGAAGCCAUUGGAAAUCUCAUGCAGUUCAGUCAGUUUCUUCAGUGACAGAGACGAAGUACUUCUGGUCUCUGAGGAAUUUGUUCUGCCUAAGGAGUUAGGAAUUCGCCAGUGCGGAUUGCCUACAAGUGAGGAACAUGAUAGCCCUGAGGAAUUAGACACUCGAAAUUCCGACCGUUGCUGUGCUAUGCGCCAGCUGUCCCAAAAUAUCUUACCCACCUAACGGUCAUAUCAUUGAAGGGCAUUUAUGUCUUAUCAUGUAGGGCUGCUCCCUAGGCUAUAAAUAGCCGCCCCCUACAACGACUAUCUGGUUGGCUGCUCCGAGAGAAACCGACACUUGUCAUUUGAGAACAUCCCAUCCUCCGAGGACUUUAAGCGAAAAUCAUCAAGUGAGGAAAACCCAAACCCAAACACCUAAAAACCCAAAGUGAUUGAGCAUCACUAAAGAGAUUGAUCCUGCGUGGAUCCGACACUUGUUACCUUUGAAGAAUGUGCAUCUUCCAGAUGGUUAGGCGUCAUGGUCUAGAGCAUCCAAGAGGAAAUUGUUGAUCGCCGAGUGACCGAGUUUGUGAAGGUUUGGAAGUCACCUGAAGACUUACCACGAGUGAUUGGGCGAGGCUGUGUGACCGUAGCGAUGACGGACGCUGAGACGAGCACGUGACACCACUACCACCCUAUCUAUCAUCGGGUAACGCGAGUCGAGGCAAACGUCGUCGCGGUAGCGACGACAGACGCCAAGACGAGCACUUGACACCCUGGCCACCCUGUCUAUCUUAGUGUAACGCGAGUCGAGGCGAACGUCAUCGCAGUAGCGAGGACGAACGACGAGACGAGCACGUGACACUACUACCACCCUCUCUUAAAAGUCGAGGCGGACGUCGUCUAGCUUGUCACGUCAAAUUGACACAAAAAAUGUUCAUUUAAAAAAAAUAUCAGAUAUUUCGGAAAAUGUUCUUGUUUUAAAGGAAAUUUCAGGAAUUCAAAAGUUGUUUAGUUCUAUAAAUAUGUUCUUGAUUUGAAUUUUUCUCAUUAAUUUUAAAACAUGUUCAUAGUAGAUCAAUUUAAUGAACAUUUCGAUUCAACCAAAAAGAUGUAGAUCAAUUUAAUUCAGCAUGUUAAUUUUUGUUUAAUAAAAUUAUGUUCAUGGAAAGUAUUAAUCGAAAGGGAAUAGAGGAAUAGGCGAAUUUAUUUUUUUCUGUGUAAAAGUAGCUAUUCAUUUUAGUUGAAAGUGCUAGUUCAUUUCAAUUAAAAGUGGGAUUUCCGGCCCAUUAGUGUCCGUGAAAAACCGCUGGCCCAGAAAGGGAAUAGGAAAACACAGGCCCAAAAGGAAAAAACGUGGAAAGGGAAUAGAGGCUAGGUGAGGUAUUGGGCCAAGGCUGGGCCGAACUCACAAAAAGUGGAGCUCUCAAGGCCGGAAUUGAUCACGAAAGGGAAUAGAAUGGGCGCAACCGUUCGCUAACUUUGUGGUUUGCUGUCGCAUCGAUCUGGUGCGAAAUGAGAGCUCCUAUGUGUCGCAUUUUACGGCAAAUUGCCACCAUAUCGCACAGGGGCGCCACCGAGUGGGCCGGCCCAUUAGCAGCACUGCAGCGAGCCAAUAAACGCACUGUAGCUAAAAACUGAGCGCCCCCGUGGAGGCAUCGACCUCGCGACCUCUGGCUAUUGAAUGACUCUCGCUAGCCACUUGAGCUGAUGGCCCGUUGGUUAUUGUUAUACACCGCGAAAUACUAAAAGCACUACUCGGAGGAGCUGAUCAAACAUGUACUGUAGCGACCGGACUGUGUACUGUUACGACAUGAACAAGGCAAGGUAGAGUUUUUUUUAGAAGCUCCAAAUCUUUCUUUGAAAAACGUGAACAUUUUUUAAAAACACAAAUAAAAAUUCAAAUUUCAAACAUUUUUCAAAACAGAUAAAAAAAGUAGAAACCACAAAAGUAUUUUGAAUUUGUGAACAUUUCUCCGAGAAAGGGAACAUUUUUUAAAUUCCGAACAAAUUUUGAAAGCCUGAACAUUAUUUGAAACUCCCCGAACAAUUUUUGAAUUUGUGAACAAAUUUUGAAAACGAGAACAUUUUUUGAAAUUGUGAACAAAAUUUUGAAACCACAAACAUUUUUUGAAAUUGGAAGCAAUUUUGGAAUUUGUGACUUUUUUUCAAAAUGAGAACUUUUUUGAAAUUCUGAAUUAUAUUUGAAAUUUUCAAAAAAGUUCGAAUAGAAAAAUAAACUUAAAAAAGAAAAAGAGAAAAAUGAAAAAGAAAACAAAACAAUAUUCAAAAAUUCAUGAACGUUGUUUUGAAAAUAUUUAGAAAAGAAGCGAACAAUUUUUGAAAUUUCUGAACAAAAUUUGAAAACAGGAACAUUUAAAAAAAAUAAGGAUCAUGUUUUGAAAUUCCCAAACAAUUUUAAAAUGCAAACAUUUUUUGAAUGUAGAAACAAAAUUUGAAAACAGGAACAUUUUCCAAAAUUUGAACUUUGUUUAGGAACCUGAAUAUUUCUAGAAAAAGAAAAAUGAAAUUGAAUAAAAAGGAAACGGAAAAAGAAAAACCUGACCACAAAGAAAUAGAAAAACGAAAAGAAAAGAAAAAACCGUAUAAAAGAAAAAAAAACCCGGUUCAGGAAACCUUCUGGAAGGUUCCCAAAGCCGGAUGGGGUAGUGCCAAUACGAUCUACUCAAAUGGGCCGGCCUAGUCGUGUCGAUCGGCCGAUCGCCUGUGCGUUGCCCCGGCAACUUGCCGCAACGAGCGACAAACAAGAAAUUCCGUGCGAAAAAUCAAGUGCGCCUCUUAGGACGCGCGCUAGCGACGCCGCAUUGGAGUUCUCUCUAUACGUAUACUUGCUAGCGUUGAUCAAGCACGGAAAUAAGCGAGCUCACUUCUCUCUAUUAGCUAGCUAACACAAUAUAUGAAACCCCCUCUCCCUUCUUUCAAAAAAAAACAAAACCCCUGCUCCUGCCAGCUGCUGACGCGUGGAUGCCUUUUGGUACCGGUUGGUGUUACCAACCGGGACAAAAGGUGCUCCAGCCUAGGCACCUCGCAGCGGCCACGUGGAGCCCGUUGCGAAUCGGGACUAAAGGUUUUGGGCUUUAGUCCCAACCCUUUAGUCCCGGUUCCAGAACCGGGGCUAAGGGGCCUCUGAAACCGGGACAAAUGGGCCGGUUUCUAUGAGUCGAAGCUCCAUCCUCCUUUCUGGUCCUCUGUUCCUUUUCUCAUAUCAGCUUUCAUCCAUCUCCCAUACUGUUGCACCUCACCUCUCCCAAGUCCAAUAGAACACGCCUUGUUCACGUGUCCAAUUAUACCACACGUGUAACAAAAAUCAGGGAGGUACUCAUACUCUAGGGGGCACCAUUUUUGCUCAUCAUCUUUCUUCUUUCUUUUAUCCACGUCCAUCACUUCUGCAGACUCAUUGUCUUCUCCCGUUCAAUAUCCAAAGUGAUUCCUCUCAACAGUGGCUUUGUAAUGUCUAGUCUAACUUUCAGAACUUCCAGCCACAUUAUCAUCAUCCCCCUGGUUACCUCCAUGAACUCGCCAGUCUCGUCACCAAUGAUACCUCCGUUUUCAUCACUCAUGAAACCGAGCGGCAUCUUGGUCACCCUGACCCAAAUAAGGAUGAUAGUGAACUCAUACUCUCCUAGCGUUUUAGCUGGGUCGAAAUCUACCAUCACAAUCAGGUCCUUGCCCACCAUCCAUGGCCCUUCCUCCAAUGCUUUCCUCUUCCCCGCUGCUUGCAAGAAGGUGAAAAGAAAGGUGUUGUCCUCUAACCCCUUGCACUUGAUUCCCUUGAUCGGACACCACACUCUUCCGAGGGAUUUGAUCAUACCUUCCAUAUAUACUGGUUUCUCGGACAUAACCUUACCGAUCGCCUGUGGAUCUUCCGUUCCCGUUCUCCUCAACCCGCCUCUUCCGAUCUUGACUCCCUUCUUCUCUGCUUCUGGCAACCGCAACUUCUGCAUCAAACCUUCCACUUUCUCCAUUGUGUCGAGGACUUGCAUCGAUCUAUGGUUUACUAGGUGGUUGUAUUAUGAAUGAAUGCCCUAGCAACACUCGUAAGGCUUUUGGUGGAUGGGUGAGCGGUCUCGAGAUCAAUCCAGCAAGGAUCGCCGAGGCUAGGGGGAGAGUUUGCUGGCGUAGGCCAGAGACGGGGUCGCCUGAGGGGACUCUAGGGUUUACCAGGAGUCACCGCAGAAUCCCCUGGGAAUCGCCCAAGCGCCAAUCGUGGAACCGUCACCCAAGGACGGACGGGUUAAGGAUGAUAAUUAAAGCGGACUUUGAUAGAGAGACACGUGAGAAAUAGAGUGAUAGAGAGAGAUACGUGAAAAUUAAAGCGGUUUUAAUUUCUUUCUUUUCUGUAAUUAAAGAGAUACGCAUGAGAAAUAGAGAGAUAAGAGAGAUACGUGAGAAUUAAAGCUGUUUUAAUUUUUUCCGUUUCUAUAAUUAAAGAUCUGAUCUACACAGUUAUAAUCUUGACCCGCAAAAUCAACGGCCUCCAUUUUCUAUUUUUCUCUAAUUAAUGUGGGAAUUUCUUGGGAGUGCCUAUUAGUAUAGGUAUAUAUAUGUGCAAAAAAUCUCGACAUUAAUGAACAUAUAUCUGGUGCACUUGCAAUCUUUUGUAGUACAUUAAUGAAUAUUUAAAGUAUUUUCCAACUCUUGCUAUUUAUAGACUUGUCAUCCGUGUCUGCCACAUUUGGAGUCCAACUAUUUCCUACUGGAACCUUACACUCCACUAGAACUGAGUUUGUCAAGUAACAGAUAACCAAUAUGAGAGGGAGCAGCCUAGUGCAGGGGACGAUGAUAUUCUUCAUUGGAUGCCUUGUGCUUUGUGCACAGUGUAAGUAUAUAUCAUCAUCGUCUUUAGAAUCUUGUGUUAACUUCUUGCCACUAAUUCUUCGGAUCAGACAUACAUACACACACACAUCUGCGGUACUGCAUACUAAGGUUAAAUAUACUAUACAGGUGCUCUCGAUAAUAAGCAAAGGAUGGUCAACCAAGAUGAUCAUGCGGCGAACACAAGUACCAACGCUACCAUCAUCAACUCAACAUCUGUAGGCGAGAGCAAGAAAACCGAGAAAUUUUGCAGCCUCUUUCUCGUAUGUUAUUUCAACAUUGAGAUUCGUGCUGAGUGCUACUGUUGCGAGAAUAAGAAUGCCGACUGUUACAAGACGAAGAGUGAGUGCCUGCAGAAGUGCCAUUCCUACAACGGUUAAUGCCCACCUUCAUCGCGGUCUCUGGGAUAGAAUUCCAUAUGCUCGGAAAAUUUGUCCGUAGGUAAUAAAAGGCACCUUAUAUGGUUUGGGCAAUUAGGUCCCAAUUAAACAUUAGAUAGCCGGCAUGUUUCCGUGGAGAUCCAACAAGGAAAAAUUUGAUGAAAGAAAUCCGAGUAACUAGUUGUCUUGCAUAUUUACAAAGUUCAAAUCCUUUGGCUGUUGUGCUUUGACUCGAUUGUCUAUUAUGCCAUUUCAUUUACUUGCACAUUGCCCACUUGUUCAUUUAACACACAUCACCCACUUGGUGAUUUGCCAGUUGUGGGCUGACAGCCAUAUAGAUUUAUUUUUUUGAGAUCUCGUCAUAUAGAAUUGUAAUAGCACUGACAUGGAAAAGGUUAAAAACUGAAAAACUGAAAAAAGUAAAUCAAACAAACAAAUGGUGUGCAAACUAAAUCAGACGGCACAAGACAAGUGAGAUUUAGUCAGGACUCUUUCAGAUGAAGAUAAGCAAAUUGCAAGAAAACAACAUGCAGAAACAAUUUUAUAUCAUAGCAUAACAUGCAAAAAAGCACAUAUAUAGUACAACGACAACCCACGUGUCUAUAUGCUAUCUAUAUGUAUAUUUAUCUAUCUAUAUCUAUCUAUCUAUCUAUCUAUCUAUCCUUACUAAUAAAAGACGGAUCAUUUAUGCCCAUCCGUCUCAUGUUUUGCAACAAAAUACCCUACUUUUUUCUUUAAUUAACCCGCGGUCAAGGUUUAGGUGAGGUUCGUCCGUUGUGUUUUUUGCAAAGAACGAGGAAACGGUUGCGUUUUGUGAGAUUCAAACUCAUGAUGUCCCCUCCAUGCCCAAAAGCCACAGCCAACUGAGUUAGCAUGCACUUGUGCUACCAAAUAGGUCCAUUAUUUCAUUAAAUUGUCCAACCUUGAUUCUUUGCAUGAGAAUACACAAAUUUAUAUGUGAUUGCAAAUUGCCUGGAAAUCAACAAGCCAACUCGAUAACCAAGAAAUAGAGGGAGAGGAGGAAUUCACUCAAUAAAUAGUGUUAACUAGCCGGGUUUCCCGCGCAUUUGUGCGGCUAGCUGACCCUUUCCGAUGCCAACUAUAUGGCCUUUCACUAAACUAUAUUUUGAUUAAAUUUACACCUUGUAUAUGUCAUCAUAGAAAAAAUGAAAAUCGUAAUGAAACAUGCAAGUGCAUCAGGUUGUUCAUUUUAAUAUAGAAGUGCAUUAGGUUUUUAAAUAAAUUCCUUGGCAUGUCAGGUUGCAACACAGAUAAAAAACCAUGUAUGGGAUUUCAUGCCAAUCUUGGUGUUUUUCCUGUGUGAUCACUCCUCCUUUGUAUCAUUUAAUAGGUUUUCGAGAAAUUCCCUACCAAGACUUAAAUCAAAACAUGAAAUUCUGGUAUGUAAAGGUCCCUUCUUCUAGUCAUACCAAUCAACGGACGCAUUCUUAACUACCUUUUCUUGAUUAAUGCCGCCUACCCACUUAUGUAUCAAGAGAUUCACAUCUUCUAUCGUGCUUAUUUUUUCUAUUGAUAAUAUUUUACAAAAUAUUAUCUUUGACUCACUCCCUUUUAAUUUCUGAAGACUUUGAAAGUGAAGAAAUUGGUGUGACCUUGAAGACUUGGUAUUCAUUCGAGGAACAUGAAGCGUGAAGACUUUUGUUUUAGUAGUUUCAUUUUCUCUUUCUUGAGUCAUAGGAAACACUGUACUGUUAAAGGGGGUCGAGUAAAUACUAAGGAAAAAUUUCCAAGUGAUGCUCAACUUAAAAUCCUACACCUACCAAUCCCUUCGAGUGAAGCCAUUGGAAAUCUCAUGCAGUUCAGUCAGUUUCUUCAGUGACAGAGACGAAGUACUUCUGGUCUCUGAGGAAUUUGUUCUGACUGAGGAGUUAGGAAUUCGCCAGUGCGGAUUGCCUACAAGUGAGGAACAUGAUAGCCCUGAGGAAUUAGACACUCAAAAUUCCGACCGUUGCUGUGCUAUGCGCCAGCUGUCCCAAAAUAUCUUACCCACCUAACGGUCAUAUCAUUGAAGGGCAUUUAUGUCUUAUCAUGUAGGGCUGCUGCCUAGGCUAUAAAUAGCCGCCCCCUACAACCACUAUCUGGUUGGCUGCUCCGAGAGAAACCGACACUUGUCAUUUGAGAGCAUCCCAUCCUCCGAGGACUUUAAGCGAAAAUCAUCAAGUGAGGAAAACCCAAACCCAAACACCUAAAAACCCGAAGUGAUUGAGCAUCACUAAAGAGAUUGAUCCUGCGUGGAUCCGACACUUGUUACCUCUGAAGAAUGUGCAUCUUCCAGACGGUUAGGCGUCAUGGUCUAGAGCAUCCAAGAGGAAAUUGUUGAUCGCCGAGUGACCGAGUUUGUGAAGGUUUGGAAUUCACCUGAAGACUUACCACGAGUGAUUGGGCGAGGCUGUGUGACCGUAGCUCAAGGAGAAUACGGUGAGGACUGUGUGUCCGGGACUAUGUGUCCUCAGGUUUAAAUACCUAGCCGCUCCAACCAGACGUACAACUGUCAUAGCAGUUGGAACUGGUCUACCAAAUCAUUGUCUUCACCAACCCUACUGGUUCUAUUUCCUCAACUCUUUCAUUUCCUCAUUACUGUGUUGUGUGCUUGUUCAUAUCUUUUUGAAGACUUUGACUGAAGACUUUCUCAAUUUCCUCAGUUUAAUUUCUUCAGUCUGUUUUGUCUUCAUCAUGUUUUAUCCUAUGCUUACGCUUCCUGUACUCUGUGUCUGUUUUCGUUUCAUCAUGAUGACCAUGUUUAUGUUAUGUCAUGUAUGGAUCUGAGUACUUAUUCCGCUGAAGUAGUUCUUCGCUAAGGAAUUUCCUCACCCUGAAAUUCCUCAGUGAAGAAUUCAUAAAAAUCGCCUAUUCACGCCCCCUCUAGUUGACUUAACGAACUUUCAUCGUCACAUUAGCAACGCCGCACGCCGAGACGAGCACGUGACACCAAGGCCACCCUAUCUAUCUUACGGUAACGCGAGUCGAGGCGAAUGUCGCCGCGGUAGCGACGACGGACGCCGAGACGAGUACGUGACACCACUGCCACCCUGUCUAUCUUAGGGCAACGCGACUAGACGCGGACGUUGUCGCGGUAGCGAUGAAGGACGCCGAGACGAGCACGUGACACCAUUGCCCCAGUCUAUCUUAGGGUAACGCGAGUCGAGGCGGAUGUCGUCGCGGUAGCGGCGAUGGACGCCGAGACGAGCACGUGACACCACUGCCACCCUGUCUAUCUUAGGGUAAUGCGAGUCGAGGGGGAUGUCGUUGUGGUAGCGACGACGGACGCCAAGACGAGCAUGUGACACCACUGCCACCCUGUGUAUCUUAGGGUAACGCGGGUCGAGGCGGACAUCGUCGCGGUAGCGGCAACGCACACUGAGACGAGCACAUGACACCACUGCCACCCUGUCUUAGGGUAACGCAAGUGUCGAGGCGGACGUCGUCGCGGUAGCGACGACGAACGCCAAGACGAGGACAUGACGCUAGGGCCACCUUGUCUAUCUUAGGGUAACGCGAGUCGAGGCGGACGUCGUCGCGGUAGCGACGACGGACGACGAGACGAGCACGUGACACCACUGCCACCCUGUCUAUCUUAGGGCAACGCGACUCGACUGCCAUGUGAUAUAGGUCAGAACUUUUCUGAAUACUUAGUGUCGCCAUGUGAUCCAGACGAAUAAUUAAGAAAGUAUAUAAUUUUACAACCAUGGAUACGCGAGUCGAGGCGGACGUCGUCCCGAUAGUGAUGGCGGACGCCGAGAUGAGCACGUGGCACCACUGCCACCCUGUCUUAGGGUAACGCGAGUCGAGGCGGACGUCGGCGCAUUAGCGACGACGGACGCCGACACGAGCACGUGACACCAGGGCCACCCUGUCUAUCUUACGGUAACACGAGUCAAGGAGGACGUCGUUGUGGUAGCGACGACGGACGCCGAGACGAGCACGUGACACCACUGUCACCCUGUCUAUCUUAGGGCAACGCGAAUCGACGCGGACGUCGCCACGGUAGCGACGACGGACGUCGAGACGAGCACGUGACACCACUGCCACCAUGUCUAUCUUAGGGUAACGAGAGUCGAGGCGAACAUCAUCGCAGAUGCGACGAUGGAUGCCGAGACGAGCACGUGACACCACUACCACCCUAUCUUAGCGUAAUGAGAGUUGAGGUGGACGUUGUCGCGAUAGCGACUACGGAAGCCGAGAUGAGCACGUGACACCACUGCCACCCUGUCUUAGGGUAAUGCGAGUCGAGGCAGACGUCGUCGCAUUAGCAACGCCGGACCGCGAGAUGAGCACGUGACACCAAGGCCACCCUGUCUAUCUUACGCUAACGCGAGUCGAGGCGGACGGCGUCGCGGUAGCGACGACGGACGCCGAGACGAGCAUGUGACACCACUGUCACCCUAUCUAUCUUAGGGAAACGUGAGUCGACGCGGACGUCGUCGUGGUAGNNNNNNNNNNNNNNNNNNNNNNNNNNNNNNNNNNNNNNNNNNNNNNNNNNNNNNNNNNNNNNNNNNNNNNNNNNNNNNNNNNNNNNNNNNNNNNNNNNNNNNNNNNNNNNNNNNNNNNNNNNNNNNNNNNNNNNNNNNNNNNNNNNNNNNNNNNNNNNNNNNNNNNNNNNNNNNNNNNNNNNNNNNNNNNNNNNNNNNNNNNNNNNNNNNNNNNNNNNNNNNNNNNNNNNNNNNNNNNNNNNNNNNNNNNNNNNNNNNNNNNNNNNNNNNNNNNNNNNNNNNNNNNNNNNNNNNNNNNNNNNNNNNNNNNNNNNNNNNNNNNNNNNNNNNNNNNNNNNNNNNNNNNNNNNNNNNNNNNNNNNNNNNNNNNNNNNNNNNNNNNNNNNNNNNNNNNNNNNNNNNNNNNNNNNNNNNNNNNNNNNNNNNNNNNNNNNNNNNNNNNNNNNNNNNNNNNNNNNNNNNNNNNNNNNNNNNNNNNNNNNNNNNNNNNNNNNNNNNNNNNNNNNNNNNNNNNNNNNNNNNNNNNNNNNNNNNNNNNNNNNNNNNNNNNNNNNNNNNNNNNNNNNNNNNNNNNNNNNNNNNNNNNNNNNNNNNNNNNNNNNNNNNNNNNNNNNNNNNNNNNNNNNNNNNNNNNNNNNNNNNNNNNNNNNNNNNNNNNNNNNNNNNNNNNNNNNNNNNNNNNNNNNNNNNNNNNNNNNNNNNNNNNNNNNNNNNNNNNNNNNNNNNNNNNNNNNNNNNNNNNNNNNNNNNNNNNNNNNNNNNNNNNNNNNNNNNNNNNNNNNNNNNNNNNNNNNNNNNNNNNNNNNNNNNNNNNNNNNNNNNNNNNNNNNNNNNNNNNNNNNNNNNNNNNNNNNNNNNNNNNNNNNNNNNNNNNNNNNNNNNNNNNNNNNNNNNNNNNNNNNNNNNNNNNNNNNNNNNNNNNNNNNNNNNNNNNNNNNNNNNNNNNNNNNNNNNNNNNNNNNNNNNNNNNNNNNNNNNNNNNNNNNNNNNNNNNNNNNNNNNNNNNNNNNNNNNNNNNNNNNNNNNNNNNNNNNNNNNNNNNNNNNNNNNNNNNNNNNNNNNNNNNNNNNNNNNNNNNNNNNNNNNNNNNNNNNNNGCGUCGCGCUAGCGACGACGGACGCCGAGACGAGCACAUGACACCAAUACCACCAUGUCUAUCUUAGGGAAACGCGAGUCGACGCGGAUGUCGUCGUGGUAGCGACGCGGACACCGAGGCAAGCACGUGACACCACUGCCACCCUGUCUAUCUUAGGGUAACACGAGUCGUGGCGGAUGUCGUCGUGGUAGCGACGACGGACGCCGAGACUAGCACGUGACACCACUGCCACCCUGUCUUAGGGUAACGCGAGGCGAUGCGAAUGUCGUCGCGGUAGCGACGAUGGACUCCUAUACGAGCAUGUGACACCACUGCCACCCUCUCUUAGGGUAACACGAGUAGAGGCGGAGGUCGUCGCGGAAGCGGCGACGGAUGCCUAGGCGAGAACGUGACACCACUGCCACCUUGUCUUAGCGUAACGCAAGUCGAGGCGGACGUCGUCCCGAUAGCGACGACGGACGCCACGGCGAGCACGUGACACCACUGCCACCCUUUCUUAGCGGAACACGAGUCGAGGCGGACGUCGUCGCGAUAGCGAUGACGGACGCCAAGACGAGCAUGUGACACCGCUGCCACCCUGUCUUAGGGUAACACGAGUUGAGGCGGACGUCGUCCCGUUAGCAACGACGGACGCCGUGACGAAAGUGGAGCGCUCAAGGCCGGAAUCGACCGCGAAAGGGAAUAGAAUGGGCGCAACCAUUCGCUAACUUUGUCGUUUGCUGUCGCAUCGAUCUGGUGUGAAAUGAGAGCUCCUAUGUGUCGCAUUUUGCGGGGCGCCACCGAGUGGGCCGGCCCAUUAGUAGCACUGCAGCAAGCCAAUAAACGCACUGUAGCUAAAAACUGAGCGCCCCGUGGGGACGGACGCCGAGACGAGCACGUGACACCACUGCCACCCUGUCUUAAAAGUCGAGGCGGACGUCGUCUAGCAUGUCAUGUCAAAUUGACACAAAAAAUGUUCAUUUAAAAAAAAUAUUAGAUAUUUCAGAAAAUGUUCUUGUUUUUCAGGAAAUUUCAGGAAUUCAAAAGUUGUUUAUUUCUACAAAUUUGUUCUUGAUUUGAAUUUUUUCUCAUUAAUUUUAAAACAUGUUCAUAGUAGAUCAAUUUAAUGAACAUUUCGAUUCAACCAAAAAGCUGUAGAUCAAUUUAAUUCAGUAUGUUAAUUUAUGUUUAAUAAAAUUAUGUUCAUGAAAAGUAUUAAUCGAAAGGGAAUAGAGGAAUAUGCGAAUUUAUUUUUUGUGUGUAAAAGUAGCUAUUCAUUUUAGUUGAAAGUGCUAGUUCAUUUCAAUUAAAAGUGGGAUUUCCGGCCCGUUAUUGUCCCUGAAAAACCACUGGCCCAGAAAGGGAAUAGGAAAACACAGGCCCAAAAGAAAAAAACAUGGAAAGGGAAUAGAGGCUAGGUGAGGUAUUGGGCCAAGGCUGGGCCGAACUCAUGAAAAGUGGAGCGCUCAAGGCCGGAAUCGAUCACGAAAGGGAAUAGAAUGGGCGCAACCAUUCGCUAACUUUGUCGUUUGCUGUCGCAUCGAUCUGGUGCGAAAUGAGAGCUCCUAUGUGUCGCAUUUUGCGGGGCGCCACCGAGUGGGCCGGCCCAUUAGCAGCACUGCAGCGAGCCAAUAAACGCACUGUAGCUAAAAACUGAGCGCCCCCGUGGGGGGAGCGAACUAGCGACCUCUGGCUACUGAAUGACUCUCGCUAGCCACUUGAGCUGAUGACCCGUUGGUUAUUGUUAUACACCGCAAAAUACUAAAAGCACUACUGGGAGGAGCAGAUCAAACAUGUACUGUAGCGACCGGACCGUGUACUGUAACGACACGAACAAGGCAAGGUAGAGUUUCUUUUAGAAGCUCCAAAUCUUUCUUUGAAAAACAUGAACAUUUUUUAAAAAUACAAAUAAAAUUUCAAAUUUCAAACAUUUUUCAAAACAGAUAAAAAAUUUAGAAAACCACAAAAGUAUUUAGAAUUUGUGAACAUUCUUUUGAAAAAGGGAACAUUUUUUAAAUUCCGAACAAAUUUUGAAAGCCUGAACAUUAUUUGAAACUCCCCGAACAAUUUUUGAAUUUGUGAACAAAUUUUGAAAACGAGAACAUUUUUUGAAAUUGUGAACAAAUUUUUUAAACCACAUACAUUUUUUGAAAUUGUAAACACUUUUUGAAUUUGUGAAAAUAUUUCAAAAUGAGAACAUUUUUUGAAAUUCUGAAUUAUAUUUGAAAUUUUCAAAAAAGUUCGAAUAGAAAAAUAAACUUAAAAAAUAAUAAGAGAAAAAUGAAAUAGAAAACAAAAAAAUAUUCAGAAAUUCAUGAACGUUGUUUUGAAAAUAUUUAGAAAAGAAGCCAACAAUUUUUGAAAUUUCUGGACAAAAUUUGAAAACAGGAACAUUUUUGGAAAUUCCGAAACAAUUUUAAAAUGCAAACAUUUUUUGAAUGUAGAAACAAAAUUUGAAAAAAGGAACAUUUUCCAAAUUUUGAACUUUUUUUAGGAAUCUGAAUAUUUCUAGAAAAAGAAAAAUGAAAUUGAAUAAAAAGAAAACGGAAAAAGAAAAAGAAAAACCUGACCACAAAGAAAUAGAAAAAAAGAAAAGAAAAGAAAAGAAAAAACCGUAGAAAAGAAAAAAACUGGUUCAGGGAACCUUCUGGAAGGUUCCCAAAACCAGAUGGGGUAGUGCCAACGCGAUCUACUCAAAUAGGCUGGCCCAGUCGUGUUGGUCGGCCGAUCGCCUGUGCAUUGCCCUGGCAACUUGCCGCGACGAGCGGCAAAUAGGAAAUUCCGUGCGAAAAAUCGAGGGCGCCUCUUAGGACGCGCGCGCUAGUGACGCCGCAUUGGAGUUCUCUCUAUACGGAUACUUGCUAGCGUUGACCAAGCACGGAAAUAAGCGAGGUCACUUCUCUCUAUUAGCUAGCUAACACAAUAUAUGAAACCCCCUCUCCCUUCUUUAAAAAAAACCAAAACCCCUGCUCCUGCUAGCUGCUGACGCGUGGAUGCCUUUUGGUACCGGUUGCUGUUACCAACCGGGACUAAAGGUGCUCCUGCCUAGGCGCCCCGCAGCGGCCACGUGGAGCCCCUUCUGUCCCGGUUCAUAAGCGAACCGGGACUAAAGGUUUUGGGCUUUAGUCCCGAACCUUUAGUCCCGGUUCCAGAACCGGGGCUAAAACUACAAAAAAAAUACACUUCCGUGGUGAUACACGUUUGUCACAGUAGGUCGCAUUUUCUGUCAUGCAUGUACAUCCAUGACGAUUUUAUGACAGAAUCAAGGUAGUCAUACCUGUGCUGUCGUAGAAGUGUUCCAUGACAUUACCAAAAUUAUCAUCACGGAAAUGUCCACUUCCAUGACGAUAAAUCCCGCGUCACAGAAGUGCUUUCGUCAAGGGUGACCGACACGUGGCAUCCACCGUAACGGAACGCCGUUAAGCUAUCGGGUCGGGUUUUGGAUCCGAUAACCCGUUAACAACCCCGACCAAUGGGGAUUUUCCACGUGUAAAAUCAUCAUUGGCUGGAGGAAACACGUGUCGGCUCAUCGUUGGGACAGAUGUCAUCCACUCAAUGGACAGAAGGCGCCUAUGAUACGUCGACACGUGGCACGGCCCAACAGAGGCCCAUUCCUGUGAAAAGGCCGGCCCGUUUGACUUGGUCAAAAGGUGGCGGGCCGGCCCAUGUAAAGCCUGUUAACUGCCUGUUCGCAUAUAGCCCAUUUACAGCCCGCUAACCCAAGGCCCGUUACGCCCUAUCCGAAUUAGGCCCAGUAGCGUCAUCUGGGCCACCCAAUAUGAUUCCAGCCCGUUUUCACUUCUGGCCCAUGUAUGGCCCAUGACGUCUUUCGGCCCAUAUGAGGCCCUAUGUAACUCUUGGCCUAUUAACGGCCCGUGGUGAAACUGGCCCGUAAUGAACAGUGUAUCACUUUACACCCAUUAACGGCCCGUGGUGAAACUGGCCCGUAAUGAACAGUGUAUCACUUUAUACCCAUUAACGGCCCGUUAUCCCGUUGGGCCGUUUCCAUCCCAUGUUAUCUUUCGGCCUUCUCAGAGCCCAUUUAUUCUUGGGCUCAUUUACAGCAUUCGUUUACUUAUGGCCCGUUACUGUCAUUUUCUGCUUGUGGGCCAAAUUCAGCCCGUGGUUACAGUCCGCCCGUUUGUGGUCCGUUAAUACGUUGGGCCGUUUUCAUAGCGUCAUCAAAUACGGCCUAUUAACGAUGGUCCGUUAUGGUCGGCCCAUGAACGGACGAUUCCAACUCUAGCCCGUUUACGGCCAUAAUGCGGCAUGUUAUUGGCCCAGGUUUGGCCAAUCGAUCAUACUGCCCGUAUAAGGCCCAUUGAUGAUACGGCCCGUAGAAGGCCCAUUGUUUCUACGGCCCAUAGAAGGCCCAUUGUUUCUACGGCCCGUAGAAGGCCCACUGUUUCUAUGGCCCGUAGAAGGCCCACUGUUUCUACGGCCCGUAGGAGGCCCAGUGUCACUACAGUAAAUAUUAGCCCAUGGUUAUUGUGGCCUAGUUUUAAAAAAUAGGCUAUUGCAGCCACUAGCAAACCGCGGAAAAAGAACUGCAAUGACUGCAAGCAAACAAAUAAACAAGACAACAAGGAAAUAAACAAGCAAGCAACUUAUGCUAGGCUAUCACACAUAUUACAUCCACUGGGCAUCAAAGUUCGCCACCAGUGCAAAUAAACGCGCCGACAAAAGAAUAUACAAAACUGAGAGCACUUCAGGAGGCACUAGGCCUGGCCAUGUCGGGCCCCCCAAACAGCCGAAGAAGCUGAGUAGACCUCGGUUGUGUCAACGAUAGAUGCAUCAACACUAGAUUUAAGGCAUGAUGGUGCGCAUGGCAGUCCUCUGACAUCUUCAUUGCAUCUUUGACUUCAAGUCGGAGCUGAGCUGAAGCAAGCCUUUCCGCUUUAAGUUGAGACUGAAGAAGUCGAACUGAUUGAGGCAGCGACUGCACAGAGGUUGUCUCACACCUGCUGGUGAGUAGCUUCAACUCACUGUCUUCAUCAAGACAGGACCUCGGGGUCAUCUCGCUGUCCUCAAGAUGGUUUGGCUCACUAUCUUCCCUAAAGUUCUGCCUGGCGUAAGAGAUACGAGUCUGAAAGAGAAACAAGGAGACACGUAACAGGUUUCACAAUUAUAUAAGCAAAUAAAUGGAUCUGUUCUGCAUAAGGAACAUGUUUUUACAACUACAAUUUGAAACUGGUAGUUGUUGCAAACAUCCAAUCAGAUGUAAACAGCAAAGCAAACAGCAGUGGAGGAAAUGAUGCCUAUCCAAAUCUAUACUAGAACAAAGUUUGAAGGCUUGAGAAGGAUGAACUUACAUUACAUGUUAACACGGGCUGGACAAAGUCCUUCUCCAUGUUGAUGGAAGGAUAAUUCAAUAAAUUCCCCAAAGAAAAUUCUUUAUAAGCGUUGCCAUUAUUCUACAUUUUGCAAAGAGUAAAUAUAGAUCAAAUAAUAUUGGAAGAAACAGAGGAUAAUGAAGCUCAGGUGCAGACUGAUGAUACAUAAUCAAAUAGCAAUUAAUUAAGUACAACGUUACAAGGCAAAAGGGAGAGAGGUACUGACAAGAGCAAUGCAGAGCCCAUUAUUGUUUUGAGAUUGUAUGAUCCUUUGAGCAAGGAGAUUCAUCUGAAAUUAGUUUUCAUACAAGAGAGAAGGUAAGGCACAAGAAAAAUUUAGGAGUUCAAAUUUUGAAUUGAUAUCAUAGACAGUACCUGACGCUGGGCUCCCAGCAGUUCUAAUAGGGGUUUGGCCACUGGAGUAGGGGUAAAGUGUGGUACAGUUGGGCCUGUGUUUUCUGUGGCUGCUGAUCUAUCUGAUUUAACAGGUAUCACUACCUUUUCCAAAUACCUAGUUUGUACUCCUUGAGGAUCUGCACUCACCCUCUUCCUUUUGGAAAUCUAUUACGAAAGAACAACAUUUGACUGGAAAAACAUAGUGUGACGAGACAUGGAAUAGGUACAGAAAAUGGAUAGGUAUGGCAUAUACUCAUAUAUGAUGCUUAAACUAAGCAGAUGGUGUAACAAAGUAGAAGUAAUGCAAGCGGUCAGAUGCAAAAUAUGCGCGACCAAUACAACUUUGCAAAGUUAGAGCAAGCACCUUGAUGGGUGAAUAAGAUAGGCCAUCCUCCACCAUGCCAAGUUUGUUAGCCAGUGAAUCGUUCCGCAAUAUUCCUCUCAUGCGCCCAUUCUCAUAUUCAUUUUGAUAAUGUUCAAUAUCUGACAUGCAUGAAAACAUAAAAACAAGUGAGAUUUUCUUUGUAAUGCAGAAGUGAUUCUAAUCCAAUACUGCCUCCCUGUAAACCCCUUUGUGCUAUCUCUGCAAUUCUUUUAAAAGAUGCCAUGCAUGCUGUAAUUUGUUGUGUGCAUUAAUAUAAUGUCGCCUACUACUCAAAAUAUGAGAGCUCCAGAAGUGAUGACACUUCGCAGAUGAUAGCUUCAACAUAUAGUAAAGAAGAACAAGUCGACCUGACCUGACAUAUUCAAAAUAUACUAAGGGAGAACAACUCGACCUGACCAGUCGACCGCAAGGGAAGAGUAUCAUCUUAAAGAAGAGCAGAAGAGCAAGCAGAUUGAAGAUAUUACAAGUCUUUCAAUACAAUGUCGGUUGGCCACCCAUGAUGAACCAGAGCGCACAGAGAAAUACUAUUCUUUCUGGUCUCUCCAUAUGUGGCUCACAUGCAUUUCGAAACUAAAGAAGGAACAUUUAGCUAACCAAUUAAACAUCUCUCAGUUUUACUAAUAUCAGCAAUAAUAUCAUAUAUGAAUUUGUACAACUAAGCUUUUUUAGCUCGAUGGGUGGAGCAGUGCUAUUACGACACGAACCACGUAGGCUGAUUGUGGUCAUCAUAAAAUGGGGAAAACAUAAGCAUGAUGAGUACAGUGUUGACCGUGGCAGUGGGAUGGCAGAUCUGAAGCUGCAAACCGCGCAAAGGGUAGUUAGCAACCGAUGUUUGCUUUGAAAUAACAACUAAGAUUUGGUAUGGACAAGAAAGUACGGUCAACAAGUGACAAAGAAAUGCAAUUAUGCUGUCUCUCUAUAUGUCGCGACAUGCAUUUGGAAACUCAAGUGGGACCUUUAGCUAACCAAUUAAAUGUGUCGGUUAACUAAUAUCAGUAUCAUAUCACAAUCAUAUUUGAACAACUAAGCUUUCGAAUUCUGAGUGUUGUGUUGUUUAGCUUGAAGGGUGGAGUAAUGCUAGUACGACAGAAAGGACCUACGCAGAUCAGAGUAGAGUAGAUAAAAGGGGAAAACCCUAAGCAUCAAGAGAAAAAUCAGGAAAGUGGAACUAGCUGGACCAGUGGGUGGCGCACAUGCUUUUUGAAACGAAUAUAGGAACAUUAGGUGACCAAUUAAACGUUCUCUGUUUUAGUAAUAUGAGCAUCAUAUCAGAUUCGUAUUUCAACACGUAAGCUUUGGGUUGAGGUCUUGAGGAGCAGUGCUAGCACGACACGAAGCACCUACGAUGAUGGUAGUGAAUAUAAAGGGGGGAAACCAUAAGCUUUACGAGUAUAGUGCCCGUGCCAUGGAGGAUCUGAAGGUGCAAACCGGACAAAGCUACUUCACAACCAAUGUUUGCUUUCAACUAGCCACUAUGAUUUGGUACGGACAAGAAAAGUAAAGUAAACAAAUUACGGUCUAUUUUCCGGGUGAGAUCAAUAACUUAAGCACAUAUGGAAGAGUACCACCUCUCUUGCGACGCCGUGUAGGCCUAUGCUGAUACGUUGAGGGUGCUGCGGGUGCGAUGGCUAUCGGCGGCGGGGAAGAAGACUUUAGACGGCAGACGACCGGGUCAGGGGAUAUAUCCUGUUGCCGUGGACGAGGCGGUCGUAGGAGCGGCAACGGCAAGGUGGACGACGGCACCGAUGAAGCGAGAGGAGGCGAUGAAAGGAUCCUGGUCCAACGCCGUGGAUGAGAGACGUCCAUCUCUUGCAGUGGACGACGGGGUAGGGGUAGCGGCUCCGGCAAGGUGGAAGAUGGGGUGGCGGACGGAGGAGGCUGGCCGCAGUGCGGAGGUUGUCGUGCCGCCGACGGUGUAUGAAUGGGGAAAUGGAGGGGAGGGGGGAUCUCAAACUUUGGGACGCGCUUCUCUGAAAUGGGGGAAAGUUACGAACUUAUCCCCCGUUUAAAAUUUCGGACAUCGCAUCGGUUGGGGAUAGGACGGUAAUCUCGCAUCUCCCAAAUAUUUGCCGGUAACUAUUUCGGGCGAGGAGAGGGUGUUUUGCCGCCCACGGUUGGCGCCCACGGUGUAUGAACGGGGCUGACAGGUAGGGCGGUUGUGUCACGUCUGAUGGAAGUUACACAUCUGCCCCUAUUUAAAAUAUUAGCCUACAUCGAUUUCGGACGAGGAGAGUUUGUUUUGCCGCCCACCGUGUACGAAUGGGGAAAUGGAGGAAGAGACACAUGUCUUUCGGACGAGCUUGAAUCAAAUGUGUUUUGCUGCCCACGUUUGGCGCCCACCGUGUCUGAAUGGGCUCAGAGGCCGUCGUGUCACGUCUGAUUUAAGUUACUAGUCUACCCCUAUCGACAGCAGUGUAAAUCCGGUCGAUAAGGAUGUCAAGUGUGAGGGGUAGACAGUAAUUUCCAUCUCGCAAACACUUGCUUCGGGCAGCCCACAAAUUACAGUGGGUGUUUAGCCUCUUCGUUCAAAACUUGGGAGAAUUAGCAUUCACGUUUGCCCUGGGACCUGGCAAACUAAAUUCAAAUCCAAUUUGUAUUCAAUUACGAAUAUCCACAGAUAAUUAUACAUUUUGUUAUUUAUUUCUUCGAAACCAUAACAAACAUUUAUUCCACCUUUAUAUAUGAUUAUGAUUUAGAAAUGCCGUGAUCUUCGAAUUCAGUAGGUUGGAUACACUCUGAGUCAAACAGUUAUUUCAUCCAAUACAAUAUGCUCACACGAAAAACAGUUCACCUUAUGUCAAUCAUACAAGUACUGAGGAUUACCUCGCCUAAAAAAUUCGGAUCAUUACAACACAUGGACAACAUAGGGGGUCUUGCAACAUAAUCCAUUCAGAGAUAUGACACAACAUGCAAGUACAAUAAUCUAAUGACAAUUUCAACUGGUAUCUAAAGAAGAACCGGGAUUACCUUGGGCUUUAGAUAGCAGAAACAGCAGGACCUCCUCCGUCUUCAAAUGCAACAUUCUUACUUCCUCCAAUUCUAGGGUUGCUUGCAUAAUGCGUGGCGCUAAUUCCGUAAUUUCCAGCCUCAAGAUAAAGAUUACCUCAUUGAUGGCAGCCCCACCAUCUCUUUCUGCCUCUAGUAGAGCCUCAAGCACUAUAAUAUCUGUGCUCAGACUGCUCUCCGGCGGUGUUGCCUCUGAACUGCUACCAUCUGGUAACAUGGAUGGCACACUGCUUCCACAAAUAGAUUCUGGGGUUGUACAUUGUGUCCAAGUGUGAACGGCAUCCUGGAAGGUUUUCGCUGGACAUCAGUAAGAGAUAGUUAUCGUAUGAUCCAGGCAGUAAGCUUACAUGGUAAACGAUGGAUGAAUUAUUGCCGAGCAUGGCAAACUAUAUUUAAAUGGUUCGAAGCAGCAUCAGCCGAAAAGAAAUUAAAAUUGUAAGAUGAAACUAGGGAUGUAAGUGGCAAAUAAACGACAUCCGCCAGUCCCAUCUAGUUAGUUUUUGCUACCUCCCUAGUUCAUUUUCCACAAAAAACAAAAACUCUUUUGAACUAUCAUACCACUAGUGGACUUUAAUCGGGAUUAAACGGGACCCAGUUGACAUCCCUAGUUGAAAGGGAGUGUACAACCGCUAUAUUUAAGUUGCCAAGGCAUCUAAGCAGUUGAAAUAAUCUGAGAAAGCACUUAACAGUGUGGCCUCAUAUAAACUACCAAGACAGUCUUGUGAUGAAGUUGAGAGGAAAAGUUAAGGACUCAAAUGAAAUAGGCAUGCAUUUCUUUACGAUAGUACAGCAGGCACUGCUGACAUAUUGGACAACUCAGGUAUAGCAUAACAACAAAUAAGCAUUCGAAUCAAGCAAUACAGCAAAGCAGACAACUGAACUAUUUGUAAUUCGGUAGGAUUACAUGUUGAGGGCACAAGCCAAGAAAGCAGCCCACUCGCAUUACAUUUCACAUGUACUAAAACACACUGGCUUACCAUAUGUUGCUGUGAAGCCUAGCUGCUGUUGCAAUGUUCUUUGAAGAUAUCGUCAGCAUCCCGUGGUUGCAAAUCUAGUUGUUGUAGUUUAUUCUGCACCAUCUAUUUAGGUAAAAUUAAUUUUAAUCGCAUGCACUGGUCCGAAUUGAUCAUCAAUGGUUCAUCUAAACUAAUGAAAGAAGGGUGUGUGCAUACACGACAAUAUACCUGCUUCCCUCUAUUUUUAUGCUUGUUCGAGGUGCCAGCCCCAAAAGAACAAAUAUUUUGCUUGAUGGGGUUGGCAGCUCCAUAAUUAAUAGAAGCAUCAAAUUAGUCAUGCAACUUGGGAAGAUCAAGAACACACAAACAAGUAAUGAACAGAGGCUCGGAGCGGUGAUGUAAUAGCUAGCAUCAGAAAAUGUAGGGUAAAAUGAACAAAAAGCAGCGGAACCACAUGCUAGUUUGCUGAUGUGUAAUUAAGCAUAGAGAACAUUAAGCAGUCUGAUGGAACCAACAGGUGGCAUCAGAACAAAACUAAAGCAUAUUAACUAUAUGUGCACUAAUAUGUAAUUUAGCACAUGUAACAUGUUCACUGCCAGAAGAAUGGCCCUACAGGUGCAAGCAGAAUAACGCGUCUCAUGAAAAACUGAAUGAUGCCCUGAAGAAAUUCAAAGGUGCGGUGCUUAUGCUAGGAAAGUGAACGUAGGCGCCGGCCGUUGGAUAAUAGUACCUGAUUCUCGGCGGCGUAUGGGUAUCGUUGUCAUACUUGAUAGCUAAGGAUCGUCGAUGGUGCUCGUGUUGCGGUUGAGUUUGGGCCGGCUGUCGUCGUCGCUGAAGCGGCUCCGGUGCUACGGUUGCGGUGCCUGUCGACAUACAAGAAAGUUCAUCUGUGGUAAGUGAACAGUUGCACGAUAAAGAGAAAAACCGAAGGAGUACAAAUUGAAAUAACCUGAUGAGGCUGCGGCGUCGGUAAAGCAGGGCCGGUGGAGUUGAAUAUGGUGUCUAUGGAGCGGGUCCGGUGUAGUGGACGAAGGCUUCGACGGGCCUGUUGUACAGUGCUUUCGGUGAGGCGGAUCUGUUGCGGCGGACGAGGGCUUGUAUGAAGGGCCAGCGAAGGGGCGGACGAGGGAGUCAGUGAAGGGCCUACGCUACGGUGGACGAGGGCACCGGUUAAGCAGAUCCGGUGCGGUGGACCAUGAUGGCGGUCAAGGAGAUCUGGAGCGGUGGACAAGCCAGUCGCUGAAGCGGCUCCGGUGAAGUGGUGAGUUGGCAGUUGGGGGUUCCAAGGUGCGGAAGGUAGAUCUGGCGGGGUGUGAGGUCCACCGCUGCGGCGGAGGACUAGAUUCGGCGGCUUGCCGUGGUUGGGGGGGUCGGGGAGGGGAAGGGGAGGGGCUCUGGGGAAGAAUGUUAGGGGCAAAGAGGGGAAAACAAUGGAGUUACCAAAGCAGCCCUUUUCCGUUCAUGUGGCAGGGGUAAAACAGGAACAUCGCAGGGCUAAACUUUCGGGCGCGUGAUAUUUCGAUGUGAGCGGGAAGUUUGAAAGCUUUUCGCACCUAAAAAUAUAAGUAUUCUGCUCUCGUACGACCGACUAUGAUAUCAUGGCCGACAAUUUGUUUGUUUUGCACGCAAAAAAUGUGCAAGUUUUGAAAAUCAAUGUCUCCAACUCGAAACUUAGAUUGUCCAUUCAAUUCAAACAUGGUUCAUUGAGCUACUACAAGCAAAUACCAUCAUACGGUCCAGUUCAAAUGAAAUUCCAAAUGUGUUUAUCCUAAAUAUGAUGACAAAAGCAAAAAUGUGUAUGUGUAUGAAUAAAGUGGAUGAUUAUAAAGUUUGAACAUGCCCGUAUGUGUAUAUCUCUAGGUUUGAUAUAUGAAUUUGAAAUCACAAAAUCCCGGCUUAAAAAAUGUACCUCCGUUUAAAUGAAUUACAAAAGCUAAUGAUGGAGUCGAAUUCCAAAAUUCCAAUCUUAGGUUUGUAAUUCUGGUACAUCAAGGUAUAUCACGCAUGUUGAAAAGUAUCAUUAUCUCAUAGUACAAACUGUGAAACAAAUUGAUCAACCAUGAGUGCACAAUAUCUCAAUUACGCUAAAGUCCCUCAAAUAUAGACACCUCACUCUUUAUCUGAAGUCAACCCCCCACCACCACACACACACACACAUAGAGAAGUCGUUCUCUCCCCCAAACACCAACACACGAGCACAUUAACACCCCUCUCUCUUGUAAAGUCCGGACCCCAACAUAGGUCUCUAUCACUUUGUCUCUCGGGCAUGCACACAUGUCUUCCCUCACUCUCUAGGUCUCCCGCUAUCUCUCUUACCCAAGAACACACACUAUGUAGAGUGUAUAUUUCCCAUACACACAAAACGUUGCCCCCAAACGUCUAUCUCCCUAGUUAUGUGGUUCUCGCGCACUCACCUCACACACCACCCCCACUACAAACAAGCACACUUUGUCUCCUUGUGCACCACUCUCCUCUUUCUAUCUAUCCCACAUGCGGACCCGCCCCAGCUCCUUCCCUGUAUACAUAUAUGUCGUGACUCUUUGCAUAGCUCCCUAAUGUAUAAUCGUUCUCGAUUUCGCACAUUGUUCUCUACACCAUCUAUUCUAGAUCUCUCAUGAAGUCCCUAUCACACACACGAUGACUCGCUUCCCUUGCGUCUCCGUUCAUAGGCCAAUUUCGGAUAACAUCAACAUUGUCUCCCUAUCUAUACGCCAUUUAUGGACACAAACGACCCCUCUCGCCCCCUCUCUUCCUCUCUCUCUCUCUCUCUCUCUCUCUCUCUCUCUCUCUCUCUCUCUCUCCGUCGCUAGCUCUCUCUUUCUCUCGCUCUCACACCCCUCUCCCACACACACACUCGAUGUCUCUUCCAAAUAGUCUGCUCCCCCCACCCGCACCCGUGCUAUCUCGCUACUACACAUGUCACACCAUUCCCCUUCCCUUAUACUAGGUUUACAUCAUCAGUGGUCUCUCUACUCCACAUACACUCUCUCCCUCUCACACACAAACGCAUGCACAAACACACACAGACACGCACAAACACCCAUUUAUCUGGAUCCUCAUCUCUCCUCAUGUCCGCAUGUGUAUCUCACACACUCACUCUCUAAUUAUGUAUAUGUGUCUCCACGUUACACAACACAAAGCCCCAUGUACAUGUCUCUCUCUAUCCUCCACACACAUAGACACAAAGAAUCUGUUAUCAUUGCCUUAGUCUCUAACAUAUCACACACGCACACUGUCUCUCUCUCUCUCGCAAACACGCUCAACAAGGGUUUCCCCGUGAAUAACUUACCGUCUAUUCAUCAACAGUCGUGGCAGUACGGCGAACACGAGACGUGAAAAAAGAAUAAAUCUACACGUGCUUAGACCACCUAGUAUGACUACUAGGACUAGAGCAAGCCAAAAAGCGUGCCGCCGUCACCCCCUCCUUGUCGGCGACGGGAAAAUCUUUGUUUUACACAGUCGAGAAGUCAUUGUGCUAAGGCCCCACAUGCUGAGGUGUUGAAUAGAAUGUAGAUGCUAGUUUACGGAAGCAAGUAUCGAUAAUAUGUUUGUAUCUCCAUACUUAUAUUUCUUCUCUUAUAAAAAACCGAGUUGGUGAUGAUGGUACGUGUGCCAUCUUGCAAUAUAGACCGUCCGAUCUAUAUCUGAUGGAUGGAAAUUAAACUAAAAGAUACCCGCACCCCUCUCCACAUUUGGAGACAAGGCCUUCCCUCGUUCAUCCUUAUCUCCAACAAACCUCAUUGUUGAGCAAUUAAGAAAGGAAGCCUCUGGAACAAACUGGCCUGGUGGCCGCUGCCGGCGUCGUCAAUCCCCAUGCCUCCGCUCAGUCCGACCACCAACCACCACCACACCCCACUCCUCUUCACCUUAUCUCAUAUUUCUCGAGAUAUCAUUAGUUUUUACACAUGGGAUUACUCCCGCAAGGGUCAAUCACAACAGUGUUUUAUAAAAAAAUGCAUCUUGAUGUUCCAUGCAAUGCACGGAUCUUGCUAUUACUCCUACACAAGACUAAGUUGGUGAUGCUGGUGUGUCUGCCAUCCGUCGUUUCUGACCAUUAGAUCUACAUCUAACGAUUGUGAGGUAAGUUGUUGCCUUUUCUUACCAACAUCCCACUUGUCUACCAAUUUGCAGAAAAACCCAUAAUUAGUAUCUUAAAACCAACCACAUCCCUCCCUGACCUCACCCAAACAGCCCAAGGAAUAUAUUCUAAUUGAAACAUAAUAUAUCUCUAGUGACAUAUGUAUAUCAAAAUUAGAGUGUUUUGUACCAAGUUUGUGAAUAAGUAUUAUUCUAAUUAUGAUUCGUUGCAACGGACAUGAACAUUGCUAGUAUUUCCAACCAUGCAUUUUUUCCUAGUAUUCCAUAGUUUCGAGUUUUCCAUCAAGAUAUUAGUCACUCAUGGUUGAUAUUUACUUUCAAUCAUGUACCCAUAUGCACUAUGUAACUAGCCUUGCUUAUUGGCUUCCAAAGCUUAACUUUCACUCCUACUUACAAUAUGUAGAGUAUUUAACAAAAAACUACCACUUUCAGCCAGCCCUAGGAAGAAUCUAUUGUACAAAAAAUAGCAAAAACAUACCCAAAAUUUCUUAAUCCACGCUAAAAACUACCUAGUACUCCUACCGAUUAGGUUCGUUUAAACCCAUUUAUGACAGGGUUGGCCCACACGUCCGUGCUGACGAGGCAGCUUAAACCAACACAUUUUGUUUGACCGUUGACACGAGGGACCCACAUCUGACCUUCUAUCCUGUUAUUCCCCCUCAAAUCAUUAUUUUUCCUGAACAUUACUUCAAACAGUACGGAUGCGUAUUCGUCGGUGGCGCCGGUGAUGAGCGAGUUGGCCGCCGCUCCGCUGGACGGGCCGGAUGCCGCGGUGGCCUCCGCACGGGUUGGCAGGCUGGCCCGAGCGUGACUCACGAGCGAGCAAGCCGCCGCGCUGGCCUUCGCUCGAGCCAGAUGGCUGGCCUUAGCGCGGCGCGCGCGAGCAAGCGGCCGCGCUGCCGUGCCAAUCUAGCUAGCAAACCUUGCAGACAAGCAGCUGGACGGAGCUAUCUUGGCUAGCUAGCGGCCGCGAGCAACGGACGGAGCUGGCAUCCGGGCUACCGCAACAUGGGCUCCGCACCGCCGGCGGUUUUGACCUCGCCUUCUGCCGGCGGCGGUAGCUGCGUCCCAUGGCCGAGGAUGACUAGGAGGACGGGCCAGAGGUAGGAGGUCACUCGAGGAUUUUUGUUGGUAAGAGCAUGUACAAUGGUUGAUAAGGUAGUCUUAUCUUAAGUCUGCCACGUAUGCAAGUGGUAGUAGUUUCUUGGCAUUUUAGUGGUUUCUUGCAUUAUUAGAGCAAGUACAAUAGAGCCGAGUCAGCGGGCUAUAAGAAAUAAACUAGUAUAUUUCUUCUUAGUUGGAGGAAAGAGAAGAGGAGAGAGAAGGUAAGCGGGUUCGUGAAGAGCCAGCUCUAGCACGUGCUCCUAGGCACUAUGUGAGAAUGAGAAGUGGGCCACAUAAUAAAAAAGUAGUACACUCUUUUGAUCUAUUAUUGUACAUGUUGGCUAUAAGAUGAGCUGUAGAUGACAUGGCACUGGCUUAUAGCCAGCAGCUGGCUAUACUAUUAACCAUGCUCUUAGGGGUUUCUUGUAAGGAACAAUGUACGUACUACUAGCGACAAAAGGCGAUUCUAGGUUGCGUUGUACUCCAACGAGUACUACUAGUGGUCGCGGGAGUGUAUACCUCAUUUUGUGGGUUCAAUCCCGGCCGAACGCACGGCGGCCUUUUUUUUAAAAAUAGUACUACUACACUUCGCUGCAAGCCAAUAUUCACGGGUAGUUUGAGUUUUGAAGUCUAACGGACGUGCGGCCCCACAAUCUGGGUGCACUGGAUAGCCUAGCCACGUGAACGGGUUUUCCUUCCCAGCAUCCCGUGGCUCGCGUGCUCGCCCUAGCCGCAUCUCGCUUGCAGCUUCCAGCUAGUAGCAUAUUUAAACUAGCGCCUCCCAAUUAAGCCCGAGGAGCCGGAAAAGCCUGGCGGGGCAUUGGGAACUGUGCAAUAUGGCUCUGUACGUAAAGUGCUCUACUACUACUCUGUAGCUUGUGGCGUUACACGCAUGGACUUCACUCCAUUAUCGGCUCUACUAUAAAAGAAAUUCCUCUUGACGUGUUUUUUUGAAACGGAGGCAAAAGCUGUGCUUCAUCUCAUUCAUAAAGAAGGAACUACUAACAAAGUUUGACGAGAUCCAUUACACCUCCACAAAUGGAAGCGAAAAGCCUAGUCUCGCUGUAUCAAAUAACUCAAAUGUUCUGCCCCCGCAGUAACCGUCGCUGAUAAACAGGCUGUUAGUGUGUGCGUGAGAGGAGCGGCUGAGUAGGCCAGCUACGUGAGAGGAGCGGUUGAAUAGAGCACCGAGAGUACCCACUAGGCCACUACGCAGGUGUACUUCCCCUGCAUUGAUAGUACAGCGAUGGUUCUAGAGAACAAUAGUACCCUCCACUUCCAACUGUAGCUCCUUGGCCCUGAGAUUCAAGAGUUCAAAACUGGUGCACUAUACUAGACUAGACUAGAAGUACAGUAAAACGCACUACUAGUUGAGAAAAGUAGUACUAGUACUGCUACAGUACGAGUACGUACUCCUCCGUCACAUAAUGUAAGACGUUUUUUGACACUAGUUGGCGUGUACAAAAAAUGGCAAAAACAUACCCAAAAUUUCUUAAUCCACCCCAAAAACUACUACCUAGUGCCAAAAGUUUCUUACUAGUGCUAUUAUUUACAGUAUAAUGCAAUCCCAUAACGUUCCAUAAUGCUAGUACUUGUAGUAAAUAAUAGCCUCGCCCCUUCGCUAAGGAACGAUCUACAGUUGGAAGGGACGAGGCCCUGCGGUUACUACGCUCUUAUCUCCUCCUCGCCAGUUCCCCUCCCCCGAAGAGAAGGCAGUUCGUCGCUGCUCCCAUGGAUUCUCUAGGCGGUUCUCCUCCUCGUCGGGGCUGGGAGACCUUGGACGAUGAUCCUCUGGGAGAAAUCGCACGCCGCUCCGACUUCCUCACCGCCGCAAGACUCGGUGCUUCCUGCACCAACUUUUUCAAGACGCUGCUUAAGCAGGCUCGGGAAAAGGCCAUGCUUGUUGGUCUUCCAUGCGUCCUCGAGGAGAAGGUUCUUUUAUGGGACAGUCCUUCGAACAGUCCACCGCUCCCUGGCCAUGGUUGCACGUUGACUCCGCUAGAGUUGCCGACGUUGAGAGGUAGUCGGAUUUUGUCCGAUGAACAGGUCAGUAAUGGAGUUUGAUCAUGUAGUACUUAGUUAUUCCAUUUCCAUCCCGUAAUUUCUCUGCUGCCCACCGUCUUAUAUAUAGGUCUGGGUUGGUGCCAACGAAGAUUGGCUUGCAUACCUCCGGCCGGAUACCACCAUCAUUUUGCACAACAUCCACAGCAGUGCGGCCAUUUCGGUAGACCCCUUCUCCACCAUUGGGAUCGGCCUUCCGGACUGGCUGGGCUUGAGGCUUGAAUACGUAUGAUGAUGCCUACAUGAGAUUGAAGAAGAUAGCAAUUGCGGACCCGCCGACAAAGCGACGCGGCUACGACGAUUACUAUCUCAUCACGGUGUUCGACAUAAGAAUUGCCAUCAAUGCAAGAGGCAGUAACGGCAGAGGCUGGCGCAUGUUGGCGGCGGCAGAUUUGUACCCCUACACGUUCGAAGACGCCGUGUGCCAUCUAGGCCGCAUAUUCGCGGUGACAAGCCAGGUGACUUGUUUCAUCUGGUUGCCAUCCUACGGUACGGGAGAUUACAAACAGAAUGCACAAACCAUCAUUUGCAUCCCUAACGGUACUCCAUUAUUUUGCAGGGACCAGUCAUCCCCCGAUCAAAAUAAGAUCGCCGAUCCUGGAUGUGCAUUUGCAUCCGCGAUUCGGUCUAACCUGGAACCUUGUAGCUGACUUUGGCAUAUUGGGAUCAACUAUCUUAGCAGUCGUUACCCAUGGUACCACUGAUGUGCAACAUGGUCACACAAUCUACCACGAUCGGACCAUCACCAUCUACCCAGGUAUUCCAUUUUUUAACCCUCUCGCCUUCUCUUUCAUUGUUGUACUAGUAGUAUACUUUGUAGUACUAGUAGGAGUACUUUUUACCUUGGAGGACGCGUAUAGCUAGCUAGGCCCUUAAAGACUUGAACCCACUAGCUGCCACCAUUUUUGUUUUUCCAUGUCUUACUAUCUCAUCCAUGUUGCCAAGAGUGGCUAUAUAUAAUAAGCCAGUUAUUUUACUUCCUCUAUACCGGAGUAGUACUAUUUGCUGCACAGUAUUACUGACCGCCAUAUUUGAGCCCAACAUUAUUAUGCAUGGACCUUGACUAUGUACGUCACCAUGUGUCCAGAUCUGGGAUGCCGCGUGUACGAGAUGAACAGCGCCGAGUUCGACCCCCGUGAUGCUACGUGGGUGCCGAGGAACACUCUUGGAGAGUACUCGCUUUUCAUCGGGGACAGCUACCCCAUUGUGAAGCGGAUGCCACCUUCCGUGCAUGACACGGAAGGCCUGCCGUUCAUGAAGCAUGGUUGUGUCUUCAGUGCGCACCGCCGGAUGAACGACAAGCUGGGACACGCUAUCCCUGAUUUAUGCCGCUUCAGCUUGGAUGAGUCUCCAUCGUGUGGAACCGGACUAGAAAGCUGCGACAAUGAUUCCCGUUGCCCACCGCUAUGGAUCGUGCCAUCCAUGAAGAACACAUGGGACUGGAACCUGGAGGAGGACAUGUAGCCCAUCUAUAACAUGUAAGUGGAGUACGGUAAUUGUGAACGGUAGCGCUGUGAAUAUAUGUAGACUAGUCGUGCACAAAUUUAUCACAUGAAUUGGAGAUGAACUUGUGUGGCAUACUAGUAAGUGUGUUACGUGUACGUGCAACUUGUGUGGUUGUUGCACGGGCUCCAACACGCUCUUUGAGAAAAAAAGGUGGCACAACUUUGGAUAUACGUGACGUGGCGACAUCAUACAGUAGCAUCGUUCGCUAUAGUUGUAGUACACUCCUACUAGGAUGCCAACUCCUAUAAAACCUUGCGCUUGGCUCUUUGCCUCUUCGGGAGGUUUAACAGUUCGUACUCUUGUGAACCUUGCACUUGGCUCUUCGCCUCUUCGGAAGGUCCAACAAUGAUGAUACUACAGUACAAUAUGCUUCUGGCAAUCUGACACCGAUUGAACUGCUGCACGUCCACCGCGAGGGCGAGGGCGAGGGAGAGGGAGAGGGAGAGGGCGCUGUAGUCAAAACCCUCUCCUCGUCCUGCGAACCACCGCACGCGUGGGCGAGGGAGAGGCGUAGUAAGCAAGCUUCUCCUCGUUCGGCGAGUUGACGGGACACAUCAAAGCAGUACUAGUACUAGUAGUAGUAGUCCAUACUGCGUCCUUUCCAAUUAAUAUGGCUUAAUUUGAAUCGAGAAAAAUACACUGGCGGUAAACAUAUGUAACAAUACGCUCUUUACGGUCACUAUAUAUAGUUUUGCGGCGAUUAUACGAUCACUAGCUCAUCGUAGAGCACUGUAUUGCACCCUACUGACAGGCCACAUAGUCGACGUGGCACUUUGUUGACUGGUUAAAUUGUCACCUGGUUUCUGGGUCCCACCUGUCAGUUGGCAGAGCAAAGAAAUCAGUGUUGCGUGCGUCCAUGUGUACGUGUGAGUGUUGCAUGUUGCAUGCAUGCAUGCAUGGGGCUUACUCCCUCCCAUUGACAUGUUCAUAUUUCAAGCUUCCUCUGUUCCCUCCAUAUGGUAAUACUCCCUCUGUUCCCAAAUAGUACGGAGUAAAAGCCUCCCUCUGUUCCCAAAUACGGAGUAUUUGUCUUUCUACAGAUUUCAACAAGUGACUAGGUACGGAGCAAAAUGAGUGAAGUGAGCGUAGAGGCAUUGGGAUACUGUAGAAAGGAAGUCCUCGCGAUCCAUUAUUCCCCAUCUCGGUCUGAGAGAACUAUUCAACUAGUCUUCGUAGUGAAGUGACAAUACACACUGUAGUAGAUGGGACACGUAAAUAAUAAGCUGAACCAUCGUGUUGGUGUUACUAAAUCAGCCUUACCCAGUACUGCCAUCAUGUUUGCCAGUAGAGCACGCUUCCGCAAAUAUGCCUACGCACCUCUGUCCUCCAUUAACUGACAUAUGGGCCCUGUUGUGGUAGACCCACAUGACAUCGGUGUAACUAUUUACACUCCGAAGGACGGUAUAUCCUGGUAGUAGUACUAGUAGAAUUGAGAUUGAAUGCACUUUCUUCCCCGUCUUCCACUCUUCUUCCACCUCUCUUCUUCUUCCUCCUCUCUUCUUGUUCCUCCUCUCUUCCCCAUCGUCGGCCGCACACCAUUUACCCCCGCUCACUGCUCGCCCGCCCGCGCCAUCUUCCUUGGUAGCUCGCGCGUACCAUAUCCCCCCACUCACUGCUCGGCCACACAAGGAGAAGCUUCUUUGCUCGCCCGCCCGAAUCCACUUCCCCGCUGGCUCGCAGGCACCGAAAACCCCAAUGGCAGAACCGACUGACACGCAGAGCCGCGAUUGGAAUUCCCUCCCCGAUGUUCUCUUGGAGCAGAUCUGUAGUCGUAUGGAUCUACUCAGCACCGUCCGUCUGGCCGCAUGCUCGGUGUCUUCGUACCGUCUACUCGUCUGCAAUCGGCCGGCUCUUUUCAAGACACCCUGCUUGCUGAUGCCCGAUCCUCGCAGGUGGCCUAGACACCGACUUGAUGAUCCUACGGAGGUUGCCGUGGUGCCCCUCGACAUGCUACCACUACCCGUCCACCUGUCCUUCAUGCGCGGCCACUACUGGGCGGGCAUGAAGGCCAACUAGAUCGUCCUCAUCCACCACACCGGUAGUCUGUGGCGUCUCGUGGAUAUCUACACCCAGCGAGAGAUCACCCUUCCAUCGUUGGAUACCGCCGCCAUCGAGCCUCGCGGCCCGUCGGACACUCCUGCCUACUACGCACGAGACGCGUCAAGCUUUUGGCCCGACCUCUGUUUGCAGAAAGUUGUAAUCUGCGAAGUGCCCACACCAUCCGAAGACUACAUGCAUUACAAGCUCAUUGCCUUGUUCAACAUGGGAUUAGUCUAUCUGGAAUCCGGUCGCCAUACAUGGUUAUGGCUCAUCAUCAAUCUUGUCGAGGCAACAUUUCUGUCUGAUGCUAUAGUGCACGAUGGCAUCGUUCACGCGGUCGACGCAUCGAUUGGCUGCCUAUACUGGUGGAAUCUAUCAUCGUGUAAUUGUUCUAUCUCAUCUCAUCUUUACCUUAUGAAUACGACUGCCUGUUCAUUUGUUACAAAUUUAGAAUGCAUAUCAUGUCUAUAACCACAUCAUUGCUAUAUGUUCCUAUCAUUUCCUAGAUUUUUAUGACCACACAUGUUAUUGUUAGAGUUGAUAUGAGAACAAUUGGCAUCUAAUGAUUGUUAGAAUACAUAUUAUGAGCAUAACAUCUUGAUUGCUAUAUGUUACUCUCGUUUACAAGAUUUUUAUAACAACGCAUGUUAUUGCUUAGAGUUGAUAUGAGAAUAGUAGUAGUAAGUGCUAUGGUAGAAUAUGAGUAGGCGCUGUCAUAGCUGUUUUCCUCUCAUUGUUACAUGAUGUUUGAACCAUGACAUAUUGCUAGAAUAUGAAAGCCAUUGGCUUAUUUUUUUAACUUGGGGUAUGAUUAUGACCACGACAUUGCAAUUCUCUGUCUAUGAUAUGUGUCACUGUUAUAAUAAUCUUAAUUCCACACAUACUCUGAACAUGAUUGUUUAUUUUUGUCAUUUUGGUCUCCAAUUUGAAUUGUUGCAGCAGAUGCAAAUGCGCUGGCCUUCAUGAUUCCAGGACCUGGAAUCAUACCAGCCGAUGGGUGGUGGUUUAUCGCUCGUUCAGCUGACGGCGAUCAUUUGAUGCUCAUUCGCACGUACCAAAUUGACCAAACCAUUACAUCAAACCACAUGCAGUACAAUGCGUGGGGCGUUCAUGACAUUGAUGGCUAUGGCUGCUUCGUGUUCGAGAAAGAUCCCAGCUCCGUUGGGCCAGGCGUAUUCAACUGCAGGCGGGUUUACAGCCCCGGCAACCACUCCUUGUUAGGUGACACAAGAAUCCCGGCGGCGUGUUCGGGUAUUCUGGACUUCAAAUUUGGAGUACCACUUAUUUGUCGAAAUCUUUCAUCAUUCACUUAAAACAGUCGAUUGAUCAUACAUUGAGUACCAUAUAACUGGAAUUACCGAUGCAAGUCGAAGAAGGAUUAGCCGGUGCUGCCGGCUGGCGUCAAGUUUGAUCCCACGGAUCAGGAGCUGAUCGAGCACCUUGAGGCCAAAGUGAGUGCUGACAGCGCGAGAUUUCAGUCUCUCAUUGAUUUGUUCAUACCAACCAUCGACAGCGAGCAGGGCAUAUGCUACACCCAACCUGAGAAACUUCCAGGUAAGACACCGAUCGGCCGUCUACUUGCACAAACAUAUUCCUUUGUUUAUAGCUCUAUUUUUCUUUUUAGACGCAGACCUGGUGAAGCAAUUACAAUUUGACAGUUAAUAAAAAGUGAAAGAAGUGACUGCAACAUGCCAAAGAUGUUAUGAAAAUGCCAACUAGGUACACUAAAACCUGUAUUCCACAAUACUGCAGGUAUCACACUGAGUGGCCUAAGGAAGCAUUUCUUCCAGCACAAUUCUAGGGCGUUCAAAAGGGGCACGUGGACGCAUCGCAAGAUACAGUCAGAGUGCGGCAUGCACGCAAUGUGGCACAAGACCGGCAAUACCUUGCCGGUGAUGGUCAACGGCCGGCAGACGGGCAGCAAAAAAGGUUCUGGUGCUGCACACCAACAAGAACUUCGACCAGCAGAGGACCAACUGGGUGAUGCACCAGUACCACCUCGGGGACCUGGAGCAAGAGAAGGAGCAGGAGCUGGUCCCCUGCAAGAUUUUCUACCAGACGAACACUAGGGCCAGGAGUAAAAAGAUUAUAAGUUAGUUUGGUAUUGGUAGUUGUACUACCUUGUCGUCCGCAAAUUGGUAUUGUUGUUAACGAUCUUUUGGUAUGAACUUGCAUUUGCUUCCAACCAUCAUGCCGAGGGUCGACGUGGAUAUAAAGCUGAAUCAUUUGUUUCAAAACGAAUUUUCAGGCACCUGAUUUUUAUUUGAUGGGUAGCAUAAGCACCCGCCGUUCGAAUUCCCAGUUCUCCAAUUUUUUCGAAACAAGUGCAUGCACUUAUUAUCACGAUAAAAAAACAAUAUCCGUGCUGCAUCCCAGUUAUCAGUCUGUACUUGCAGAAUUCUCUCAUUUAUUGAGCACGUAUAUUGUUUUUUCAGGUCGAGCAAGUUUCAACUGGGUUGUAGACUGCCCAGGGUUGGUUUUGUUUUUAACAGGCCCAGCCCAUGACGACAACGGGGCACAAAGAUCCAGCAGGUAUCUACUGGCCUCUGGCCCGCCAGCGUUACUUAUAUUUUGUCUUACAACAUCCGCAAGCAGUUUUUUUACUAAAUCAAACACACAGCCUAGUUCUAUUUUCCUCUUGAAACGCAUGUCCUACAUCCGUUUUCUAAUCUCUACCUAUAGUUUUACUAGUUCAUAUACACGUAUCAUUAUAUUGAAAACACAUAAAAUUCCCUUUUCAUAUAUACAUCCUUAUUUUUGUUGUUUUUUCCCACCCAGCGCUGUUUUUUACCACUGGUUUUCCUUAAACCAACUCAAUUGUCCCACGUCUUAUUUGCUUACAAAAACAAAACGAUUUUUUUGGCAAAUCAAUAAGUUCUUAAAAAAAUGUUUAUCAUUUCGGGAUUACAACAGUUCGGACUCCACCGAAAUAUGCAAAAUAAGGUUGAACUUUUUGACCGUGGUCCUGGGCAGAAAAUGGGCUGUAAUAAAUUACUUAAGAAUUAGCAAAUGGGCUGCAAAUUAUAAAAAAUAGCAAAUGGGCUUUAUGUUGUCUGCCACAGAUUUGGAGGCUGACUUGUGGGCGUACUAAGUUCAUGCGUACACAAGGUUUCUCAAAAAAGAAACUUAGUCAACAAUCGACUCUACCAGCAUCAGACCGUUAGAUGUCAAUCUAACGGCAAUCGUGCUUCUUCAGUCUCUGAUCUUCCUGCCCCAGCCGCCCAAACCAGCGCCAUCGGAACCGCCUGCUCCCGCCUCCCGUGGCCGGCAAUGCUGCCGGGCAGGCCUCACGGCCCCAUCAUACUAGCAUCCCUGGCCUGUCUAUCCCUCUACUCACCCACACCUCCUGUUAUUUUCCGGCUACGGCAACCGAACCAGUCAACCCUCGUACUCUCCACCGCGUGGGCAGCCACUGCCGUGUCUUCCCCGGCUCCGUGUCGUUCCCUUCGUAGGCCUCGCCAUCGUCCACCGCCCUGGUGCUCUCGGCGCGGCGUGGUCAACGAUGUCCAUCCAACGGCCGUAGUGCUUCUUCAACCUCUGGUCUUCUUGCCCCAGCCGCCCAAAGCAGCGCCGGUCGUGCCGCAUGCUCCUGCCUCCCGUGGCCGGCUGUGCUGCCGCGGAGGCCUCACCGUCCCCAUACUACUCCCACCGCUGGCCAGGCCAUCCCUCCACUCAUCCACUCCCCCUGUUAUUCUGCGGUGACGGCAGCCUCACACCGCAGCCGAACCAGUGAACCCUCGUACUCCUCUCCGCGCGGGCAUCCACUGCCGCGUCUUCCCCGGCUCCGCGUCGUCCCCUUCCUAGGCCUCGCCGUCGUCCACCGCCGUGGUGCUCUCGGCGCAGCGUGGUCAAUGUGGUCAACGACCGACUUCCAUCGGAAGCGUACUGUACGUGGAGAGGCUGACAGCUGGGUCCACGGCAGCCGCAAGGAAGUGCCUCCUUAUUACGCGCAAAAUAAUUAUUCCUCCACCUGACAGCAGGGACCCACCGGACGGGCCACCAGUAUUUUGCGGAAAAAACGUUUGCCCCUGACUGCUGGGACCCACCGGACGGGCCACCGUAUUUCGUGGAAAAAACGUUUGCCCCUGACUGCUGGGACCCACCGGACGGACCACCGUAUUUCGCAAAAAAACGUUCCCCCCGCUGUCAGCUCAGACCCACCGGAAGUGCCUCCUUAUUACGCACAGAAAAAUGAAUACCCCCUGCUAGCUAGGACCCACCAUGGUGGGAGGCUGACUUGUGGGCCUACUAAGUUGACGGGGACGGAGGGCUUUGUCAACUUAGUCAAUAUGGACGAUUCUAGCUCCAGUGACCGUACGAUGUCCAUCCAACGGCCGUCGUGCUUCUUCAAUCACUGCUCUUCCUGCGCCAGCCGCUCGAACAAGCGCCGGCGGGACUGCCUGCUCCCUCCUCCCCACGGCCGGCUCUGCUGCCGCGCAGGCCUCACCACCCCACCGUACUCCCAUCGCUAGCCUAGCCAUCCCUCUACUCACCCACACCUGCUGUUAUUCUCCGGCGACGGCAGACGAACCAGUAAACCCUCGUACAGUCGUACUCCCCUCCACGUGGGAAACAACUGCCGAGUCUUCCCUGCCUCCGUGUCGUUCCCUUCCUAGGCCUCGCCGUCGUCCACCGCCCUGGUGCUCUCGGCGCGGCCUGGUCAACGUGGUCAACGACCAACAUGCAUCUGAAGUGGACUGUACGUGGAGAGGCCGACAGCUGGGGCCACGGCCGCACGCAAGGGAGUGCCUCCUUAUUACGCUCAAAAUAAUGAUUCCUCCACCUGACAUCAAGGACCCACCAAAAGGGCCUCUGUAUUUCGUGAAAAAAACUUUACCGCCACUGACAGCUCGGACCCACCAGCUAUAUCUUCGCACGCAAGGAAGUGCCUCCUUAUUACGCACAAAAAAAUGAAUACUCCUCCUGUUAGCUGGGACCCAGUAUAGUGGCAGGCUGACUUGUGGGCCUACUAAGUUGACGGGGACGGAGGGCUUUGUCAACUUAGUCAAUAUGCACGAUUCUAGCUCCAGUGACCGUACGAUGUCCAUCCAACUGCCGUAGUGCUUCUUCAACCUCUGGUCUUCUUGCUCCAGCCACCCAAACCAGCGCCGGUCGUGCCUCGUGCUCCUGCCUCCCGUGGCCGGCUGCGAUGCGGUGGAAGCCUCACUGCCCCCUACUACUCCCACCGCUGGCCAGGCCAUCCCUCUACUCACCCACACCCCCUGUUAUUCUGCGGCGACGGCAGCCUCACACCGCAGCGAACCAGUGAACCCUCGUACUCCUCUACGCGUGGGCAUCCACUGCCGCGUCUUCCCCGGCUCCGCGUUAUCCCCUUCCUAGGCCUCUCCGUCGUCCACCGCCCUGGUGCUCUCGGCGCGGCGUGGUCAACGUGGUCAAGGAACGGCUUCCAUCGGACGUGGACUGUACGUGGAGGGGCUGACAGCUGGGUCGACGGCCGCAGCAAGGAAGUGCCUCCUUAUUAUGUGGAAAAUAAUUAUUCCUCCACCUGACAGCGGGGACCCACCGGACGGGCCACCGUAUUUCGCGAAAAAAUGUUUCCCCCCUGACUGCUGGGACCCACCAGCUACACCUUCGCACGCAAGGAAGUGCGUCCGAGCAAAAAAAAAACAAAACGAUUCGCCCCCCUGACUGCUGGGACCUACCAGCUACAUCUUCGCACGCAAGGAAGUGCCUGACAGUCGGGACCCACCUGGUCUAAGCGUACGUAGCGUUGUCAUUCUGGUCGCGAACGUGUACGUACGUAUAUACUGGUGGAUGUAGAGGCGCGCACGUGUCGUAGUAGAGGCGUGUACAUGUCGUAGUAGAGACGCACACAUAGCAUGUACACGUACGUAUAGCGGCCAGGGUGCAAGAAAGAAAAUACGGCCACGUAUGUGUAUAUACGGGCGGGGUCUCGAACGCCUACUCGCGCAUACGUACGGCCAGGGCUCGUGUACAUGGCUGGGUCGGAACGGAGAAACAGCGUCGUCGUCGUGUUCAUGGGGAGGCAAUGGAAUGCGUCGUGUUCAUGGGGAGGCAACGGAAUGCGUCGUGUUCAUCGGGAGGCAACGGAACGCGUGGGAGCCAACCGGCUGGGUCGGAACGGAAUGCGUGGUCGUGUUCAUCGGGAGGGCUUGGACGGAACAGGCGAUGGAAACGAGGCCUGGCGUACCGCAGAACGGAGAAAACGGACCUCCUACGGUCGAAACGGGGGUCCUAUUGAUCGGGAGGGGUGUGGCGUACCGCAAAACGGAGGAAACGGACCUCCUACGGUCGAAACGGGGGUCCUGUUGAUUGGGAGGGGUGUGGCGUACCGCAAAACGGACGAAACGGACCUCCUACGGUCGAAACGGAGGUCCUGUUCAUCGGGAGGGGUGUGGCGUACCGCAAAACGGGACUCCACGGGAUACUGUUCAUCUCCACCGUCGACCUCCUCCAGCCUCCACGGGCUACCGUCGACCUCCUCCAGCCUCCACGGGCUCCUGUUCAUCCAGCCUCCACCGCGCGCUACUCCACCAGCUACUGUUCAACCACCCCUCCACCGUCUACUGUUUAUCCAGCCCUCCACACCACGGGGUCCUGUUCAACCACCCCUCCACGGGCACCCCUCCACCGUCUACUGUUCAUCCAGCCCUCCACACCACGGGGUCCUGUUCAUCCAGANNNNNNNNNNNNNNNNNNNNNNNNNNNNNNNNNNNNNNNNNNNNNNNNNNNNNNNNNNNNNNNNNNNNNNNNNNNNNNNNNNNNNNNNNNNNNNNNNNNNNNNNNNNNNNNNNNNNNNNNNNNNNNNNNNNNNNNNNNNNNNNNNNNNNNNNNNNNNNNNNNNNNNNNNNNNNNNNNNNNNNNNNNNNNNNNNNNNNNNNNNNNNNNNNNNNNNNNNNNNNNNNNNNNNNNNNNNNNNNNNNNNNNNNNNNNNNNNNNNNNNNNNNNNNNNNNNNNNNNNNNNNNNNNNNNNNNNNNNNNNNNNNNNNNNNNNNNNNNNNNNNNNNNNNNNNNNNNNNNNNNNNNNNNNNNNNNNNNNNNUCGAUCGGCUUCAGUUAGCAGCAGUAGCGAAGGAAUCGCUCGAUCGGGUUCAGUUAACAGACAUCGAUCGAUCGCUCGGGUUCAGUAAUGCGUAGCCUGCAGUGUAAUCGCUCGGGUUCAGUUAGAGCCCAACCCCUCGCUCGGGUUCAGUUAGAGCCAACGCCUCGCACACACGCGCGUACGUGUACGAGAGAAACGCACAUCGCUCGGCCCCCGACCUACCACCGUAACCGGGAACUCCCCGAAAUUUUCCUCGCCCUCGCUUCUACCAUGGUUUUUUCCGUCAUGGACGGCCCAAAGAAUGUCAUGUAGCUGCGUCUCCGCCCGCCCAGGACGAAAAGCCCAUUUUCUGUCAUGAUUUUUUGUCAUAGAAGUAGGAGCCCACCACAUCUAUGAUGAUACCGGGUUUUGUCACAAUUAUCGUCAUAGAAGUGUCACAUGUAUGACAGAAAAAAAUUUCGUUUGGCCCAAAAUGUCACGGAUGUGUCUUUUUUUGUAGUGUAAGGGGCCUCUGAAACCGGGACAAAUGGGCCGGUUUCUACCAGUGGAAGCUCCAUCCUCCUUUCUCGUCCUCUCUUCCUUUUCUCAUAUCAGCUUUCAUCCAUCUCCCAUACUGUUGCACCUCACCUCUCCCUAGUCCAAUAGAACACGCCUUGUCCACGUGUCCAAUUAUACCACACGUGUAACAAAAAUCAGGGAGGUACUCAUACUCUAGGGGGCACCAUUUUUGCUCAUCAUCUUUCUUCUUUCUUUUAUCCACGUCCAUCACUUCUGCAGACUCCUUGUCUUCUCCCGUUCAAUAUCCAAAGUGAUUCCUCUCAACAGUGGCUUUGUAAUGUCUAGUCUAACUUUCAGCCUAAGGAAACUUCCAGCCACAUUAUCAUCAUCCCCCUGGUUACCUCCAUGAACUCGCCAAUCUCGUCACCAAUGAUCCCUCCGUUUUCUUCACUCAUGAAACCUAGCGGCAUCUUGGUCACCCUGACCCAAAUAGGGAUGAUAGUGAACUCAUACUCUUCUAGCGUUUUAGCUGGGUCGAAAUCUACCAUCACAAUCAGGUUCUUGCCCACCAUCCAUGGCCCUUCCUCCAAUGCUUUCCUCUUCCCCGCUGCUUGCAAGAAGGUGAAAAGAAAGGUGUUGUCCUCUAACUCCUUGCACUUGAUUCCCUUGAUCGGACACCACGCUCUUCCGAGGGAUUUAAUCAUACCUUCCACAUAUACUGGUUUGUCGGACAUAACCUUACCGAUCGCCUGUGGAUCUUCCGUUCCCGUUCUCCUCAACCCGCCCCUUCCGAUCUUGACUCCCUUCUUCUCUGCUUCUGGCAACCGCAACUUCUGCAUCAAACCUUCCACUUUCUCCAUUGUGUCGAGGACUUGCAUCAAUCUAUGGUUUACUAGGUGGUUGUAUUACGAAUGGAUGCCCUAGCAACACUCGUAAGGCUUUUGGUGGAUGGGUGAGCGGUCUCGAGAUCAAUCUAGCAAGGAUCGCCGAGGCUAGGGGGAGAGUUUGCUGGCGUCGGCCAGAGACGGGGUCGCCUGAGGGGACUCUAGGGUUUACCAGGAGUCACCGUAGAAUCCCCUGGGAAUCGCCCAAGCGCCAAUCAUGGAACCGUCACCCAAGGGACGGACGGGUUAAGGAUGAUAAUUAAAGCGGACUUUGAUAGAGAGACACGUGAGAAAUAGAGUGAUAGAGAGAGAUACGUGAAAAUUAAAGCGGUUUUAAUUUCUUUCUUUUCUGUAAUUAAAGAGAUACGCAUGAGAAAUAGAGAGAUAAGAGAGAUACCUGAGAAUUAAAGCUGUUUUAAUUUUUUCCGUUUCUAUGAUUAAAGAUCUGAUCUACACAGUUACAAUCUUGACCUGCAAAAUCAACGGCCUCCAUUUUCUAUUUUUCUCUAAUUAAUGUGGGAAUUUCUUGGGAGUGCCUAUUAGUAUAGGUAUAUAUAUGUGCAAAAAUCUCGACAUUAAUGAACAUAUAUCUGGUGCACUUGCAAUCUUUUGUAGUACAUUAAUGAAUAUUUAAAGUAUUUUCCAACUCUUGCUAUUUAUAGACUUGUCGUCCGUGUCUGCCACAUUUGGAGUCCAACUAUUUCCUACUGGAACCUUACACUCCACUAGAACUGAGUUUGUCAAGUAACAGAUAACCAAUAUGAGAGGGAGCAGCCUAGUGCAGGCGACGAUGAUAUUCUUCAUUGGAUGCCUUGUGCUUUGUGCACAGUGUAAGUAUAUAUCAUCAUCGUCUUUAGAAUCUUGUGUUAACUUCUUGCCACUAAUUCUUCGGAUCAGACAUACAUACACACACACAUCUGCGGUACUGCAUACUAAGGUUAAAUAUACUAUACAGGUGCUCUCGAUAAUAAGCAAAGGAUGGUCAACCAGGAUGAUCAUGCGGCGAACACAAGUACCAACGCUACCAUCAUCAACUCAACAACUGUAGGCGAGAGCAAGAAAACCGAGAAAUUUUGCAGCCUCUUUCUCGUAUGUUAUUUCAACAUUGAGAUUCGUGCUGAGUGCUACUGUUGCGAGAAUAAGAAUGCCGACUGUUACAAGACGAAGAGUGAGUGCCUGCAAAAGUGCCAUUCCUACAACGGUUAAUGCCCACCUUCAUCGCGGUCUUUGGGAUAGAAUUCCAUAUGCUUGGAAAAUUUGCCCGUCGGUAAUAAAAGGCACCUUAUAUGGUUUGGGCAAUUAGGUUCCAAUUAAACAUGAGAAAGCCCGCAUGUUUCCGUGUAGAUCCAACAAGGAAAAAUUUGAUGAAAGAAAUCCAAGUAACUAGUUGUCUUGCAUAUUUACAAAGUUCAAAUCCUUUGGUUGUUGUGCUUUGACUCGAUUGUCUAUUAUGCUGUUUCAUUUACUUGCACAUUGCCCACUUGUUCAUUUAACACACAUCACCCACUUGGUGAUUUGCUAGUUGUGGGCUGACAGUCAUAUAGAUUUUUUUUUUUGAGAUCUCGUCAUAUAGAAUUGUAAUAGCACUGACAUGGAAAAAGUUAAAAACUGAAAAACUGAAAAAAGUAAAUCAAACAAACAAAUGGUGCGCAAACUAAAUCAGACGGCACAAGACAAGUGAGAUUUAGUCAGGACUCUUUCAGAUGAAGAUAAGCAAAUUGCAAGAAAACAACAUGCAGAAACAUUUUUAUAUCAUAGCAUAACAUGCAAAAAAGCACAUAUAUAGUACAACGACAACCCACGUGUCUAUACGCUAUCUAUAUGUAUAUCUAUCUAUCUAUCUAUAUCUAUCUAUCUAUCUAUCUAUAUAUAUCUAUCUAUUUAUACCUACUAAUAAAAGACGGAGCAUUUAUGCCCAUCCGUCUCAUGUUUUGCAACAAAAUACCCUACUUUUUUCUUUAAUUACCCGCGGUCAAGGUUUAGGUGAGGUUCGUCCGUUGUGUUUUUUGCAAAGAACGAGGAAAUGGUUGCGUUUUGUGAGAUUCAAACUCAUGAUGUCCCCUCCAUGCCCAAAAGCCACAGCCAACUGAGUUAGCAUGCACUUGUGCUACCAAAUAGGUCCAUUAUUUCAUUAAAUUGUCCAACCAUGAUACUUUGCAUAAGAAUACGCAAAUUUAUAUGUGAUUUCAAAUUGCCUGGAAAUCAACAAGCCAACUCGAUAACCAAGAAAUAGAGGGAGAGGAGGAAUUCACUCAAUAAAUAGUGUUAACUAGCAGGGUUUCCCGUGCAUUUGCGCGGCUAGAUUGACCCUUUCCGAUGCCAACUAUAUGGCCUUUCACUAAACUAUAUUUUGAUUAAAUUUACACCCUGUAUAUGACAUCAUAGAAAAAAUGAAAAUCGCAAUGAAACAUGCAAGUGCAUUAGGUUGUUCAUUUUAAUAUAGAAGUGCAUUAGGUUUUUAAAUAAAUUCCUUGGGAUGUCAGGUUGCAACACCGAUAAAAAACCAUGUAUGGGAUUUCAUGCCAAUCUUGGUGUUUUUCGUCUUUGAUCACUCCUCCUUUGUAUCAUUUAAUAGGUUUUCGAGAAAUUCCCUACCAAGACUUAAAUCUAAACAUGAAAUUCUGGUAUGUAAAGGUCCCUUCUUCUAGUCAUAUCAAUCAACGGACGCAUUCUUAACUACCUUUUCUUGAUUAAUGCUGCCUACCCACUUAUGUAUCAAGAGAUUGACAUCUUCUAUCGUGCUUAUUUUUUCUAUUGAUAAUAUUUUACAAAAUAUUAUCUUUGACUCACUCCCUUUUAAGCUUAUUCAUGAUGAUCAUGGCUGUUUUAUUGCAUCAUCUUGUAUUUUUGUAUUUUUCUAUAAUUAUAUUAAGGGAAAGGUGUGACAGCUCCCAGGUGCGGGGGCACCCUCAUGAACAAUAACUUCAAAACAAUACGAAAAAAAUCGAAAAAAUCUGAAAUUUUGGGGGAUCAAAUAUGAUCAAACUUUUGAUGUUAUUGCAAAUUUCAGCCAGAAAUAACACUCGAGGAGCCCUCAUAAAAACAAUUACUGCUCAAAAGUACACAUAAGUUUGAACACCGAUUUUGUUUUUUUGUGAGGGCUGCACGAAUGUUUUUUGAUGCUAAAACUUUGCAUGAACGUUGAAUGUUUGAUCAUAUUUGAUCCCCCAAAGUUUCAGAUUUUUUCGAUUUUUUCAUAUUGUUUUGAAUUUGCUGUUCAUGGGGGUGCCCCUGCACCCGAUAGAUGAAAGUCCAGUCUCUUAUAUUAAUCAUACAAGUAAUUGUAGACCAAAUAUGUUUAAAUUUUUUGUUCAUGAAUUUCAUAAGGAAUGAAAAUACUAUUUGAAACUUCAUCUUAUUUUUCAUCCGAAUUUCAUACGGACAGUGUGCUUUACAUUCUUCAUCUGAAUUUUUUGUGAACCAUGCAAGGCAACUGUGAUCAUUAUGUAUAGGAGAUAGAGGGAAAAACCAUUCUACAUCUGAUUUUCAUUUUAUUAAGUUAUUAUUAAGUUAUUCGUCACCUUGGGUGAGGAAUAGUUAUUCUUCACCCUCUCUAUUUUACCAUCAAUGCACCGUAAUUUUACGUUACGUAAGUUUUGUUUUAUUUCCGACGUAAAAAGAGACCGUAAGAAAAUAUAUAAUCAUCGUAAAAAAUAUUUUAUGUUAUGUAAAAUUACAAACGUAAAAACAUAGUGUAAAAUAUACAUAAACUGCAAAUUUUCUUGUCUUAUGACCUAUAUUUUUUUUCUUAUGCCAAAUUUUAUGUAGUGAAUCAAUAAAAAGGUAAAUAUUUGAAUUCCAAACGUAAUUUAAUUAUGAAAUGAUCGUAAGAUUACUUCGGGUGAAGAAUAACUUAUUAUGCACCCAAGGUGAUGAAUAGUAUUGAUUUACUGCAGAAUAAGUUACAUUCAUAUUGAUUUACUACAGAAUAAUCUUCCGAUCAUUUCAUAAAUAAAUUACAUUUGAAAUACAAAUAGUUACAUUCAUAUUGAUUUACUGCAUAAAAUUUGGCAUAACAAAAAAUAUAUAGGUCCAAAAUUGUAUUUUAUGUACAUUUUACACUAUGUUUUUACUUUUGUAAUUUUACGUAACAUAAAAUAUUUUUUACGACAAUUAUAGGUUUUCUUACGUUCUCUUUUUAUGUCUAAAAUAAGACAAAAUUGACAAAGCGUAAAAUUACGGUGUAUACAUGUUAAAAUAGAGGUGGGUGAAGAAUAACUAUUCCUCACUCAGGGUGACGAAUAGUCAAUCCCUAUAUAUAUAUAGCUGUAUCUGCUAUGGUUUUUAUAAACAUUUUGGUUCAUCUAUAGUUCUACACCAUUGUAAUCUUGAACCACAAUCAUUGUUGCAAUUAUAUCAUCCUAUGUCGACGAAUUGUAGUGACUUAUUUUGUUUGGUGUUCAUAUAAAAUUUAAAAGAAUAUAUUCUUUUGCACUGUAUUUGUUUGUAUCGAGAGCUACAAUGAUUAGUAUACUGCAGACAAUAUUUUGACCUAAUGUUGUGCCUUGUUUUCCAGUCGACCGCUUUGCUAUCUCUACCUAAUAUUAAAGGAAGGAUUGUUUCUUCACAAAAUUUCGUUUAUGGUGGGACCCACAAGUUUUUUUGUCCAUCCCUCUUCGUUUAUGAUGGCAAAAAACUACGACGCAAAGAAAAUAAUAAUACGCCGGGCACUCCUCUGGCCAAAAAAUUAUGCCGCAAGGACUCGAACCCAGGCGCUCACGCAAGACAGCCAGCCACUGGAAUAAACAAAAUCAUGUGUUUAGCUAAUGCGCACUUUUAUAUAUGUACGCACCUGCUUUUCAGUCAGAAAAAAAAUACGCAUCUAAACGUGUACGUAUCGUGCAAUCAAUCAGCCUCAACUAAAGCUUCAAAACAAAAAAAAGCCCCAACUAAAAAACAUGUACGCAUCUGCUUGCAAUGAAAAAAAAAAAACACAUACACAACUGAGUUGGACGAGCACAGCCACGGCCCACAGCUGCCAUGCAUUCCGUCAACUGCUGGAAGAUUAUUCUCGAAACAAAAAACUGCUGGAAGAUUAAUCGGCCAUAAAACUGCUGGAAGAUUAAUCGGCCACCAUGCUGCACGCUUCAUCAUGUGCCAAACUCAAACAUUAUUUUUUCAUCUCUACCAUAUUACAAGUAAUAUGUGUACAUAAACAUGUAUGACCGGUCUAUUCAAGCCAAACAUUAGUCUUUAGACGAAUGGCUUCCUAAUACAUUGGUUAUGAUUUUCACGUGUAAUGUGGAGGAUUGUUUCUCUACUUUUUUUGUCAUCGUUUUUUUUGGUACGUCCUUUUUAUUCCGUUUCGUCCAUUCGUUAUCGGUCUCAUGUAGUGUUUGCUUCGGUCGGUAUGUUCGUUUCCGGUCCGUCAAAAAAAGAAAUAGCGAGCGUAGAGGGAUUCGAACCAUGGUUGCGAGGACUCACGAACCAACUCAUCCAACCAAGAAUCCUGCAGAAAGAGAGGGAGCUUAGACUGUCUCGCCAUAGGUGGCAUUUAUUUAUGGUUCAGAAACAUCCAUCAUGUAUGAUUCCUUUCAAACCUCCUCCCUAUAUGUACGUUGUGGACCACGGUUGCGGACGUGCUAUGCAAAGGGCCGGAGCUCCAGUGGAAGGAGUGGGAGAUGGGGUUACUGGAGGCCGUGAACGGGGAAGAUGACGAUGAGGAUGAUGAGAUUGGGAAGGAGAAGGUGGAGGGAAGGUCAUGGGAAUCAAGCCACCACAAUCGACGACAUGCGCGGCACGCAGCGCGCUGCCAUUGUGGCCUUUAUCCGGCCGAUCUGGUCACGCGUCAACGCGUGUCUCCUGCCUUGAACCAUCAUCCUGGAGAACCUUGUCGUCAAUCGAUCCACUGUUUUUGCCAUCAAUGACCAUUGUCCCGUGACAGAAUUCCUUAACCGAGGCAACCUUGAUUCAUGACAACUGGUAUUUUCUCCAUAGCGAAGCAUGAACAUUGUGCUUAUCGUGCUAGGGACAAGUGUUUUUCUUUCCUGUUGCAACGCACGGGCAUGUUUGCUAGUAGAGCUAAAGAAUCAUGGAUUUUGAGGCCUAGGAUCCAUUCUAUGAACUAAUAGAAUGGAUUUUGAUCUCCUCACUUCGUGCUUUUAUAGGGGUAGUAAGCAUUGUAGCACCGUGACUUUCCUUCUGACUCCGGUUCCCUCAUCCAGCUAUCUGAGAAAGGGCACCGUGGUCGAGGUCAAAACCGGCCAAUCUCGGCUAGGGGGUCCCGAACUGUGCGUCUGAGGAUUGAAGGUAACAGGAGACAAAGGGACACGAUGUUUACCCAGGUUUAGGCCCUCUUAAUGGAGGUAAAACCCUACUUCCUGCUUGAUUGUCUUUGAUGAGUAUAGGGGUUACAAGAGUUGAUCUACCUCGAGAUCGUAAUGGCUCUAUGAACUAAACCCUAGCUGCCUUGUUACACACCGGAGGGUUUAGUUCAUAGAGAUCGUAAUGGCUCUAUGUAAGGUGUGUAACCCUAGCUGCCUAACCUAUGUAAAUUUUGAUAGUCUCUAUGAACUAAACCCUCCGGUUUAUAUACACACCGGAGGGGUCUAGGGUUACACAAAGUUGGCUUGUGAAGGAAGGAAAUUACAUAUUCGGACAUCAAUCUUGCCAUCCACGCAUAGAAGAGUCCUACCCGGACACGGGGGAAGGCCUUCCGCCUUGAAUCUUCACGGCCCAUCAGUCCGGUCCAUAUCAAAUACCCCGGACACCCAAAGACCCCCUAGUCCAGGACUCCCUCAGUAGCCUCUGAACUAGCCUUCAAAUGACGAUGCAGUAUCCGGCUUACGUCUUCAGCUUUUGCAAGGUUGGUUCUUCACCGUACACUGAACGGAUAAUAGUUUGGCCCUAGCUUCCUUGUUCCGCCUUAAUGAUUCCUUCCCUAUCGCCUCGAUUUCCACGCGCUUGGGCGAAUGCGAACGGCCCACAAUUUUUAUUUAAAAAGGAAAGCACUCUGCCCCAUGGGGACAACACCUAUAUAAAGAUGUCAAAUCCUCCAAGUGCCAUCCACAUCAUGCAGGAAAAACGCCAAGUUUAGCCACGAAAAAGCUUCCAAAUAUGGUCAGCGCCCUAGGUUCCUCUUCGCGCCCCCAUGGCCCUCAAGAGGAUGAUUGGCAGAGCUGUUCAGUGCCUCAUCUUCACCUGAGGCGACUCCAGACGCAGGGAUAUCUUCCCCUCAUAGAUCUAUUCUCUGUUCGAGAGGGAUUGGACUCCAUCGGCAACGAUGUGAUGGUGUGCUUUGUUCCAUUCCUUCUAUGGGGCUUAGGAUUUUCGAUCCAUCCCUUCCUCAGGGGUUUAUUGGAUUUUUACGGCAUCUAGCUGCACAACCUUACCCCAGGUUCGAUUCUGCACAUCGCAGGUUUCGUUGCCCUAUGCGAGCUGUUCUUAGGCAUCGAGGCCCAUUUCGAACUAUGGAGGAAGUUCUUUUGCCUUGUUCCCCGCCAUCGAGGAGGCUCUAUAUUUGAAGUGGGCGGCGCAGAAGUAUGGCGCAUAGCCGGAUCCGGAUACCCCGUUGGAACUCCCAAAGAGAUAUAUCCAUAGUGGUCCUCGGAGUGGUUUUAUAUGGAUGAUGUUCCACUGCUGGAUCCAGUUUGGUGCGGCCUCCCUGAAUUUUCCAGCGCUCCUUUAAAGAAGCGCCUCAACUGGCGUCCCCGGUAUCCCAAGGAGGAGGACAGUGCAGAAAUAAAAAGGUCGAUCAGCAAGGCAGAUUACUAGCCCAUAUCGAGCUCUCGAUAGUCGAGGUUAUGGCCAUUGCAAUAAAGAGGUGCGUCCAGCCUCUCCAGUCCAGAGUAACUCCCUUAUGGUGCUAGAACGGGGAAGACGAUGCGUCUUGUUAUAGACGCAAGGGUCCGGAUACCCCUGCCGAACUGGCCACGAUCUUGGCCGAUCUUUAUAAGGGUGAAAAAGAAGACUUCCUCCGCUUAAACUGCUGGGAAGGCUAUUCCAUGUACAACCCCGUUGAAUGGGUAAGACUUCGAUUACCUGUGUUGCUUUAUUGCUGUCACAGUAUUUUAAUCAAAUUUGUUCUUUGUUGCAAUAAAACAGUCAUGGAGGAAAAUGACCGAGGACGUUCACUUUCCUACCCCACAGCCAGAGGAUCACAACCACCAGGAGGACCCUGGUUUAUGUGAGGAUCCAGAUAUAUACAUAGAGUUCGAUGAUGGGGUGUUUUAUCAGGCGAGCCUUGACAGCUCGGAAGUGGCCAUUACAGCCGACUACCCCCGCCCCUAUCCCUUCUCCAUCGUAAGUAUUCGAAGAGCUUUCAAAAAGGAACUUCCUACUUGCACCUUUGUCCAUUGUACUAAUCCGUACUCAACAGGAUCGGCGCUCGGCAGACCGCACCUCCUCAAGGGCGGCCCCUUCGCAGGGUAGUCAUUCAAAACGAAAGGAGGCUGGGGGCACCAUAGAACCCUCACUGUCUUCAAAAAGGUAUGUUCAUUUAAUAAGUGCCUAGGCACGAGUUCGGAUUAUUAAACCUCCCUUCUAUCUUUGAUUCAGGAGGUGCACGCGGCAAACAGUGGGAAAACGCGCUGCUAGCCGAAUGUCAGCCAAUCCGGCACCAGACUCGUUAGCUAGGACGCAGGCUGAUGCAGUGCCAAUUCCACCGCCUCAUGAGGAUUUGGAUGACGUAUCUGUCAUGAACUCCGAGGUGGAAAGCGUAAUGAACCACCGUCGACUGAAAGAGGCCAUGCGCGCUCCAGCCUUUUCCGAGCAAGAAUUUACGCACUCAGUUCAGUGGAUGCAUAUAUCCAAGCCACUAGCGACGGACUUGCCAGAGUCACUCAGCUGUUUUCGAAGGAUAUACAGGUAAAAGUUUAUGCAAUUUUGAUAGACAUACACCAGUAGCCGCUGAGACUUAAAGUGGUGAAGCCAACCAAUUUAAGGAUUGAUAUUACCUGCAGGUUCUCAAAGAGAAGAACACUGCCCUAGCCCAGGAGCUGAAAACAAACCUAAUGCAGCUGAAUGUCGUCGCCGCCGAACUGGCAGAAAUGAAAAAGGCCGCAAUGAACACAUCCAAGGGGAAAAACAUGAGGAGGAAAAAGACAAACAAGCCGAAGAGAUAGAGAGCUUAAAGGCUCGGUUAUCGGCCGCUCAAAAAUAAAAUGAGAAGUUGAAAGGCGGCAUGUUCGGUAUGUCUUUUAAAACCACCAUAUAGACUCGUGUUUAGUCCACAAUUCGGGAUGUCAUAAAUCUGUGGUUGUAGGUCUAUUAACUGGUCUACCGGAAGAAGAAGUAUCCGGAUUCCAAGGCGACGUGCGAAAGGAGCUGUCGGUGAUACAUGCGCGGGCCCGGAAGGCCAUGAGGACUAUUGUCAAGGCUUUAUGGCCAUCUGACACCCCUCCAGAAAGUAUGGAGGGUUUGGCAAGCCUGUUCAAAGGUGCCCGGUGCCGCUUUGAGCUAUGGAAGACAUCCGCCUGCCGUGAAGUCACACGAGAAGCCUGGGCGAUGGUGAAAACAUGCUUGACCAAGCUAGAUCUGAAUCAUAUAUGGCCCGAGUGGGACUGCAGGGACUGGAUGGGAAAGAAAUUCCUUUGAACUUGGUGUACGACCAAGUAAUGAUAGCUGCGAAAUAUUCGCAGGAAGACUGUAGGUUAGACAGUCUGAUAGAUGGAAUAGAUAAGGAAUAGGCAUUUGAUUCAAUGUAUUAAUGUACCUUAUGAUCAACCUGUAUUCUUCAACCGAACAUGUGAAAAAUUUGUCAUCGGAGGCUUUCGGCCUUAGCCUCCAGACCAAAAAGGUGGAGUGUUUCCGGAUACUAUAACGAAGGAAACAUUCAUUGUGUCCGGAAACCAGGCAACCCAGUCAUUAUGCUCGAACAGACAAAAAAUUUACUUCGGGCGGUAUCUUAUAUUACGUAUGUAAGAAACAUCUUCCAAGGAGAAUAGUUCCGCUAAGGGUUCCUUUCCCUGGGUUGGCAUGCUUUAAUUAUGCGUAGCUGGGCGUUAGUCCGUAUAACGGAAAAACUAUCCCGAAGUGUUAGAAGGGCUACGAAAAUGUAACAAUCCGUCGUUUGAUUGCCGACUAAUUAUUCUCUUAAGAACGCUAGCUUUCGGCUUCACCUGUCUGAGCUACAUGUCUGGAUGACCCGGUUGUAACAAUCGCAGAGGUGCUCCCUUAGCGCCCUAGCCGAACAAUUGGGAACGUAGGGCAUAAACACAGGAGCAAGGCAACCCAGCUUGGAAAAAACUUAAGUCAUAGAGGUGCAUGUAAUGGCAAAAAGAGUGUAUAUGAACAAACGACGUAUACAUUGUGAGCUCCAGGCUCUAAAUAAUAAUAAGCUUCGGUUAAAGAAUCCCCCAGGCGUCGUGGAGUGUAUACAUUUUAGGAUGUGUACCCCUUAAGUGUUCGUCCUAUCCGAACAUAUCCUGGGAGUCGUACAAAACGAGAAAAUAAAAAAGAAAUGAAGAGGAGAAAAAACGGAAAAGAAACAUGGCCGAACUUAGGCGUAGAAUCUUUGAAGCCGAGCAGCGUUGCAUGGAUUCGGCUCUAGGCGAUUAUCUGAUGCAUUACGAAGGCGAUAGGCUCCUCCUGUGAGAACUUCAUCUAUAAUGAAGGGGCCCUCCCAUUUUUGUUUGAGCUUGUCCUUCUUCUUCUUUGGGAGGCGUAAAAUGAGUUCGCCGACAUUAUAAGUCUUGGCCCGCACUUCUCUGCUUUGGUAUCGCCAAGCCUAUUGUUGAUAAAAUGUGGAACGGGCUUUUGCAAUGUCACACUCCUCCUCAAGGCCGUCUAAGUCAUCCCGCUGAUCGAGCUCGGCCUCUCUCUCUUCAUACAUGCGCACCCGAGGUGAGUCAUGAAUAAUGUCGCAGGGCAAGACAGCCUCUACGCCGUACACCAUAAAAAAGGGGGUACAUCCGGUCGUGCGAUUGGGUGUAGUCCGCUGUCCCCAGAGUACGGAAUCGAGUUCCUCGACCGAGUGUUUAUCUGACUCCCAUAGGGAUCACACUAGUCUGGGUUUGAUGCCGCUCAUUAUCAGGGCAUUAGCCCGUUCUACCUGACCGUUUGUUUGAGGGUGAUAUACGAAGGCAUAAUCGAGAUUAAUGCCCAAAUUAGCGCACCAAUUUUUUACCUCAUCGGCUGUGAAAUUAGAUCCAUUGUCAGUAAUGAUGCUAUGCGGGACACCAUAACGGUGUACCACGCCGGAUAUAAAGUCGAUCACCGGCCCGGCUUCCGCCGUUUUUACUGGUUUGGCCUCUAUCCACUUAGGGAAUUUAUCCACCAGAACCAACAAAUAUUUCUUCUUGUGGCAUCCCCCUUUAAGGGGUCCGACCAUAUCUAGCCCCCAGACCGCAAAAGGCCAAGUAAUGGGGAUUGUUCUUAAGGCAGUGGGCGGCAUAUGACUUUGAUUGGCGAAAGCUGACAUCCUACACAGCGUUGUACAAGGGCCUGUGCGUCUGCUCGGGCCGUUGGCCAAAAGAAACCUGUACAGAAGGCCUUGCUGACGAGGGCCCGAGCUGCGGCGUGAUGGCCACCAAGACCAGCAUGUAUUUUGGCCAAGAGCUGCCGUCCCUCCUCUUCGGAGAUGCAUCUUUGAAUAACCCCAGUAGUACUUUUGUUGUAGAGUUCACCUUCGUGAACUUUGUAGGCUUUAGAGCGUCGAACUAUGCGACGGGCCUCAUUCUAGUAAUCAGGUAAUUCCUACCUAUUAAGGUAGGCCAGGAAGGGUUCGGUCCAUGGAGCAAUGACUGCCAUGAUUACAUGGGCGGAAGGUGUCAUUUCGGUGCCCGAACCCCCGAUGAUAUCAGAAUUGUGUUCGGCAUCUGGGGGUAUGAUCGGCUCCGGACUAGCAUUUCCGCUCUCUUCCUGCCAUACUACGGAUGGCUUGAAGAGCCUUUCCACAAAGGUGUUGGGCAGGACGAGAUCGCGCUUAGCGCCCAUUCGAGCAAGGAUGUCCGUUGCCUGAUUACUGUCUCGAGCAACAUGAUGGAACUUGAGCCCCUCAAACUAUGUUGAUAUUUUGAGUACGGUGUUUCGGUAUGCCACCUUUUUUUGGGUCUUUUGCAUCUAAUUCGCCAUUUAUUUGGGAUAUUGCGAGGUUCGAAUCCCCACGCACCUCUAGGCGUUGUAUGCCCAUAGAGACGGCCAUUCGGAGACCAUGUAGAAGUGCCUCGUAUUGGGCCGCAUUGUUGGAGUCCGUAUACAUGAUUUGUAACACGUAGCGGAUAGUGUCCCCCGUAGGGGAUGUUAAGAUGACGCUAGCCCCCAGUCCGGCUAACAUUUUAGAGCCAUCGAAGUACAUGAUCAGUUGGAGUAUGUGUUGUACUCUUUAGGGAGUUCGGCUUCCGUCCACUCGGCUACAAAGUCGGCCAACACCUGAGAUUUAAUAGCUCGGCUUGGCUUGUAUUUUAUUUCAAAUGGUAAGAGCUCGAUGGCCCAUUUGGCUAUGCGGCCGGUGGCUUCCCGAUUAUUUAUGAUGUCAUUGAGUGGUACUUUGGAUGCCACUGUGAUCGAACACUCUUGAAAGUAGUGCCGCAGUUUCCAGGAUGCCAUAAAGACCGCAUAAGCUAUCUUUUGAUAGUGCGGGUAUCGAGAUUUGCAUGGUGUAAGGACCGCCGACACGUAGUACACUGGUUUCUGGAUUGGGAAUUUAUGUCCCUCUUCCUCUCGUUCGACGAUGAGUACGACACUUACCACCUGGUGAGUCCCCGAUAUAUAAAGCAACAUCGGCUCGCCAGCACCUGGUGUGGCUAGGAUUGGGUUGCCUGCUAACAAAGUCUUUAUUUCUUCUAAUCCAGCUAUAGCCACAUCCGUCCAUUAGAAGUGGUCGGUGCGUCGGAGCAGUCAAUAAAGUGGCAGGGUUUUUUCUCCCAAUAUGGAUAUAAAGCGGCUCAAGGCUGCCACGCACCCGUCGUUUUUGGACCUGCUUUAGGUCUGUUGGUAUUGCCAACUAUGACAAGGCUCAGAUUUUGGUUGGGUUCACUUCAAUUCCUCUAUUGGAAACAAUGAACCCGAACAGUUUCCCGAGUGGAACGCCGAAAACACAUUUUUCCGGAUUGAGCCAUAUGUCAUAUGUUCGGAGGUUGUCAAAUAUGAGGCGGAGGUCGUCCACCAGUGAUUCGACGUGUUUAGUCUUGAUGAUCACAUUGUCCACAUAUGCCUCCACUUUUUUGGCAAUUUGUUUUUCCAGACAUGUUUGAAUCAUGUGUUGGUAGGUGGCACCAGCGUUUUUGAGUCCGAAGGGCAUAGUGUUGAAGCAGAAAGGACCAUACGGGGUGAUAAAUGCCGUUGCGGCCUGAUCGGACUCCUUCAUCUUGAUCUGAUGGUAACCGGAGUAGGUGUCGAGGAAACACAAUGAAUCAUGUCCUGCAGUUGCAUCAAUGAUUUGGUCAAUGCGGGGCAAUGGGAAGGGGUCCUUAGGGCAAGCCUUAUUGGGGUUCUUGACAUCGAUACAAAGGCGCCAGGAUUUAUCCUUCUUCGGCACCAUGACCAGGUUCGCUAGCCAGUCCGGGUGUUUGAUUUCUCUGAUGAACCUGGCUUCAAGUAGUUUGGCUAGCUCCUCGCCCAUAGCUUGUCGUUUGGGCUCAAAAAAUUGCCGCAGUGUUUGCUUGACUGGUUUAAACCCCUUUAUUAUAUUGAGGCUGUGUUCGGCCAGUCUGCGUGGGAUUCCGGGCAUGUCCGAAGGAUGCCAGGCGAAGAUGUCCCAAUUUGCACGCAGGAAUGCUCGUAGGGAGGCAUCGACCGUCGGAUCCAGCUGGGCUCCAAUGGAUGCUAUUUUGUUGGGAUCCGUCGGGUGCACUUGAAAUUUGAUGAUUUCAUCUGCUGGUUUGAAAGAUGUGGAUUUAGGCCUCUUGUCGAGGAUUACAUCGUCUUUGUCCACUAUGGAACACAGAGUGGUUAACUCUUCGUCCGCGAGGGCCUCAGAUAGUGCCUCGAGGGCCAAGGAUGAGGUUUUGUUUUUGGCACGGAGUGCUAUAUCCGGAUCACUGGUGAUAGUGAUUACUCUGUUGGGCCCUGGCAUUUUAAGCUUCAUGUACCCGUAAUGGGGUAUGGCUUGGAACCGUGCGAAGGCGUCCCGCCCCAAAAGGGCGUGGUAUCCGCUAUUGAAAGGGGCCACGUGGAAGAGAAACUCUUCGGACCUGUAGUUAUCAGGUGUGCCGAAUACUACAUCGAGUUUAAUUUUCCCCGAGCAUCGUGCUUCUCGACUGGGGAUAAUACCUCGAAAGGUGGUACUGCUUUGCUCGAUGCGGCUCUUGUCCAUUUGCAUUUUGUAGAGCGUAUCUUCGUAGAUGAGGUUAAGUCCGCUUCGACCGUCCAUGAGCACCUUGAUAAGUCGAAAGCCGUCCACAAUUGGGUUUAAGACCAAGGUGGCUGGUGCUUGGACUGAUCAGGCCCUUGGUUCGUCGGCGGCGGCGAAAGUUAUGGCCGUAUCGCUCCAAGGGUUUAUUGCGGUUACUUGGUUGACUUUGGCGAGGUCGCGGAGCACCCUUUUGUGCCGAUUAUUUGAAGAAAAGGUCUUGAAGACCAAAGACGUUGGGAUCGUCAUCCUCCGAAGAGUGCUUCUCUAGGGUAGUAUUGGUGAUGAUAGCCUCACCGCUCUUAGCCACUUGUCGAAAUACCCAACAUGCCCGAAGGCUAUUCAUUGGUUCGGUGCUCGGCGUAGUAUGUAUCUGACAUGGCUUGUCGAGCAGUUCGUCAAGGACUGUUCUAUAUCCCGUGAAGGGUUUGUUUUUCUUGUCAACGGGCUUGUGGUCGGAAGUUUCGUAAGGGUGCAUCCAUUUUCCCCGUACGGUGGUUUGCUUAAAGGUAGGGGGUUCCCAUCGGGCUGUCUGGGCCUUCCAUGUGCUUUCCAUUGCGUAGUACUUCUGUACUAUGUGUGUCAAAUCUGCCAAGUGCUGUAUGCGGCGGCGGUUGAGGGCAUUGAGAAUUCCCUCGUCCGUACAGUUACGACAAAAAACUGAAGCUGCGUCGUCGUCGCAGCAACCUUUAAUCUUGUUUUUAACAAGGAGGAAUCUGGCCCAGAAGUGAUGGACUAUUUCCUGAGGUUGUUGCCGAACAUACAUUAGGUCACAUAUGUCUGGAGGCCCUGAAUUUCUUGGGGAGCAUUGCUUGUGGUGGGUGGGUGGGCUAAGAUCCGAACCCUAACCCACGAUUGGAUCCGGAGUUUGAAGAAUCUCCGAGGUCACCAGUUCAGGAUCAGCAAGGUCCUAAAGACUUCCGGGCUUAAUGCCUGAUCCUAUGUUUGGGGGACAUGUAGUCUCCUCCCGAGGCUGGGUAUCCAGCUUACAGGGCUCAGAGAUCCGAACAUAGCUGGUGCUUAACUUAGGGGGAGAAGCAUUCUCAGCUCGUUCCUCAACGACCGCUACCAGAUGGGUGAUCGGCUGGGACUUGAUUUCCCUCUGAUCGGGUUUAAGCCCAAUCCGAUCAUAGUCUAUCGUGACUCCGAGGGCGGCGAUGCGAUCUAGCAGCUCGUUCAAGGACGAGACAUCUGUCGGAUCCCUCUUUUCAGAGUGUUCGAGGCUGACGCGGAGAUGAUGUUUGCUGAUUGUGGGGGCCGCCAUUGGCUUGAUGGCCAAGCGAGCGCCCAUGGUAAAAGCGCCGAGCUGGAGGACCUGACCUGGAGUUAGGGCCCUUCCAGAAGUAAUAUUGUCACUAAUGACAAGUCGAGUCAUCGAUCCUUCUAUCAACAAGACAAAGGAACUCUCAAUGAAAGCACCAAUGUCGGUGUCAAAACCGGCCAAUCUCGGGUAGGGCGUCCCGAACUCUACGUCUGAGGAUCGAAGGUAACAGGAGACAAAGGGGACACGAUGUUUACCCAGGUUCGGGCCCUCUUAAUGGAGGUAAAACCCUACUUCCUGCUUGAUUGUCGUUGAUGAGUAUAGGGGUUACAAGAGUUGAUCGACCUCAAGAUCGUAAUGGCUAAACCCUAGCUGCCUAGCGUAUGUAAAUUCUGAUAGUCUCUAUGAACUAAACCCUCCGGUUUAUAUACACUACCGGAGGGGUCUAGGGUGACACAAAGUUGGCUUGUGAAGGAAGGAAAUUACAUAUCCGGACAUCAAUCUUGCCGUCCACGCAUAGAAGAGUCCUACCCGGACACUGGGGAAGGCCUUCCGCCUUGAAUCUUCACGGCCCAUCAGUCCGGCCCAUAUCAAAUAUCCCGGACACCCGAAGACCCCCUAGUCCAGGACUCCCUCAGACGUACAACCACCGACCGGUAGCAUCGGAACCGAUCUGGCGCGGUGGCCGCUGCCGGCGCCGUCCACCCACAACACCUCCCAUGCACUAGUACGCGUCGGCGCUAUACAAUCGGUUUUUAACCCCUUUCGACGACGACAUUUGGAACCGUCGCCUAGUGAGUGACGGCGAUAUGGGGGUCCUUCCCACACGAUCCAGAAACCGUCUGGGAUAGGGAGCCUUGAUGCAUACAGUUGUCCCUAUAUAACCAUUUUCGAUAUCUCGAAUAUCCCAAACGCUUCAUCCUUGCUACUCGUUUGUGCUUGCAUUUCCAUCACAGUCGGAGUUUUGUGGUUUUACCUAAAUCCAAGCAGAUUCCAGGCACGGGAGUUUUCCAGGCAGAUUCCAGGCACGGGAGUUUUACGAUGCCUGGCACAUCACAAACAGUUCAUGAUUAUAAACCGUGUACGAUAGGUAGACAAUCACACACAUUUAGUUUUCCCGCACCGUAUGCGAUAGUGUCUGACUUCACACACGCUUUGCAAACGGCAACUGUGUGCAUUGUUACAAAUGUUUCCUCUCCGUGAACCGUGUCGGAUUAUGAUGUAUAUCGCACACUCUGUGCUUUAUUAACCGUGUGCGCCGUAAUGACCUGCACACCCUAAUUUUACCCUAACUUAAUUGCUGCUAUUUAAAAUUGUACCUAAUUUAAACUUGAAAGUUGGCUUUAGCUUUAUUCAUAUCCAUCAGGUUCAAACAACCAAUGCAUUAUUCGAUUCACAGGUACAUAUGUUUAAGAAUUACAUAAGCACCAAAUAAAGAAUGAUGAACCAGGGUUCUAUACUUGUAGUAUUACAGAUGGUAAAGAAAGAGGCGACAAACAUUCCGGUUGCUGAACAAGGUGAAGCGGAAUGGCCCUAUUGUGCUCUCCUAGAUGCGUAAGGCAUGCAGGACUCUAGUCCAACCCCUUGUGAUGGUCGGCCGUCAAUCAUGUAGUUUGAGAGGUAAUCUUGAGUAAAUUGCUUCAGGAUCACUGCAAAGGAAAAAAUAUUCAGACAUUGUCAUCUAACACAACUCAUUACGGGCAGUAAAAAGAAGGCUACAUGGUUCUUACCAUCCUGCAGUUUACUGCUGUCUUGCAUAAAGUUUAAACAAAUAGUUCGAUUGAUGUCUUUGGACCCAUUUUAAUAGCAAUCUUUAUCAGUUUCUUCACUUGAUGCUGGUUCAUGAAUAUCUCAUUACCCCAGAAAGGGUCGAAGUGUGGAACUUUGGCAAUGAUAUAUGUACCUAAAAGCACCAAGUUAAUAUUAGAAACUAAACAACAAUUGAAAACUGAUGUAGUACAACACUCCCUCCAUCCCAUUAUAUAAGAUUUUAUUACAUGUAUAUCUAGACAUCAUCAGAACAUUAAGGUAACACUCUUCCUUGUUGCUAUGUAGCAUGGGAUUGCAUAUUUAGUCAUUAAGUACAAUGUAUGUUGCUAUGUAGCCUCAGAUAUAAUUAAAUAUGGCCCUAGUUAACCUACUGAUAAAUGGGUUACAGAUAUAUUCAGUGAAAUGUCCGAUUCGACGAUUAAUCCCCUAUCAGCCCCAGGCUAUAUGGUACCAGCUACCGAUAUCCCGAACAGUGAGUACAUAUAAGCAAUGCGAUGAAAAUAACCUCGAUGGAAAACGACACUGUUCUCAAUAUUGUCCUGCAUGAGUACAUAUAAAGGCAUGUUAAGCACAACAGGCUAAACAUCAACCAAAUAUAUCCAUGGUAGACAACAUAAUGUACAAAUGAUAGCUUUAGUGUGCAGGCUUAAGCACGCUAGUUAAGCAAAACAAGAAGUGGAAAGGUGUGUUAACUGCAUCAGGCAUAACAUUUAAAAACAAGCAAAUAGUCAUUCAAACUGGUAUUGUGCAGGUCUAAACUACACUAGUUAUUGUUAAAAAACAAAAAGGCAUGUUAACUGCAAUAUCCUUAACAACAACCAAAUAUCGUAAUUCAUAGUGGUCUUGUUGAAACUGUUAUUGAUGAAAUUGAACUGCACGGCAAAUAGUUGCACAUAUAGAGUAUCACAUUGUGAAGAACUGAAAUAAACAAGUCAUAAGGCCAUCUCUAGCCGAUCCUUGAAAAGUUAAAGGAGUAAAACCCUUAGUGGAUAUAUACUCCAGCAAUUUUUGACCUUUUCUAGUCGGUCCCCUAAACUUAACAUUGUAAGCUUCAAUUUGAUCAAGUUCCAAGCAAGUUCAACCGAAAGUAGCAUGCAUUCAAACAUAAACAUAGAUAGUUUUUCAUAACCGAACAUAAAACAUAAAUUUAAACUAGGCUAAACUACUUUCGGUCGAAGAACAGGUCGAGCCAAUCCAUCCUCGUCAUGUACGGUGUGCCGCGAGCCGGGUCCCGGCCGGUGCCAUCGUCGGGGUUGUUGGGGAAGGAACUCAUCCACUCGUCGACGUCAAUCUCCGUCCUCGGGGCCCACCUCGACGCCCUCCGCGCCGCCAUCACCGCCGCCUUUGACCUCGUCAUCGGAGGAGAGCGCGAUAACCUCGUCGGCCUCCACGCUGCCGUCUUCGCCGCCUUCGACCUCGUCAUCGGAGGAGAGCGCGAUAACCUCGCCGCCCUUCGCGGUGGAAAAGAUCGCCCGCUCCGCCUCCACGAGCUCCAGAUGCUGCCGGUGGAGCUCUUGCAUGUAGGCCUCGUCGGCGACCUUGGUCUCGAGGCGCUCCCAUCCUUCGCGGUCCUCCCGCGCCAUAGCCGAGCUCACCACCCCUGGCUCCAGCAGAACGAGGUUGACCGGACUUGUGCUGAAGGGGAAAUUGAGCCAAGCCGCCACGCCGUGGUAGCGGACCUGCCAGCGGUCGAACUCCAUGGCCGCGAGCUCGACCGUGUGGAAGCUACCAAGCCACCAGUGGGUGUGGGUCUCCCGAUCUGUAAUCUAGGCAACCCUCGUCCCCCACCGCCGCUGCCGGACCCCGAGGUAGGACCUCAUAGGCUGCCGGGUCCGAGGGAGGACGGGGAAGUCCUCGAACCGGCGUAGGGGCGUGGCGGCGGGUGGAUCGGGGGACCAGCGACAGCGGAUCGAGCCCGCGGAGGACGAUGGGGACACCUCGGCGGCAACCUUGCCGGCGUCGGGUGAAACGGCCGCGAUAAACCUCUUUUUGGCCAUUGGCUCCUCGAGCUCCCCGGCACAUAGGCAGAGGUUGAGGAUGGAGGCGCCGGUGAUGGCGGCGACCUACCAAUGGUUUCGAGGGUUGUGUGUCUCUGUGUGAGCGGAGGUUUUGGGGAGUGUGUAGUGUGAGUGGAUGGGGGGCGGGGGGCGGGGGUGAGGGAGUUCUGGACUAAGGGGUCCUCGGGCGUCCGACCUAUUAUCCAUGGGCCGGACUGAUUGGCUGUGAAGACAUGAAGGCCGAAGACUGUACCCGUGUCUGGAUUGGACUCUCCUUGGCGUGGAAGGCAAGCUAGGGGACCAACUAUGAAGAUUCCCUCUGAUGUAACCGACUCUAUGGAACCCUAGGUCCCUCCGGUGUCUAUAUAAACUGGAGGGCGUAGUCCGGAAGGCGGAUAUUCAUUACCAUUGUCAUACAUGCUAGGCUUCUAGGUUUUAGCCAUUACAAUCUCGUGGUAGAUCAACUAUUGUAAUACUCAUAUUCAUCAAGAUCAAUCAAGCAGGAAGUAGGGUAUUACCUGUCAGGACCGGAUUUUCGGGGUAUCAAUUUCCCAAAAAUGGUCCUUGUGCUCACCAGCCCCAGGAUUGCUGUUAGCUGAUGAGGCACCAACUUGAUACAGAACUUCCUAGCAAAUUACAAAAUAUGUGGUACAAGACCAUUCUGGCCUAUGAGUACAACAAAUGGUUUCUAGUGGUUGAUGGCGGAAGCGGUUUGUGGUUCAUCAGUGGCCAUGGGACUCCAUUUCCCACAGGAACAGCUGACCAGGAUAACUCCUAUCUUCGCGAGGCUGCUAUCAUCAUUGCGUAGGUUCCGGGGCAGUCGUCGCAACGCUCCUCUCCAUGCAAGAAAUCUGGCCAAGACAAUAGCCAGGGACAAGCCAGUGAGUACUUUGAAUGUACUCGCAAACAUUAUGAACACAGGUAUAAUAUAACAAAUGUAGCCAGGGACAAGCCACGAAAUAAAAAUCCAUGAUGCACGUAAGCAGGUUGUUCAUAUGAAUAUGCAAUAAGGGAGCAGAAAUAGAAUGCACCGAUCGGGUGUCUGAAGCGACGCCUCGAAAGGAUAAUAAUAUAAAGCAUGCCUCAGUCGGGCGUCUGAGCGACACCACAUAAAGGGCUUAUAAAUAAUUUAAAAUAACAAGCGUGCCACAGUCGGGUGUCUGAGCGACACCGCAUAAAGGGCUUAUAAGUAAUUUAAAUAACAAGCAUGCCACAGUCGGGCGUCUGAGCGACACCACAUAAAGGGCUUAUAAGUAAUUUAAAUAACANNNNNNNNNNGUCUGAGCGACACCGCAUAAAGGGCUUAUAAGUAAUUUAAAUAACAAGCAUGCCACAGUCGGGCGUCUGAGCGACACCACAUAAAGGGCUUAUAAAUAAUUUAAAAUAAGAAGUGUGCCACAGUCGGGCGUCUGAGCGACACCACAUAAAGGGCUUAUAAGUAAUUUAACAAGCAUGCCACAGUCGGGCGUCUGAGCGACACCACAUAAAGGGCUUAUAAGUGAAUAAUCGCAGUGAGUAUCCAGGAGGUAGAACUGUCCCAGGGAUACUCAAUAAUUCAAAUAAUGUAAAUGGUUAGUCCACAAUAAUAAUAAUCAUAAUCCUCAUAUGUCACAGGUCAUAAUCAGUGUUCCGGUUUAGCAGUUUUUCCUCCAAAGACCGACACUAAGACCGACACUUGACCCAUCCCAGACUGUAGUCCUUAACCAUGGACACGGCUAUUCGAAUAGAUAUAAUCUCUGCAGAGGGUGUACUCUUUACCCACGUAACGGAUUUCUUUAGUCCAUCGGGACUAAUUCCGUCUACGGUCUUCUAAUUGAAAACACACCUAACCGCACACACCAGCCUAACUUACCGGUGUCUGGAAUCACCCACGACACCCGUUAAGCGAAACUCUAAGUGGGGAGGCUACAACCUCGAUUAGCAUGGGAUCACAAAAUUUAUACCGCGCGCAAACUAGGGGAGCUACCCCUUCGGCUCCAACCGAAAACACCCAUGCCCCCGGACCAGGUGGCAUGCCUACCGGGGGCCUCCGGUAUCUUCCACCAUGGCCUCUCUGUACGGUGUGUGCUAGGAAGGGGUUGACAACUUACUGAACCGUACCCUACCUGUGGCAGGGACAAGUGGUAGUACGAAACAAGUAUGGGGGUUACUGGAACAACACUCGAUCUACGGUCGACUCAGGAGGUUUAAGUAUUCCCUGCAUGGUUAGCAUAACAAAUAUGUUUCAACCAACAGAUUAAAUCACCACUCAUCAUACCUCACUAUGCCGUACCAGACACAACCGUCUCGACGAAGACUGGAGACAAGCCCGUGUCUACCCAAGAUAGAGACUUUCCCGGAUUCCUUCCGGUAGGCAUGAAAGGCAUACAAGGGUGAUUACUAUCACAAGCAUAUCAAAUUCCAACAGCAAGGAACAUUCAUUAUGCACUCAUGAGUAUGAUCAUAUCAUCACAUAAAAUAAUGAAUACUUUGUGUUAAGGUGGUGUUGUAACCGUAUCAAACAACACACAUAAUAUUAUGCCAGGGUUCAGAAUGCUUGCCUUCAAGAGUAUGCAAGUGGGGUGCAUUUUUUUGAAAGUUGCUUCCUUCUUCAAAAUCCUAUUUUUGAGAAUAUUCAAAUUAACGCAUAGUUUCAAAACAGUACAAAAAAGUUGUUUGGAAAAUUUUCAAAUAAAUAUGAAAAUAAACUAGACAGAAUUUGAGAAACAACAGAAAAAGAAUCAAGUCAAUUGGACUUAUAUUUAAAAAGUUAUAGCCAGUCAAAGUUUAGNNNNNNNNNNNNNNNNNNNNNNNNNNNNNNNNNNNNNNNNNNNNNNNNNNNNNNNNNNNNNNNNNNNNNNNNNNNNNNNNNNNNNNNNNNNNNNNNNNNNNNNNNNNNNNNNNNNNNNNNNNNNNNNNNNNNNNNNNNNNNNNNNNNNNNNNNNNNNNNNNNNNNNNNNNNNNNNNNNNNNNNNNNNNNNNNNNNNNNNNNNNNNNNNNNNNNNNNNNNNNNNNNNNNNNUGGGUCCCUUGGGCCCACUGGUCAGGUUUGACCAGUCGCCCGCGCCUCCCGCCUCCUCUGUCCGAGCGGUGGCGGGGUUCCGGCGAUUGACGCCGGCGAACGGCAGCUCCCCACUGGGUUCCGAGGGCAGGGAUGGAUCCGCCAGUCCAGGGCGGUCCUCCCGGUGGUCGAACGGCUGGCGGGGGCGAAGGGAGUCGCCGGCGGCGAGCUCCGCGGUGGAGGUGGCUUCGGGAGGAUUGGGGACUAGAGCUACGAUGGCUCCCCGUCGAAGCUGAGAGGUUGGGCGGCUCCGCACGAUCGAGGGGAGGAGGAUGGAAGCACUGGAGGGACGGGAAAGGCUCUGCUUGCGACGUAUAGCACCGGAGCGUGGCGGCGGCCGAACUGAUCGAAGACGAGGAAGAAGGCUUCCCGCCGUCGAUUGCUGGCCGUGGGGGCUUUAGGGGAAUGGCUUGAGGUCGCCUGAGUGUCUGGACGGGCUCGGGGGCUCCUUUUAUAGGCGACCGAGGUCGGUUCCGCGGUGGCCGGGGAUAAGCUCGACGGCGAACCGCCGUUCUGUUGUUGCAGGGCGACGUGGCGGCGACGAGCGCUUGCAGAUGAGCUCGAGCUGUUCCAGGGGCAGCUGGCGCGCGCGUGUGGCUUGGGCGGCGCCGUCCAUGGCAGAGGCUGCUGCGGCCCCCCGCUCGCUGCCAUGGCCGACCUGACGGCGGCGCUGUAGGGUGCCAGGGGGGACUUGGAUGGUUCUGGCAAGUGGAUGAGGACGGGCGUGGCUCUGCGAGCGAGCAAAGGCCAGGGGGGCGGGGUGAGCGAAUGCGGCGGCUCGGUUGCACGCGCGCGUGCAAAACGUGCGCUCCGGGCGCGCCCAGAGCACGCACGCCAGGCGUUCGGCAAAAUGCCAAGGCAUGCCAGGAGGCUUGGGUGGAGCUGGGGUUUAACAGGUCUAGGUUAGAGUAAUCUAGGGACUUAGUGGACACGUUGGUUUGGUCAGGGGAUCAAGAUCACAAUGCAAAUAUGAAACUAUGCCAAAUCUGUUCAUGCACUCAAGGUGUUCGACAGAAUGCUAUGGGCAUCUAGGAAAUUCUCGGGGUGGCCAAAAACUCCAGGUCCUAGUCUCUUUGGAUGAUAAAGAGGGUGGCAAGGUUAGUUUGUUAGAAACAAAAACUUGUUAGUGCAAGUUUUUGAGAAAACCAAAUCUGGACAGAAACUAAAGGCUAUCUUUGCAUGGACCAAAAUUUUCUCCAAUGGGUCCACUCUCCUGGACUUAAGAAUUUUGCAGGGUGGACUAUAAGCAGGAAAAAGAAUCAUGAACAACAGAGCAAACAAAAAUAGAGUUGCAGUAGAAAAUGCCAAACUGGACCAGAGAGCAAAAGAGGAUGAUUUGCUCAAAUUUUUCAAAGAACACUCAUGGGUUUUUGCAUAAAGUUGAAUUAUAUGCAUCUACUGACAUCUCCAAACACUUGGAAGAAUUUUUAAACAAAUAUUUAAAUAGGUUGUAGUGCAAAAUUACCAACUGGACCAGAUUUGAAAAUUUGGUGUAGAGCUCAAAAUCUCUAAUGACCCAAAGAUAUUUUUGCAUAAAAGUGAUGUGGAAACAUCACAUGACAUCCCCAAAUUUUGGUUGAAAUUUUAAAGAAGUAUUUGAAAGGGUUACAGUGCAAAAGAGGCUCCAUAACUUAUGAAAAAUCAUUUUUAGAAGAAUAAAGCUCGGGAAAACAAUUAUGCAAAUAAACCCACUGAUAAAAGAAAUGUUUUCUUCAAAGGGCAUACAAGUCCAAUAAUAUUUUUGGAAGGUUUUCACUUGGGGUAAAAACUUCACAAUAUCAAAGAAAAGAGAGGUUCUGAAAUCAAAAGAUAAAUCCAGAAAAUAAAAAUUUAAUUUCCUGGCAAAAUUUUAAUAAACAAAAUAUGGUUAAAUUUUUGGGGUGUUACAUUACCUCCAUAGAGAGGGCCCGAACCUGGGUAAAACAUCGUGUCCCCCGUCUCCUGUUACCAUCGAUCCUAGACGCACAGUUCGGGACCCCCUACCCGAGAUCCGCCGGUUUUGACACCGACAUUGGUGCUUUCAUUGAGAGUUCCACUGAGUCAUCGACAAAAGGUCCGAUGGCCCCUUCAAUCGUCGAUAGUGACGCCGUCCAAAGGGAAACCUUCCUUCCCGGACAGAUCUUUGUGUUCGGCGGCUUCGUACUGCGGGCCAACUCGCUUGGCCAUCUAGAGCAGGUCGAUAGCUACGCCCCGAGCCAUCAGGUCAGAUUUGGAAGCUUGAAUUACGUCGCGGACAUCUGUGGAGACUUGAUCUUCAACGGAUUUGAGACCGCGGCGAUCGCUCCCCCUCGCUCCGAUGAACAUGACUUAAAUCUGUCCUCGGACCACAAUCAGGCGAUAGUUCCUGAUACUAUUCCGGCCUCGGAUCCUGAGCAGACCAUGCCAUCCAGGGCCACGGAAUCCGCGGCAUUGGAGCUACGUACAGACUCAACCUCAUACAAUACCUGCACAACCGGAACCCCGGGAUCGUUUCCGGCUAUAAGCUCCGAACUGCAUACACCUGCGGACGUCGAACUUGAUCGUUUAUCGAUCUUCGAAUUCAGCGCCGCAUACAUAUUUCAGCACUCACCUUUGGGCGAUGUGCUAAACUCUUUUAAGAACUUGUCCUUGGCGGGAGACUCACAGCCGAACUACGUCCGGUUCGAACUAGGGGCUGAAGAUGGCGAAUUCAGCUUCCCACCCGCCACCCACUUCAUAGCCACUGUCGAAGACUUAACCGACGAGCUUGAUUAUGGCUCUGAAGACAUUGACGGUAUGGACGACGAUGCCGACAAGGAGCAAGGCCAGGACCCGCCAUUCACUGGACGAUGGACGGCCACCUCCUCAUAUGACGUCUACAUGGUAGACAUGCUGAAAAAUAGCGGCGAUGACAUGGAAAAUCCGGCCAAGGAGGACCCUCCUAAAACACAACCAAAGCACCGUCGUCAGCGGCGCCACUCUAAGUCCCGCCGCAGCAGGGAUAGCAACAUCGGCACAGGAGACGAUAACACUCCGGAUGGUGCCGAGGACACAGAAGAACCCGAUGAACAAACCACCGAACAAGACAAUCGGGAAUCAGGGCAUGCCAGCCCAGAUGAACAGGCCAUAGAAAAAGACUCGAAGGACGAUAGUUACGGUCCGCCCUCCGAGGAGGAGACGAGCCUCGGCCACGAAGACUUCAUCGUGCCUGAGGACCCCCUGGAGCAGGAGAGCUUUAAGCUUCAGCUCAUAGCCACCGCAAGGAGCCUGAAAAAGAAGCAGCAGCAGCUUUAAGCCGAACAAGAUCUGCUCGUCGAUAGAUGGACUGAUGUCUUGAAAGCCGAAGAAUACGGCCUCAAGCGCCCAGACAAGAGCUACACGAAACGCAGACUGCUACCUCAGUUCGAUGAGGAGGCGCCUGAGCCCAUAUCUCCCUCGCGCAAUGCGGAACGACCACCACGUGGUCGAGACAGUGCAGCGUCCCGACCACCCCGUGGUCCGGAUAAAGAGACAACUCAGGCCGAGCAGCAGCCUACCCCACCGCCCCGUAAAAAUAGAGACGGAACGAUUCGGGGUCACACGUACGACUUCUGGCAAACCCUGGACAGUAGAGCAGGACAUACAAGAUCGAUCUACGGAUCGCGAGGGCGUGCCUCGAGACACGACGACGGCUACCUAUUCGGACGUGAUAAACCUAACCACGACCAGGCCGAAUGUCGCAGACGGACUCCAUCAGAGCUACGUCGUGAUGUGGCCCGAUAUAGAGGUGCCGCACACCCUCUCUGCUUCACAGAUGAAGUACUGGAUCAUGAAUUUCCCGAGGGGUUCAAGCCCGUCAAUAUUGAAUCGUACGACGGAACAACCGAUCCCACAGUAUGGAUCGAGGAUUUCAUUCUCCACAUCCACAUGGCCCGAGGAGACGAUCUCCAUGCCAUCAAAUACCUCCCACUAAAGCUCAAAGGGCCAGGCAGACACUGGUUAAACAACCUACCUGAAAAUUCCAUCGGCAGCUGGGAGGACUUGGAAGAAGCUUUUCUUGACAACUUCCAAGGUACUUAUGUCCGGCCACCAGACGCCGUUGACUUAAGUCAUAUAGUUCAACAACCUGGAGAAUCAGCCAGAAAAUUCUGGACUAGGUUCCUAACCAAAAAGAACCAGAUCGUUGACUGUCCGGAUGCCGAAGCCCUAGCGGCCUUCAAACACAGCAUCCGUGACGAAUGGCUCGCCCGCCACCUCGGCCAGGAAAAGCCGAAAUCCAUGGCAGCCCUUACGACACUCAUGACCCGCUUUUGCGCGGGUGAAGAUAGUUGACUGGCUCGUAGUAAAAACACAGCCAACGAGGCAGGCCCCUCCGAGGCCAAAAGCAGCACCGGCAAGCUCCGGCGCAAUAGACACAAACGCCGAAGCAAUGGCGAUAACACCGAUGACACUACGGUUCAUGCCGGAUUCAGUGGUUCCAAGUCCGGCCAGCGGAAGAAGCCCUAUAAAAGGAACAACGAGGGACCAUCCAGCUUGGACCGCAUACUCGACCGUCCGUGCCAGAUGCAUGGCACCCCAGACAAGCAAGCCAACCAUACCAACAGAGAUUGUUGGGUUUUUAAGCAGGUCGGCAAGUUAAAUGCCGAGAACAAGGAAAAGGGAUCACAAAGUGAGGACGAUGACGAAGAGCCCGGGUAGCCGAACACUGGGGGGCAGAAGAAAUUUCCCCCUCAAGUCAAAGCGGUGGACAUGAUAUACGCUACACACAUCCCCAAAAGGGAGCGCAAGCGCGCACUCAGGGACGUCUACGCAGUAGAGCCAGUCGCCCCAAAAUUCAAUCCGUGGUCGUCAUUCCCGAUCACCGUUGAUCGUCGAGAUCAUCCAACAUGUAUCCGCCAUGGCGGCUCGGCUGCACCGGUCCUCGACCCAACCAUCGACGGAUUUCACCUGACACGGGUCCUAAUGGACGGUGGUAGCAGCCUCAACCUGCUCUAUCAGGAUACAGUGCACAAAAUGGGCAUCAAUCCCUCACGAAUCAAACCCACAAAGACUACCUUUAAAGGAGUUAUACCAGGUGUAGAGGCCCGUUGUAUGGGUUCGAUCACACUGGAGGUGGUAUUCAGUUCCCCAGACAACUUCCGAAGCGAGGAGUUAAUCUUUGAUAUUGUCCCCUUCCGUAGCGACUACCACGCACUGCUUGGACGAACCGCGUUCGCUAGAUUCAACGCGGUGCCACACUAUGCUUAUCUCAAGCUCAAGAUGCCCGGUCCACGCGGCGUCAUAACUGUCAAUGGAAAUACGGAACACUUCCUCCGCACAGAGGAGCACACCGCCGCCCUAGCAGGAGAAGUUCAGAGCGGCCUUUUCAAGCAGAACCGCAAUCCGGCUGCCGAGCCCCUGGACACCGUUAAGAAGGUCCAGACCACUCUGCAACAGGACAGCUCGGCUCGUCAAGAGCUCGAUUAGCAAUUCGGCCUCCGUCCCAGUCCCAAUAUGGUAGUGGCAUUCAUACCACGCGUACAUAAUUACGCACUGAAAAUUCCAUGGGCAUUGACGGAGGCAGACCUAGCUUGUGGUCCACAGUACGGCUCGACUGACCCCGGACCCACACAUACUCACCUUUUUUCUUUUUAUUUGUUUUAGGUUCCUUUUCCCGCGGGCCUGAUCACCAGUCCUUUCGAGGAUCGGCAUACAAAGGCGGCAAGCCGUAUAGGUGUGUAGGGUAACAUCUAUACGUUCUUCUUGACGGUAUCUCUACUCCUAUAAAAAAACGAGUUGGUGAUGAUGGCGUGUCUGCCUUCACGUCAUCUAUGUCGUCCGAUCGGCAAUGUAUGGCUGAGAUUGAGACAAGCCAUGGGCCACUUGCACUUUUGCAAAAGCACCCUGUGCUUAGACAUAAUUUUGGAGCAGGGACAUCCCAUACUAGUAUCAUAAUUUCACCCCCAUAGCAUGUGCAAAAAAGUAGAGAGGGUUACCGCAAAAACUGGAUGCACUUCGUGUAUAAAAUGGACAAUCUCUUUCGAAGUAUCAGGGUUUCGGACGAAAACUCAUCCGUUACAAAGGGAUUUCAUUUUUUAAAUAACCUAAGCAUUACCAAAUUGAAUAUAAUGAUAAAACACACUAAUGUUAAACAUAAGAAAAAAGAAUCACUGAAAAUCUAUUUUCAAAGUUAAGUUAUUCACAAACUAGUGAUUCACACAAAUUUCAAAUAAUUCAAAAUGUAAACUAUUCAAAUUUGUAAACUACCGGCACUAACAGAAAGUUUGUAAUUUUUUGUACCUAAAGCAAAAAUAUUCCCAAAGAAACUCUAAAUACAGCAAAAAACAACUCAAAAAUAAAUAAACCAAAAAUAAAUAAAGCAAAAAAAAUAAGAAAAUAAAAAGCCCACCUACUGGGCCAGAGCGGCCUGCGUACGACUAGAAACCCAACCUGUAGUUGGGCCAGGAUGCAGGCCCGCAAGCCCAGUAGGCCCACAGGCAGAGUUGGAGAGCUAGGCCCAGAAGGCCUGCUAUUGAGAGGAGCUCAAUGCAGUGCCCGCGUCGGAGCUUAUAAACUGGUCCUAGCGCUCCUCAACUAGCGAGGUGGGACUAAACUUCUGCGCCCCUCGCCUGGCAGCGCACACCCUUUAGUACCGGGUGGUGGCUCCAACCGGUACUAAAGGGGGGGUCUUUAGUACCGGUUGGUGCCACCACCCGGUACUAAAGGGGUGCGCUUCCCGCCGCUGGGGCUGGCCAAAUUUGACCUUUAGUACCGGUUGGUGGCUCCAACCGGUACUAGAGGCCCAUCUUAUAUAAGUAGCACUUAGAAAUUUCGUCAGUUUUCAUCUGCUUCUUCUCCUCUGCCCCGUCGCCCGCCACCCCCCNNNNNNNNNNNNNNNNNNNNNNNNNNNNNNNNNNNNNNNNNNNNNNNNNNNNNNNNNNNNNNNNNNNNNNNNNNNNNNNNNNNNNNNNNNNNNNNNNNNNNNNNNNNNNNNNNNNNNNNNNNNNNNNNNNNNNNNNNNNNNNNNNNNNNNNNNNNNNNNNNNNNNNNNNNNNNNNNNNNNNNNNNNNNNNNNNNNNNNNNNNNNNNNNNNNNNNNNNNNNNNNNNNNNNNNNNNNNNNNNNNNNNNNNNNNNNNNNNNNNNNNNNNNNNNNNNNNNNNNNNNNNNNNNNNNNNNNNNNNNNNNNNNNNNNNNNNNNNNNNNNNNNNNNNNNNNNNNNNNNNNNNNNNNNNNNNNNNNNNNNNNNNNNNNNNNNNNNNNNNNNNNNNNNNNNNNNNNNNNNNNNNNNNNNNNNNNNNNNNNNNNNNNNNNNNNNNNNNNNNNNNNNNNNNNNNNNNUUUUUAAGUUAUAGAAAUAUUUAUAGAAAUGUUAGCAAUUUUUCUGUUUUUUAGUUAUAGAAAUAUUAGAAAUGUUAUAGAAAUAUUAGUUAUAUAUAUAGAAAUGUUAGAAAUUUUAGAAUUAGUUUUAGUUAGAUGAAUUAGAUUAAUGUCAAAUUGUUAGAAUUUGCAUAUAGAAUUUUAGUUAUCACAAUCCAAUCAUUUAAAAAAUGUUACUUUUUGUGGGCAUAUAGUAUUUGUUCUCGACGAUGCCCGGCCCGCAUCCUCGCCGUCGACCCGUUCGCGACGACGUCCGGCUGACCCAUGUCCUGGAUUGGGCUCCGUCGGGCUGGCACUGGGAGGUGCUACCUGGAGGGGCGUGCCGCUUGGUGAGGAACCCGGCCUCGGGUCCCGUCGUCGAUCCUGAUCUCCUUUGGUGGCGUUCGCGUGGGCCACGUUCGGUGCAGAGGGAGCCGGCCCCGCCGGAGGUGGUGCGUCGUCGUGUCAGGGAGGAGGACGAGCACGUCCAUUGCUACAUGGCUGCUAUGGACGUCAGGUUCUCCAAUACCUGGCAGGUUCUUUGGGCAGAUGACCGGAGAUAUGAUCCUGUGAUGGUUCCUUGUCUUUGGGUGUCCACCGCCCGCGCCCCAGGAACCGCGAGUGGCCUAGAUUCUUCUAUAGUAUUCGAUCUUUAUUAGCUACCUAGCUAGUGAUGUAUUCGAGAUUAUAUAUUAUUCGAGACAAUGUAUUCGAGAUUAUAUAUUAUUCGAGACGAUGUAUUCGAGAUUAUAUAUUAUUCGAGACGAUGUAUUCGAGAUUAUAUAUUAUUCGAGACGAUGCAUAUUAUGUACUAUAUGAUUCAGUUUUUCCUUAUUGAUUGCAUCCAUGCAUUGUAAUUUGAAUACUAAAUUGUUUUAUAUUUCUUCUGUAUUAGUUAAAUAAAAGCUAUGGCGGACAAUACCGGCAGAGAGGGAGAAGAGGCCCUGUUCGAGAUCAUACGCAGCCCUAGCAGGCCAGAUGAUCUGAAUGAAGCAAAUGACGGCUCCCAAUAUCUGAACAAUACCGGGGAGGGUGAUGAUAAGAUAUUCGAUCUCGACGACCGAGCUGAUGAAGUCAUGAACUAUGAUUAUGAUUAUGAUGAUGCAGACAAUGAUUAUGAUGACGAAUACAAUGUUGAUCUUGAAAUAACAAAGACUACCGGCGAGGUAUAUUUAUAUAAGCAGGCAUCUAGUGAUCAUCACAUGUUUUUUUAUUUGAAGAUAUAUUAACGAAUCGAUCUUUCUUCUUCCAGCCCUCCGGAUCGAGCAAAUCUGCUUCUACAGACAGCAAGACAAAGCGCGGCCCGAGCAAAAAGUUGAAGGAGGGUGUAAAGGACAACAUCGAUUCCAUCAAAGCUAGUGGCGAACCCCUCACGCCUAAGAACAUUGCGAGCAAGUUCGUUCGUCAGUGCGGAGUUCUUGUGAAGGACCAACUCCUGAUCUCCAUUCAAGAAUGGAAAGAGCCAAAAACUAAACGCCCAGAUGUUACUUGGGUCGACGACAGAGCAAAACAAAAGCUUUGGGAAUCUCUGAUGGAACAUUUCACCCUACCAGAUUAUUUCACUGAUGCAGAUGUGCAGAAAGUCAAGGACGCUGCUCUUAAGAAGAUGGAAAUUGCAUUCAACACCCACAAGAAACUGUAUGGGCCAACUACCUCGCUGCAGAAAGGAAGACUCCAGAAUUCAAGGGAACACUGGAGAAGCAAAGAGAACACUGGCCCGCUUUCGUGAAAUUCAAGGAAUCAGAAUUAUCUAAGGAACGGUCGAGAAAAAACAAGGCCAAUGCCGCAAAAAAGACGCAGUUCCAUAGGCUGGGUCCAGGUGGCUACGCGGUGGCAAUGCCUAAGUGGGAUAAGUCUGAGCAAGAGAUGGAGGAUGCAGGGGUCACUCCGGUUACUAGGAGCUGGCCCCCCAGGUGCAGAACUUGGUUCUAUGCGCAUGGGGGGGCGUUGGACCCGAAGACAGGCCUGAUUUCGAAGAAGGCAAGUCUAAACGGAGCAGAACAAAAGUUACUUGACGCAAUAGAAGAUGCUCGAAAGGGGGUGUUCACGCCCAACAGAGAGAACGACGAGCUUACGCGCGCCUUGGGAAAUCCUGAACACCCGGGAAGAACACGAGGCAAGGGCGUUAUUCCCUGGUAUGAGGGCUUUUCGGAAUGGAACGACGACUACAGGACCCGUGCAAGAAAGAAGAUGGAGGAGGAGAAGAAGAGGAAGCUGGAGGAGGAGCAGAGGAAGCACGACGCGGAACGCCUUCAAGGCCUAGAAGCAAGGCACGCGGACUUGGCACUCAAAUUCUAGCAGCAGCAGCAGCAGCAGAUCGACUCACUUAGCCAGGAAAGGGGGUCUCAGCAGCGGCAGCAGCAAGCGGAUGAUCAUCCAGCAUUGGAUAGCACCGUCCCAUCCAUGCCGAGAAGCAGCGUUGGUUCCGCUCCGGGCGACGCACUGCUGGAUACAUACCCUGUGGAUGACAUCAUAGAGAACACUAACUGUGAGCUACACUACAAAAUGAAGAACAUAUCCAUGAAGGUGGCGAACGCCGUUGCUUUUACAAUUACCCCCGAAGCAACCUUCCAUUGCACCCCGAUUCCAGAGGGCUAUUCUCGUGUCUUGGUUGAUGAGGUGGUGGGCCCAUAUUCGGGGCUAGAGCUUGACAUUCCUGGAGGUGACGACGAGCAAACACAGGGAGAGGCCAUACAUCGUUUCAUCCUAUGGAAAAAGGAUUGCAUCAUCUUUCGAAGUCCACCGAGACCGCGUCUGCCGACUCCUCCUCGAAGUCCGCCACCGUGUCAGCAGACUCCCGCUCCUCCAAGUCCGCCACCGUGUCAGGCCACACCUCCUGCUUCAAGUCCGGCACAGCGUCAGGCCACACCUCCUGCUUCAAGUCCGACACCGUGUCAGGCCACACCUCCUGCUUCAAGUCCGGCACAGCGUCAGGCCACUCCUCCUGCUCCAACUAAGCCACGUCAGCCGUCUCCGCCACCUAAGCAAUCGCAGAAGAGACACGCCGCAGCUAUGGUGCGUAGCGAUACGAGUCGAGGUAGUAUAGAAAGUACAGGCGGAGACAAGCGAUAUAAAUAUGGUCCAAGCAGCCUCGCUCCUCUUCCUCAGAGGCCUUACGACAUGACCGAGGAUCAAAACGAUGCAAUAGUGCGGGCCGAAGUGGACGCUCAUUUUCGACCAAAACCGGCAACGCCGCCGAGGGAGAAAGUGCCUGAGGAAAAAGAUUGACCACUUCAUUCGUAUGGCUAGACCACCAGCUCCCAAGCAUGUUGACUCAGACUAUGAGCGCCAAAUCAAGAAGGCACAUCGAGCAUGACUACAUAAAGAAGCGAGCUCAAGCUCGAGCCAACAAGCAGCUGUCAAAAAAUGCGGGAAAACCGUUCCCCAGUUGGGAGAACAGGCGGCGCAAUCGACCCCCCCCCCCCCGCUUGUUGUGCCAACAACACAUGAGAGUACGCGCCCAAUAUUAUUGUGGAAAAACCGNNNNNNNNNNNNNNNNNNNNNNNNNNNNNNNNNNNNNNNNNNNNNNNNNNNNNNNNNNNNNNNNNNNNNNNNNNNNNNNNNNNNNNNNNNNNNNNNNNNNNNNNNNNNNNNNNGGGCAAACCGUUUACGUUCCCGAGCUGGGCGAUGUGGUAAUAACCGAGGAGCAUAUAAUGCAGGCUGAAAUGCUCAAGAUCACUGUUGGACAACUCCUCGAGAUCGAGCCCAUGCCUCCGCUUAGAGAGGAGGAAAUAAAACGGAAAUAUGUCCGGGGCCAACCUUUGGUCGAGCCCGAGGAGGUCAAGAACCUCCCAACGAGAAUGUAUGAAUUGCAUGAUUGGUACAUGAAAAUUACCAAGAUUUCCAAUCGAGAGUCCCUCAUGGUGCAAGUCGAGGAGGAUCAUUACUUCCGUAAGAAAGCUCUGGCCAUUGAGUAUUCAGAACUAUUUCAGUUAUUCAAUCAAGAUGCACUCGACAAAUCUAUCGUCAGUUGCUAUUGUCUGUAAGUGAUUUCUUUCUGUAAUUUAAGUCUCAAGCUAGCUCUAGUGCUCAUUGAUUGAUCAUUAAUUACCUGUAAUUAUAUAUCCUCACUAUAUAUUCUUUUCUGUGGUAUUAUGCAGGAUGAAGAUGUAUGAAAUGAAAAGACGCUAUGGCAUUGGGUUCAUUGACCCAAAUACCGUUAAUAAAUACACAUGGAAAUUGGAAUGGUGUAGACAAGAUAUAGAGGAAUCGAUGCUAGAGUUCUUGAAGCGCCUCAAUAGCAAUGAAGAUAUACUACUUCCUUACAACUUCGAGUGAGUCACACUGUCUUGUACUACAAAUUCUGUUUUUGCUUACUAGCUAGAUGUUAAUAAGUGUAUAGGGUUUAGGGUUAUAGUUGAUUAGUGUUAUGCACAUGCUCGCUUAAUUUAUACAUGCAAACGUAUGCGCAUGCAGCUUCCACUGGAUCUUGUUAGACAUUAAAGUUGACGAAGAAAAAGUUGAAGUACUGGAAUCACUACUUAAAAAAAUAGUGACUACAGCAUCGUGAAGGGGAUAGUCGACAGGUUAUUUCAAUCAUUAUUAACUAUAUCUCGGCCUAUUUAGUUCGUCAUUUCCUGAUAUGAACUAUUUUUAAUAACCCCUUUAUUAAUUUUCUUUGCCGGCGGGCAGGGCUUGGGCAAAGUACAUCAAGGUGACUCCAGGAAAAUGGCGACAAAAGCUAUGUUGGUAUCGACCCAAGGUAAGUAAUUAAGUAGUACUAGCUAGCUAGCUACCAUCUCUUUAAUUCUUGUUUCAAUACCAUUAAUUAAUUAACAUGCUUGAUUAAUUAUUAUCUGAUUAAAUUCUAUUGUCGUAAAGGCCCUGAAGCAGGUGUCGGGGACUGAAGUGUGUGCAUACUACGUUUGCGAGAACAUUCGCAUGAUGGCGUCCGAAAGGAGCAGAUCUGAUAGACAGGACUGGGUACGUUUGCCAGAACACUAUUCACAAAUCUUACAUGAUUGUCGAUAUCUAGUCACACAACUAAUACACAUGCAUAUUGAUCUCCUUCUUAACAGUUCAAAGAGGUGCGAGACAAGCUCCUUUCAGAGGAGCGCAUACGAGCACUUCAAGAGGAAAUAGCGGGAUUUUUGCUCGACCAGGUCAUAGAUCCCAAAGGAGAAUACUAUUACCCGCUACCGCCCCCAUGAACCACUUGUCAUCGUGCUCCGAAGGCACCAAGGCAACAUGUAGGAGAAAUUGUAUAUAUAUACAUGUGUAUGUGUGAAUAAUUAAUGGUGGUUGUGAGACAUUCGAUUAUAUAUAUAUGAUCGGUUCUACGAGAAAAUCUAUUUAUAUAUAUGCAUAACGUGUACAAUAUGUAGUAUCGUAAAAUACCAGCAAACAAAAAAGAAUUAAAUGGAAAACACAAAAUUAAUGGAAAAAUAAAAAUUAAAACCAAAACCCUCCCAAACAUUUAGUACCGGUUGGUGCUACCAACCGGUACUAAUGGUCUACCAGCACCUGGGCCUGGCUCGUGCCACGUGGUGGCACUUUAGCGCCGGUUCGUGCCGAACCGGUAGUAAAGGGGGGGGCUUUAGUCUCCACUCCAUAGUGCCGGUUGCAAAACCGGCACUAAAGGCCCUUACGAACCGGUGAUAAAGGCCUGUUCUGCACUAGUGUUGUGGCGGCGCGGAUCUGUGUUGGGGAUGGGUGGCAGCUGGAUCCGGCCAUUAUCGGCUGCGGGCCGGCGCCAAAGUGGAUGCGGCUGAGGGUGGUGAUGCGCCGACGGGGAUUGGGAGGCCGGUACUGUUGGAGGUAAGGCGAAGUGGGUGGAGAAUUUUCACUCCGUGAGNNNNNNNNNNNNNNNNNNNNNNNNNNNNNNNNNNNNNNNNNNNNNNNNNNNNNNNNNNNNNNNNNNNNNNNNNNNNNNNNNNNNNNNNNNNNNNNNNNNNNNNNNNNNNNNNNNNNNNNNNNNNNNNNNNNNNNNNNNNNNNNNNNNNNNNNNNNNNNNNNNNNNNNNNNNNNNNNNNNNNNNNNNNNNNNNNNNNNNNNNNNNNNNNNNNNNNNNNNNNNNNNNNNNNNNNNNNUUUUGUGGUUAUGUUAGUUCUCGGUUAGAGAAGAAAAAACGAAUGUAUCCUCCUUUAACUGGUUAUUGGGGAUCAGUUAGAGAUGUCCUAAGACGCCGUUGCAAACGCGGAUAAGCAGCGCCACCAUAACAAGAGGGACAUGGGUCCAGGCGCCGCCACACCAGCCGACAGCAAUGGUGGCGAGGUUGGGGGAUGGCGCUUAGCUAGGUUUUAAGUGAACGAAAAUAGUAUCUACGUACGGUAUGUUGCAAAAUAUGAUCAGACAUGUCACUAGUCUUACAACAGAGUUGCGAACCAACGAGUGGUUAGAUGGUUAGAAUGACAGUGGUAUCUCCAACCCACUAGGGUUCAAGUCCUAGACUCGACGUUGGUGCUUGCAUUUUUUUGAUUUUAUUUCAGGCCUUUUGGCACUGUACGUUCAGUGAAAGGAGACGUUCCCGUCGACUACAAAGGCAUCUAUGGCGAGUUCGUCAAUGUCAAGAUGAUGUGCCAGUUCGGUCACUCGGAGGCGCUCAUAGAGGUAGGAUGUAUGUUCAUAGGGAUGGGUGGAUGAGCGUUUGGCUCUGUACCGUGUUUCUAAUAAAACAGAGUUGCACGGUCAAUUUCGUUGGAAAAUCCGAAAUCGAAGUUCAGUAGAAAUGAAGUCGGGCGUACCCGUGGUAAUCUGAAAUCCGAAGUUCAGUAGAAAUGAAGUCGGGCGUACCCGUGGUAAUCUGUAAUCCGAAGUUCAGUAUAAAUUUCAUUGGAAAAUCCCCCCAUAACGGACUCCAACUGCCCAACAUGCCGAUCAGAGACGAACUCGUUGCUUCCCUUCCUGCCGGAUCGGGAUCGAUAUAGAAAUGAAGUCGGGCGUACCCGUGGCAACCAUAUCCUACUCCGGCACGAGAACGUGUUUCCCGAUCGAUCUCCUCUCCUACGAUCCAAGCCCAAGCACUAUAAGUAAACUGCCGCACGCUCGCAUAUUCCCAUUGCCUCCCCGAGCAUCGAUCUCCUACGAUCAGAUCCGGUUUCACUUCACCAUCACGUACGUACCUACGUACGUAGCCGGCGAGGAACUGAUCAAGCUCUUCGUUCUCUCUCACGCGCGAUGGCUAGCUUGAUGCCGUCGCUUGCCAUGGACCUGCUACAAGAAGAAGGUGGUCACGAGGACAUUAUACCCGAGGACUUCGUCGGCGUCGGCGUCGUGCGAGAUGCAGAUGACCUGGAGUUGGCCGCGUUUGUGGCCGAGGCGCUGAAGACGGUGGACGCGCCGUCUGACGACGAUGAUCUCAGCUGCCCGAUCUGCUUGGAGAGGGACGACGCGGCGGCGUGGAAGGAGACGCCGUGCGGGCACCGCUUUCACGGGCCGUGCGUAGAGAGGUGGCUGCAGGAGAAAGAGAGCUGCCCCAUGUGCCGUCGCGAGGUCGUCACGGCGCCCACCGCCACCGCAGAUUGUACUGCUGCACACCUACAUUUCUUGUGGAUGGCUGCCUUGGGGUUGCAUGUGUUUGGCGAUGUUCCUGUGGACGACAUGGAAACUGAUGAUGAUGAUGAUGAUGCUUAGGGUGAGCUUCCGGUCGACGUCGGGCACCAGGCUCGAAGCUGAGAUGCUUUUUGAUCGAGAUCAAGUCUCCAUGCAUGCACGAAAGUCGGGGUCAAGAAGACCCAACCUUGAAAACUGUACGUAGUGAUAGAUGCAUCACCUAGUACAUUGGACAUGUCGUUCCGAAUCGAAGGCACCUGACCAUCUUGACAUACUUUGGCCUUCCUUGUGUGUAAAAAUCAGAUGUAAACUACGUGUGUGUGUGUGUGUGUGUGUGUGUGUGUGUGUGUGAUCCGUGCAUCCUUGCCGAUAAAACAUGAUCUAGCAGUCUAUGCCUCACACACUUCGCUACACCUUUGUGAGCCCAUAUACCAUAUGCCGUCAAAGUAGGCUAAUUACUUCAUAGUACAUACUAUACGUACGAUAACCCUCAUUUUUUAGUAUUUUGCUCCUGUUCCAAACCUCAGAUGUUCUAGGUAUUCUCUCACAUACUUGCAUCUCAUGUGUCUGUAAAGGUCAUUUCACUUAUAUUUGGGCGACAACGCACUAUGUUCACAAUUUAUUUCAUCAAGACACAUGCUAGAAAUUUACACAACUUCCUUUCAAUUCCAUACAUUUAUCUUUCUGAAGCGCUCUAGUGCUUGGUAGAAUAUACACUCGACUUCUUGAUCUCAAGAUCCACCACACCAACUAUUCUUUCUCCAUCCAAAAUAUCAUGCAUCUUUUCAUUUCUAUUUUCCAAAAAGAGGAUUAAAAAGUAUAUGGUUGUUCAUCCGUUCACCGCCAAAAAUAAUUUGUUUUCUAUUCGAGAUGGUACUAAAUUCUUAUGCGUUUGUCUAAUAGAAAAAGAAUUUUCGUGCGUGGGCCGCGCGCUGUGGCCCAGCAAAGCCAGCCCCCUUAUUUAUUCUGCCCACGUAGCUGACAAAUUCUAUUUUACGCGCUGGGCGUGAAAUAGUUGGAGUUUCGUACAGGACAACCAAUUAUUGGCUGGCUUUUUCUUAAUUCGUGUGUUUUACAUAUAUUUUUAUUCUCCUUUACCUAUCUUUUUUUUCAAUCCCAGUAUUUUUAGAAUGUAUUUCUUAAAUAAAAAAAUACUGUAAAACGUUCAGAAUUCCAAAAUUUUGGUUCUAUUUUGAAAAAUUAUUCGAAACUUGCAAAACGUUUCUCAUUUUUUCAAAAAACAGUUCUUUUUUUCAAAAUUGUUCCAGAUUUCUAAAAAUAAAAUGGCAUUUAAAUUUUUUUGAAAUAUAUAUUAAUUUUAUUUAAAUUUUUCCCAAUUAAAAAUAAUGUUCGGGGAUCAAAGAUACACAUAUUCUGAAAAUAUUAUGAAUUUUAAAUACAUGUUCCUGUUUUAAAAAAAUGUCCAUAAAUUCAAAGAAUGAUCAUGCUUUUUAGUUGAAUUUCCCCCAGGCCAACAAAUAACGGGCUGGCGCAUUUUUCUUUGUUUCUGUGUUUUCCUUUCAUUUUUAUUCUUCUUUCCCUAUCUCAUUUUUUCCUUUGAAAUUUAUUUUUCUUUGAGAAUUUAUUUAGUAAAUUAAAAAUUCUCAAAACCGUUCGAAAUAAAAAAAUGGAAAAUUUUCAGAAUUCCAAAUUUUCGUCAUUAUAUUGAAAAAUAUUUGGAACUUGCAAAAAGUUUCCAAUUUUUCAAAAACAAUUAUUGUUUUUCAAAAUUGUUCGAGAUUUCUAAAAGAAAAUGGCAUUUCAAAAAAUGCUCUAAAUUCGAAAAAAUAUUCUUGUUUUACUGAAUUUUUCACUAUUUAAACUAAUGUUCGUGUAUAAAAGAUACACAUUUUCUAAAAAUCUUAUGAAUUUAAAACACAUAUUCCCGUUUUAAAAAAAUGUUCAGAAAUUCAAAUAAUGUUAAUGUUUUUAUAAAAAAAGUUGGUGUUUUGAGAAAAGAAUUCUGAAUUUUAAAAUAAGUUCCCUUUCAUAUUUCUUUUGCGAUUUUCCGAAAGUGUACAUAAUUUUCAAAAACUUUUCAAGAUUUAAAAAGUUGUUCAUGUUUCUUAAUAUAUUUAGAAAUUUCUUACCUUAAAAUCCCCUCCACUAAAAGGAUUUUAAAGGAAAAGUAGAUUGAAUAACUCAUGGGCCUUCUCUGACGUAAUUAUUUUUUUCAAAAGGAGGAUAACCCCUGGGCUCUGCACAGGACGAUGCAUGCAGCCAUAUAUUAUUGAAAAUCCAAAAUCCAGCAGCCAAAGAAACUCGACUCGGAAAUAAAAUGGAAAACAAACCCUGAGGCCAAAUACCUCGUGAUAGCAACUUCCCCAGAUAGCCACUAACCAUAUGUUACAAGGCACAACAGAGACAAAAAAUACACAACUCCUAGGCUACACCUUCAAGAAAACGUCAGACGUGCACCAAUGAUGGCGAGUCCACCACAAGGUUGAACUCUGGAUUCUCAUCCCCAAGCCAAAUUUCGAUCCACCACCUUCAACGAAAACACGACGCAUGCGCGACAUGACAUAGCCCGAUUUCAGAUCUUGUGUUUCCACCGAAGUGCAUAAUCGUCGUUGAGGCCUCCUGUACCAUCCGCCUUUAUCCGUCUACCAACCCCUCGAUAUUCGGAUAUUCGGAUACCUCUGGAGAAGACAAUGGAAGAUAAAGACAUCUCAUACCGCCUGCCCCCACUACUGCCGCACCACCUUCUAUCCAAUAGCAACAGGCUAAGAAUGAGCCCUCCACUAGAGCCAUCGUGCGUCACCUGCCGAUAGCAGGCAUGAUUUAACGUCUACACAUAAGACGUUGUGCAUAACAUCCUCCGGUAGCACAUCCACCCGGUAGCUUCACCUGCCGACGACAGGUACUGCCUAACAACUCCGAAAGAGUCACAUGUGUCACCUACCGAGCCGCAUCGAACCCGAUCUGUUGAUGGAAGGGACGUCCCAUACCGCCACCAGCCUUAGAAGGUUGUCGCCACCUCGAGAUCCAGACUCCGAGUCGCCCACACGACCCCGGUGUCCGCCGCCGUUGAUGAAGAGGGGCCGCUGCCCCGAUUCCGGGUGCUACAGGGAGCACCCAUCACCGCGUCAUCCGCUGUCGUCGCCCAUACAAUGGCAACUACCGCCGCAAUCCCGCAUCAAGCGGGGUUGACGCCGAAGAAAGCUCCGGCCGCCAUGCGUGCCCUGCACGAGCUCAGAAACUGGAUCCCAAGAUCCACCGCCACCGGCGCCGCCACAGCAUCCCGCAUCAAGCUUUGACGUACGAUGAUGUAACAAAACUCUUAAAUGUCCUUGAUCAAUGAAUAAAAAAAUUAGCGGAUUGAUUCCAUCACACACGAUGAAACCGAGAAGCUAAAUGUUCCUUUUUCGUGUGCGCACAGGGUUUUGCAUGCACAUAUAACUCCCACUGACUUUAAAUGCAUAUUAUUUUAUCUCCCGUUGCAACGCACGGGCAUAUGUGCUAGUAAUAAUAAAACAAGAAAUAUUUCUUAGUACAAGAAUAUUUAUUAGAGUAAAAUAUUUAGAAAGUUGUGGUCAUCUUAUAAUAAAUGUUAUCAUUCUUUUAAAGAUUUGAAUUUUUAGAAAAAUUAAUGAGUUUUUUAAAUUGCAUGAAUAUUCUUGGAAACCAUGAAAGCUUUUUUAAUUUUGUGAACAUUUUUGAAAGAAAGAAAAAACUCAAAAAUAAUCUAAAGAAAACUAGAAGAAAUAGAAAAGAAACAGAAAAUUGGAAAAUCCAACCAAAAAAAUGGAAAAGCGAUAUAGAAACCAACUCAAGACGGAAAACUGAAAAGAAUUAUCCUAAUGAAGUGGUGGGGCGAGAGAAAGAAAGAAAGCAUGAGAAACGAGAUGGCCCAUUACAAAGCAAAGGAUGUACGAUCUCACGACAUUUAGUCAUGGUGCUUGAAAAAUAGCAUAUAUGUGCCUUGUCGUGACACCAUGCCAAGUUUCACGAUUUUUGGUUGAGUUUUGGAUUUACGGGAUUUAAAAACCGAGAUUCUUCUCACGAAAUGUUUUCAAAUAGCACACGAUUCACUCACGAAAAACGUGGGCCUGUCAAACCGUGGCCGAUGCCCCCCUUCAAACCGUGGGAUUGUACGUCUGCACCGUUUGAUGCUCGUAGAUCGAACGGCAAUCCUCAUCCCUUUCGACAGCACAUGCAGUUCUGGAUUUUAUUUUAUUUAUAUGGGUAAGCACUGUGCGCAUGCGUCGUGCUAGCUCACACUUCCUUCUCUACUAAGUUUUCUAUAUUAAUGUCGUUAUAUAUCCAAACACGCUACCGUUUCCUACCACUCCUCCCAUCGGUUUCUCGCCUCUUCUCCCAUUCUUUUCCCGUUGCCAGUGUUAGUGCUCAUAGAAGGCAAGGAGCGACUAGGUCCCAUAGGGUGACCAGCGUAAACACCUUAAAGGCAAGGAGGCACUUCCUAUAAGUAAGGGGCGGCUUCCCAUCCGCUAGCCUAGUCGAAUAGAACGUAGAAGUUAAGCAUGCUCGGGCCGGAGUAGUCUAAGGAUGGGUGACCCGGUGGGAAGUUGCAUAUCUCAAACUUCAUUUAAACGCUAUGACACAGUCAUUAUAGAGAUAUAUGUCUCUAUAGUGACCUGUCAUGGUGAUUAUAUAAACUUUGGGAUCCUUGUUUUACUAAUUUGUAGACUAUGUUUUUAUUGGUUAUUUUUGCUGUAAAAAAUCAAAGAAAUAUCGACAUCUGUAGGCCCACACAAAUUAUUCCUUUGACCCAACGCAACGCAUGAGAAGCUUUUACUCUGUGCUCCGUGUGCUAUGUUAGAGAAAAUCACGUUUCAGCACAUGCGUUGGACGGCACCCGACCCCUACCCCCUACCCGCCUCGAAGUUGCGUUCCCAACAUCGUACGUCUUUAACCUGGGCGCAGAGGUACGAUGUUCAGUUUGUAAUGUUACUGAUGUAGUUGAUGCCCCAUCAAACUUGUGCUUUUGGGAUUUGAACAAAUCACACACCAGAUCCAUACAUUUUUUUGGGGCCCAUGAAGGGUAUAGGGGGACGGGUGUUUUGAUCGAGCAUUUCUCCCUUGUGUGGUUUCUAGAUGCCGCACAUAUCCGUGGGCUCCCCCAUAUCGAGCAUGUAUGCACCUUGACCAUUAACGAGGGGGGCCCACACAAUCUAUCCCUUUGACCCGACAUACGAGAUGGGUUUGACCAUGAUGAUUUCCUAUUGCUNNNNNNNNNNNNNNNNNNNNNNNNNNNNNNNNNNNNNNNNNNNNNNNNNNNNNNNNNNNNNNNNNNNNNNNNNNNNNNNNNNNNNNNNNNNNNNNNNNNNNNNNNNNNNNNNNNNNNNNNNNNNNNNNNNNNNNNNNNNNNNNNNNNNNNNNNNNNNNNNNNNNNNNNNNNNNNNNNNNNNNNNNNNNNNNNNNNNNNNNNNNNNNNNNNNNNNNNNNNNNNNNNNNNNNNNNNNNNNNNNNNNNNNNNNNNNNNNNNNNNNNNNNNNNNNNNNNNNGCUGGGAAACCAACAUCGUACGUAUUGAACAUGGCUUGGGUCGGGUACGGCGUUCGGUUUGUAAUGUAGUUGGUGCCCCACCGAAGUUGUGCAUUCGGGAUUUGAAUACAUCACACACCACCGUACCCAUACAUAUUUUCAGGCCGUAUACAGUGUACACGGGGUCUUCUGAUCGACCACGUCUCCCUUGUGCGGUUUUUUGUGACAACACGCAUAUCUGUGGGCUCCCCGAGUGUAUGUUGAUACGUCUCCAACGUAUCUAUAAUUUUUUAUUGUUCCAUGCUAUUAUAUAUUCAGUUUAGGAUGUUUAAUGGGCUUAUUUAUACACUUUUAUAUUAUUUUUGGGACUAACCUAUUAACCGGAGGCCCAGCCCAAAUUGCUGUUUUUUGCCUAUUUCAGUGUUUCGUAGAAAAAAGAUAUCAAACGGAGUCCAAACGAAAUGAAACCUUCGGGAGCGUGAUUUUUGGAACAAACGUGAUCCAGAGGACUUGGAGUGGACGUCAAGCAAUCAAUGAGGCGGCCAUGAGGCAGGGGGCGCGCCUACCCCCCCACCCCCCCAGGCGAGCCCUCCACCCUCGUGGGCCCCUCGUGGUUCCACCGACCUACUUCUUCCUCCUAUAUAUACCUACGUACCCCCAAACCAUCAGAAGCGACCACGAAAACCUAAUUCCACUGCCGCAACCUUCUGUACCCGUGAGAUCCCAUCUUGGGGCCUUUUCCGGCGUCCUGCCGGAGGGGGCAUCGAUCACGGAGNNNNNNNNNNNNNNNNNNNNNNNNNNNNNNNGGCGCGCCCUCCACCCUCGUGGGCCCCUCGUGGCUCCACCGACCUACUUCUUCCUCCUAUAUAUACCUACGUACCCCCAAACCAUCGAAGAGCACCACGAAAACCUAAUUCCACCGCCGCAACCUUCUGUACCCGUGAGAUCCCAUCUUGGGGCCUUUUCCGGCGUCCUGCCGGAGGGGGCAUCGAUCACGGAGGGCUUCUACAUCAACACCAUAGCCUCUCCGAUGAUGUGUGAGUAGUUUACCUCAGACCUUCGGGUCCAUAGUUAUUAGCUAGAUGGCUUCUUCUCUCUCUUUGGAUCUCAAUACAAAGUUCUCCUCGAUUCUCUUGGAGAUCUAUUCAAUGUAAUCUUCUUUUGCGGUCUGUUUGUCGAGAUCCGAUGAAUAGUGGGUUUAUGAUCAAGAUUAUCUAUGAACAAUAUUUGAAUCUUCUCUAAAUUCUUUUAUGUAUGAUUGGUUAUCUUUGCAAGUCUCUUCGACUUAUCAGUUUGGUUUGGCCUACUAGAUUGAUCUUUCUUGCAAUGGGAGAAGUGCUUAGCUUUGGGUUCAAUCUUGCUGCGGUCGAUCCUAGUGACAGUAGGGGAAACGACACGUAUUGUAUUAUUGCCAUCGAGGAUAAAAAGAUGGGGUUUAUAUCGUAUUGCACGAGUUUAUCCCUCUACAUCAUGUCAUCUUGCUUAAAGCGUUACUCCGUUCUUAUGAACUUAAUACUCUAGAUGCAUAUUGGAUAGCGGUCGAUGUGUGGAGUAAUAGUAGUAGAUGCAGGCAGGAGUCGGUCUACUUGUCACGGACGUGAUGCCUAUAUACAUGAUCAUACGUAGAUAUUUUCGUAACUAUGCUCAAUUCUAUCAAUUGCUCGACAAUAAUUCAUUCACCCACCGUAAUACUUAUGCACUUGAGAGAAGCCACUAGUGAAACCUAUGGCCCCUGGGUCUAUUUUCCAUCAUAUUAAUCUCCCGUUAUUUCCAUUACUGUUUACUUUGCUUUCUUUACUUUUACUCUUUAUCAUAAAAAUAUCAAAAAUAUUAUCUUAUCAUCUCUAUCAGAUCUCACUCUCGUAAGUGACCGUGAAGGGAUUGACAACCCCUUUAUCGCGUUGGUUGCGAGGUUCUUAUUUGUUUGUGUAGGUGCAAGGGACUUGAGCAUGACCUCCUACUGGAUUGAUACCUUGGUUCUCAAAAACUGAGGAAAAUACUUACGCUACUUUACUGCAUCACCCUUUCCCCUUUAAGGGAAAACCAACGCAGUACUCAAGAGGUAGCAUAUGUAUAUAUAUAUAUAUAUAUCACCCCUUUGACCGAUAUAUCUCUUUUUUUAGGCAAUAGGAUAUAUCUCCUUCGGCUAAACAUUGUGGGUUUUCUACUUCAGCUUAUAUUUCUAUUUGUAGAGAUUUGUGGGCCUUCCAGACAAUUAUUUUUUCCAAGCUUGAUCAUAUUUUGAGCCUAGAAUUAUGUGGGUUAAUCUCGACCGUAAUAACUCGGUCCCACCAGAUUAACAGCUCCUAAUUUCUGAUUAACGUAGUAAUAUCUAGGGAGUCACAAAUUAUUAUGAGUAUAGAUAAUAUUAUAUAAUAGAUGUUUUUCUAAUUCCCAUCCAUUUUUAAGUUAUUUUGAAACUGACAAGAUCACGCGUUCUGUUUUCAUCGCGAAAACAGAGUCUUCAAAAAAGCACUCCGUGAAGAAGUUGAACUUCUCGAACAUGCCGGUUUGAACUUCACUCUAUUUUUCACGUGCUACUUUUUGCCCGUAUCUCCCCAACCACUCAUCGGAAUUGAGCAAAAGAUAUACCGCUGGAAAGCUGUUGAAAACGCACAACUUCCCUGUAUUGAUCAUUUCUUCAUAUUUACCACGGUUAAAUAGAUUUUUCUGAAUACAUAAACACUUGUUUGUAAUGGUAUAAAUGAAACUUUUAAACCGUUCAUUGAAGUGAAUCAUAUAAUAUACCGUUGGAAAGCUUAUGAAUAGUAGAAACUUUUUCAUGUAGAUAGUUUUCACAAAUUCGUUGCUGUUCGCGAAUAGUUUUAGAAAUGGCAAAAAGAACGUUGCUCUUGCCUUUUUUAACAUGUAAAUGAAUGACGGAUGUCUCGCACUAGAGAUUUUGAACCGUGCAGGGAGAAGCACGUGAACUUCUCGCAACAAAACUUUUAGUCUUCUAGUUUUGUAUUCUUUUAUUCUCUUCCAAAAUGUAUAGUAGUUGAAUUGCUCGUUGUUUUCACUUUGAACUGCUAUCACGUAUUUUUGUUCGUGCAGAGAUAGAGAGAGGUACGUGUGAGAAAUAUAGAGAUAGAAAGAGAUACAUGAAAAUUAAAGGAGUUUUUUUUUCCUUUUCUGUAAUUAAAGAGAUACGCAUGAGAAAUAGAGACAUCAGAGAGAGAUACGUGAGAAUUAAAGCCACCGAGAGAUAAGACAGAUACGUUCAGAUUUGGCAUAUUCUCUUGUUCAUGACUCUCCCAGUUUUCAACAGUACUCCCUUCAUCCGGAAAUACUUGUCAUUAAAAUAGAUAAAAGAAAAUAUAUUUAGAUAUAUUUUAGAUUUAGAUAUAUUUGUUCCUAUCCAUUUUGAUAACAAGUAUUUUUGGACGGAGGGGACAUCUAGAGAAUAGAGUUGUUUAAACACGAAACGUCUUAGGCCUUUGUUCACCUCGCCAUAUGUGGCAUAGCCGCAUGCACAACCUAUGAGUGGUCAUUUCAACAGUAAUCUACCUAUCCUGCCAGACCUGCUCCAGAGAGGGCCUCUGCCUAUGUGCGUGGACCUACCCAGCUCUUGUCCCUAGGAGCACCGCUGUUGGUUUGGUCAAAAUGGAUAGGAUUAAUAUGCUACCACGGCUGCUGUUCGACUGACCCCUUCACCAAUCUCAUCAACAUUGAAUAACCAGAUAAAAGGGGUUCGGGACUCCCGGGUGCUACGACACCUUUCCGGCAGCAGUCACCAGGUCCCAUGAGAGCGCCCUCACCAAAGCUGCUAUGCAUGGCUUUAUGAACUCGGUGCCGGUGCCGGCCAGGGCUGCUGCUGUAGCGUAAUAUCCCACAGUACGGAGAGGCGACAAGGGAGGCAGAAACACUCGCGCCCAUUGUGUCCGCACCCUCAUAACUCUAGUACAAAAUGGGCUUUUAGUCCGGGUUUUAGAGAGCCUUUAGUCCCGGUUCUGAAAUCGGAACAAAAGGGACGGUACUAAAGGCCCCCCUUCGAACCGGGACUAAAGGCCCUCCACGUGGCCGCUGUCUGGAGCUUCACCUUUAGUCCCGGUUGGUAACUAAAGGAAAUUUUUUGGAUUUUUUUGUAAUUUUUUCCUGAUUUUCAAAUUUCUGAAUUAUUUUACAAUUUAAUCUCUAAUCACUCCUCAUCACUGUUCAAUUUAAUCUAUAAUCUCUAUUCUCUAAUCACCCCUCAUCAUUCCAAAUCGUCUAACUUCCCGUCCGGUCACCCAUCCUGUUACUACUCCAGCCUGAGCACGCUUAACUUCCGGGUUCUAUUCCCCUCGUUUCCAAGUCUGCACUUGUUGUUUUCCAGACAAUACUAAGAUGUUAAUCCAAUUAACCCUCAGAAGUUUAGCUUGAGUAUGAAGUCACACGUUUCACUGUUUGAGUUUGAAACUAUUAAUCUAAAAACAGUAAUUAUUUAGUAACACUAAUAUUUCUUGAAUAAGUAGUUUGAACACAGUUUGACCACAGUUUGACCUGAUUUGACCAAAAUUCAAAAAAACUGAAAUAAUUAUUUAGUAACACUAAUAUUCUUGAAUAAUUAUUUAGUAGCACUAAUAUUUUUUGAAUAAGAAGUUUGACCACAGUUUCUUUCCUUUAAGAAUUUGAGGAUUUAACCAAAAUUCAAAAAAAUUGAAAUUUGAGCAUAUCUUUUUUUCCUUUAAGAAUUUAAGGAUUCUAAAAAUUUGCAAAUAGGCCUACGGCCAUCAAAAUCGGAUGCGGAUUUUCGUGCUGAACAUUUUGAUAUAUUAUACUUUUUUUCCGACAUCAUAUGCAAAAGUUAUAGCCGUUUUACUUUUUCCCUACACUUUUUGCAAAACAUGUCCAAAUUUAAGUUUUUAAAUUUUCCUAACUAGUAGAUGUAGUAAUAUAACUACAUCUUGAACGAUUUUAUUUUUUGAAGUUUUUAUCAUUUUCUUUUGUUUUUUUUAAACUGAAAUGACGAUACACCGGGGGGGUAGUUUUUGAGACACGAACCCCUUUAGUCCCGGUUUGAGACACGAACCGGGACUAAAGGGCAUCACACCCUAUAGUCCCGGUUCGUGUCUCAAACCGAGACUAAAGGUCUCAUCUUUACUCCCGGUUUGAGAUAAAAACCGGGACUAAAGGGCAUCGCACCCUUUAGUCCCAGUUCGUGUCUCAAACUGGGACUAAAGGUCUCAUCUGAACCGGGACUAAUGCCUUUAGCCGCUCGAACCGGGACUAAUGCCCACAUUAGUCCCGAUUUGUAAUGCAACCGGGACUAAUGUGUAUAUUGAGCUGUGACCAAAACCCUGUUUUCUACUAGUGUAAGAAGAUAUGCAUGAGAGAGAGGCCUGAGAAUUUGUGAUAGACAUGUGAGAUAGAGUAGAACAGAGGUUGGCAUAGAGACUUGAUACAGGGACACGUGAAAAAUAGAGAGAUGGAGAGAGAUAUGUGUGAGAAAUAGGGAUAUAGAGAGAUACAUGAGAAUUAAAGCGGACCUUGAUAGAGAGACACGUGAGAAAUAGAGUGAUAGAGAGAGAUACGUGAAAAUUAAAGCGGUUUUAAUUUCUUUCCUUUUCUGUAAUUAAAGAGAUACACAUGAGGAAUAGAGAGAUAAGAAAGAUACGUGAGAAUUAAAGCCGUUUUAAUUUUUUUUCCGUUUCUAUGAUUAAAGAUCAGAUCUACACCGUUAUAAUCUUGACCCACAAAAUCAAUGGCCUCCAUUUUCUAUAUUUCUCUAAUUGAUGUGGGAAUUUCUCGGGAGUUCCUAUUAGUAUAGGUAUAUAUAUGUGCAAAAAUCUCGACAUUAAUGAACAUAUAUCUCGUGCACUUGCAAUCUUUUGUAGUACAUUAAUGAAUAUUUAAAAUAUUUUCUAACUCUUGCUAUUUAUAGACUUGUCGUCCGUGUCUGCCACAUUUGGAGUCCAACUAUUUCCUACUGGAACCUUACACUCGACUAGAACUGAGUUUGUCAAGUAACAGAUAACCAAUAUGAGAGGGAGCAGCCUAGUGCAGGCGACGAUUGUAUUCUUCAUUGGAUGCCUUGUGCUUUGUGCACAGUGUAAGUAUAUAUCAUCAUCGUCUUUAGAAUUUUGUGUUAACUUCUUGCCACUAAUUCUUCAGAUCAGACAUACAUACAAACAUACAUCUGCGGUACUGCAUACUAAGGUUAAAUAUACUAUAUAGGUGCUCUCGAUAAUAAGCAAAUGAUGGUCAACCAAGAUGAUCAUGCGACGAACACAAGUACCAACGCUACCAUCGUCAACUCAACAUCUGUAGGCGAGAGCAAGAAAAACGGGAAAUUUUGCAGCCUCUAUCUCGUAUGUUAUUUCAACUUUGAGAUCCGUGCUCAGUGCUACUGUUGCCAGGAUAAGAAUGGCGACUGUUACAAGACGAAGAGUGAGUGCCUGAAGAAGUGCCAUUCCUACAAUGGUUAAUGCCCACCUUCAUCGGGGUCUCUCGGAUAGAAUUCCAUAUGCUCGGAAAAUUUGUCCGUCGGUAAUAAAAGGCACCUUAUAUGGUUUGGGCAAUUAGGUUCCAAUUAAACAUUAGAUAGCCCGCAUGUUUCCGUGGAGAUCCAACAAGGAAAAAUUUGACGAAAGAAAUCCGAGUAACUAGUUGUCUUGCAUAUUUACAAAGUUCAAAUCCUUUGGUUGUGGUGCUUUGACUCGAUUGUCUAUUAUGCUCUUUCAUUUACUUGCACAUCGCCCACUUGUUU
RNAcentral lists this long non-coding RNA (91087 nucleotides) under Triticum aestivum (bread wheat). RNAcentral's name for it is "long non-coding RNA (TAES_LNC017458)". The stretch from base 87664 to 87798 matches the Rfam family "MIR1120/MIR1122 microRNA precursor family". The record is from RNAcentral. Lineage: Eukaryota; Viridiplantae; Streptophyta; Magnoliopsida; Poales; Poaceae.